UAGGAUUUGGUUAGGAUUUAUUUAGGAUUUGGUUUAGGAUUUAGGAUUUGGAUUAGGAUUUGAUUUAGGAUUUAGGGUUUGGAUUAGGGUUUUAUUUAGGAUUUAGGAUUUGUUUAGGUUUUAGUUUAGGAUUUAGAAUUUGGAUUAGGGUUUGGUUUAGGAUUUAGGAUUUGGAUUAGGAUUUGAUUAGGGUUUGAUUUAGGAUUUAGGAUUUGGUUUAGGAUUUGGUUAAGAUUUGGUUUAGGAUUUGAUUGAGGUUUGAUUUAAGGUUUGUUUAGGAUUUGAUUUAGGAUUUAGGAUUUUAUUAGGAUUUAAGAUUUCAUUAGUUUUGGCCUAAAGUUUGAAUGAAGUUCAAUAGGAUUUUAACUAGAAUUAAAUUAAGAUUGAAUUGAGAUAUAUUUGAGUGAUAUUUGUGAUCCUUCUAAUAUUUUUUUAAGAAUUCUUAUUGUUUGUUUGAAAUUUCUUUGAGGUUUUUUUGAAUUUGAUUAAGCUUGCUUAGUAUUAUUAUGGUCUAAUUAGAGCAUUGUUAAUAUUCUAUUAGAAUUAGGAUUUUGUUAUUGUAAUUUUUAUUCUUCCUUCUAUAGCCAGGUGCCCGGAGCAUUCUCAAGCAAGACUUCACGUAUUAUGAGGUCGUGUUGCAACAUGACUAUAUGGUGAAAAUAUAAAUGAAAAAAAUUUAUUAAUAUUUAGUCAUCUUGGAUGUUAGAAACAAUGGCCAAUUGCAGUGCCAAUAUUCAGGGGCCAAUUAAUGUCACCCCAUUGCAGCUGUAUCACCGAACAUGAAAACAUCGUAUACUCUAUCGACGUCAUUGAACUAAGUACCCUCCAUACCAACCGAACGACCAGGAUCAUUUUCUAAUCCUACAUGGAACAAGCCUACUAGGUAUAUACCAGUGGAGAUACCCAAUAUGCUUAAUGGAGGUACAAGAAGACCUCUUCAUUGUUUCUAUUGCAGACAGAAUGGUGAUUAUGCUAGUGAAUGUCCUAAUUCCAGAGCCAGUGAUAAUUACGUGCCAGUAUGUAAGAAUAGCAAGGAGUCGGGGCAUACUUAUCAACAAUAUAAUGCUCCGUUCAAUUUCAAUAAUCGGGAUCAGCAGAUCCAAAGCUAGGAAAAAAUUGAGGGGAUAAAUCGAGGUUCUCAAGAUUCUUCAAUAAAUCGAGUGGAAUGAGUCUGAGCCGUUCUUACCAAGAGUCGGCAAAAGGGGAAAGGACCAAUUCAAUAUUCGGGUGAGUCUGAUGUGAAGGGCCAAUUUGAUCCAAUUACAGGGACAUCCAAUCUAGGUCCUGUUAUGGCCCUCUUACCUAGUAUGAGACUUGAUUUGGUUGGGCAAUCUAAUGAGGUCUCAAAUACGUAGGCUUUGAUUCUAUUUCAAGCUGUUCCAUUCUCUAUGUCAUUUCGGAGAAAUGUCCUUUCCAUAGAAAGAUCCUCUUAGAGGCAAAAAUUCCAUAGAGGGGGGGUCUGUUGUUCCAAUUCGGAGUCCAUGGUAGAAGAAUAGGGAACCUCACGGAGUUAAAGGAAAGGAGAGGAAAAAGAAGAGGGCAUUCAAAGAUUGGGAUUUUGGGGUUGGAGAGCUAGCUUCAAGCUCCUUCAAAAAGUGUAGAAUUGGAUUUCAUAGGAUUUGGGAGGACUUUUGCAAUCGUUGCUGAAAGUCAGUGUUUGUAUUGGUGAUUUGGAUUUUUUUUUGCAAUAAAGUUAAUGCUAAUACUCUUAACUGUUUUGUAAAAUUAGAGAAAUUUUUGCGGUUGAAAUUUAGAGGUGUCUAAAGGGUUGAGUAUGUCGAGUGCAUAUAAAAGUUUGUGUUAAUCUGACAGAACAAAUAGAGGAUAUUUGACCAUUAGUAUAAAGAGGUAUCGAAAGUUAGCAAAUUGGGGUUGUUUAGGAUUUCUAUAAUAUCUAGAGAUCUACCAACUGGAAUAAGGUGAAUUUUGGCAUAGUAAGUUGAGGACUUCUAGGUGGUGGUCAAGAUACAUCAGUGUGGAUUUAUGGCAUUUUCUUGCAAUCUAUAAGUUAGAUUGGAUUGAAACUUCUUGAGCAUUUAGAAGGCUUGCAAAGACACUAGUGGUAGAAAUUUACAACAAUCGGAUGGUCAGAUUGAGAAUUACAGCUUGUCAAAGCUCAUUAUCUAGGAUUAGGAUUAAAAAUAAAAUAAAAUAAAAUAAAAAAUAAAAAACUAACAAAUAACAAAAGACUUUGUGCUUAUAAUAUCUUGAAAUUAUUAAAAAUAGUGUUUCUAAGCACUUUAUAUUGGGAUUAAGUUUUUACAUUGAAAUCCGAAAUAGUUUGUAUUUAGAUAGUUGAAAUCUACUAGCCUACCUAGAUACUUACAAAACAUUGUUUUAUCUUCCACAGCAAGAUGCCCGAUGCAUUUUCAAGCAAGAUAGCAUGUAAUACGACAACAACAACAUGGACUGGAACGAAAAAGCACUUAUCAACGAAUUUUGAUAUGGAUUGAAGGAUAGCAUUAAAGAUUUGUUAUUAACAAUAUCGAAAGUAGAAUCUUUGGAACAAUUUAUUACUCAAGCCAUUGCAUGUGACAAUCAUUUAUUUGAAAGAUAUCAAGAACAAAGUUUUAGUUGGAGAAGAACAAGUCAAGUAAUGGCGGCAACUCCCAAGUUUUCUAAAACUUAUACGUCAAAGUUGGAACAAAUGCAAAUUGAUAUGAUACGUUUUAAAUCUCUCACGAAGCAAGAAAAGAUUCGAUGUCACUAAGAAGGAUUGUAUUUAUAUUGUGGAGAAGCUAAGCACACUGCUCAAUAUUGUCCAAAGAAGCAACACAAUUACAAAAUGACGAGCACAAUUAUCAAAGAAGAUAGUAUAUCGGAAAAUGAGUUUCUCUAGCUACAACAAGGAACGUGCGGCUGGAAUCAUGUACAACAUCUAGUAAAGGUCCUAUCCUCUUCUCAGACCCCUCACCUUAUUUUAUAAUAGAAGUAUAUUUAAGACCUAAUAAUCACAAAGUCUUUAUCUUAUUAGAUUCAGGAGCCUCAGCAUGUUUUAUAGAUGAAGAUUUUGCCAAAAAUCAAAAAAUAUCUUUAGUAAAGAAAGUUAAAUCCAUACAUGUAGAAGUCAUAGAUAGUCGUUUGUUAUCUUCUAAAAAUAUUACCCAUGAAACUACUCCUUUAGAUAUAGCAAUUAAAGAUCAUAACAACGUAGUAGUAUUUAAUGUAAUAAAAUCUCCCUCUAAUCCGAUUAUUUUAGGAUUAUCAUGGCUAGAGAAAUAUAACCCUCAAAUAGAUUGGAUUUUUCAUAACCUUAACUUUUCUGAUAGUAUAAUCCAAGAUCGCAUUAGUAAAGUAGAAGUAUGUAAGUCCAGUAUAUCUAAAUCUUUACUAGUAGGUGCCAAAGCUUUCAUGCAUGUUGCAAAAGAAGGAUCAUCUUUUGCUAUAUAUGAUACACCCAUUGCUAAUGGUGAAACAACAUGGAGAGGUAUUCCUAAGCAAUAUCAAGAAUUUCAAGAUGUUUUGAAAAGAAGAAUGCAGAUAUUCUUUCCGAGCAUCGACCUUAUGAUUGUUCAAUUGAUCUGCAAGAAGGAGCUCAACCACCAUUCGGACCAAUCUAUAGCUUAUCGCAAAAUGAGCUCGCAACAUUAAAGGAGUACAUUAAUGAAAAUUUGGCAAAGAACUUCAUAUACCAUUUUAAAUCUCUAGCCGGGGCUACUAUCUUAUUUGUGAAGAAGAAAGACGGAUCUCUACGAAUAUGUGUGGAUUAUGGACGACUCAACAAGAUCACCAUCAAAAAUAGGUAUCCUUUGCCUUUGAUUUCAGGACUUCUUGACUAACUCAAUCAAGCAAAGAUCUAUACUAAAAUAGAUCUACGAGGAGCAUACAACUUAGUUCGUAUCAAAGAAGGAGAUGAACGGAAGAUUACUUUUCGAACUACGUAUGGACAUUUUGAAUAUAAUCUCAUACCUUUUGGACUCACAAAUAUAUCGACCGCUUUUUAACAUCUUAUGAAUGAUAUUUUUUGUGAGUUUUGUGAGAAGAUUCAAACUAUCAUAGAUUGAAAGAUUCCAAGAACAGUAUGAGAUGUGCAAUGUUUUUUGGGCUUUGCUAAUUACUAUCGAAUCUUUAUCAAGAAUUUUUUUGAAGUUGUAGCUCCACUUAUACGUUUGACUUGUAAAGACAAACUUGAAUAGAAUAAAGAAAUAGAAGCAUCAUUUGAUGCUUUAAAGAAGGAAUUUAUUUUUGUACCAAUCUUAUAUUUUAUUGACUUCUCCAAGGUAUUUUUUAUGGAAACAGAUGCAUCAAUUUUUGCUAUAGGUGACAUGUUGUCACAAAUGGGAAUAGAUGACAAACUCCAUCCAAUAGCUUUCUAUUCGAGGAAAUUUCAGUAGUAGAAAUUAAUUAUAAGAUCCAUGACAAAGAGUUCUUUGCAAUUGUGGAUUCAUUUCAAGAAUGGCAUCAUUAUCUAGAAGGCACCUCAAGUCUAGUUAUCGUGUAUACAGACCAUAAGAACCUCAAGUACUUCAUGUCAGCAUGUGUCUUGAAUCGUCGUCAAGCCCAUUGGAGCAUGUCUUUAUCUAGAUUCAAUUUCAAGAUCACUUAUCAACCCGAAAAACAACAAGGUUUAUUGGAUGCUCUUUCUAAACGUUCUUUUCUUGCACCAAAAGAAAGAGAUGGAUCUUUUAAUCAUCAAAGAUCAAUUCUCUUGAAGCCCGAGCAUUUUUCAUCUUCGAGCUAUAAAAUCAACAUUGACUGUUGAUUCAAUACUUGUGAAGAAAAUUCAAUCAAGCAUGUCUUCUAAUCAUCUUGUUUGGGAUAUCAAGGAUACUUCCUCUAAGUCCCAUGAUACUUCCAAGUUUGAAUUCAAGAAUAAUCUAUUAUAUUUCAAAGGAUGCCUAUAUGUUCCAGAAGGUGAAGCCCGAUUAUGUAUUCUUCAAGCUCGUCAUGACUUUCCAGUAGCACAACACUUUGGAUACAAUAAAACUUUGGAAUUAAUAUCCAAGGAUUUUUGGUCACUGCAAAUGUAGAAAGUAGUCAAAGAUUUUGUACAAUCUUGUGAUGUUUGCUCAAGAUCAAAAACUCCUCGUCAUUGAUCUUACAGACUUCUUCAGCUGUUACCUAUUUCAAAACAACGAUGGUCUUCUGUUUCUAUUGAUUUCAUCAUGGAUCUUCUAAUCUUAGGUUCUUAUGACUCUAUAUUUGUGAUAGUAGAUUAUUUUACUAAGAUAGCAUAUUUUAUAUCAUGUACAAAACCUAUCACAGGUGAAGAAACAGCUAAGCUUUUCAUUAACAAUAUCUAUCAAUAUCAUGGAUUGCCAAAAGAUAUUAUAUCGGAUAGGAGGACUCAAUUUGUAUCAAGAUUUUGGAGAAUCCUAUUCAAAAUUUUAAAGGUAGAUAUAAAGCUUUCUUUAGCUUUUCAUCCUCAAACUGAUGGACAAACAGAAUGGGUAAAUCAAGUUUUGGAACAAUAUUUGAAAUGUACCAUCAACUAUCAUCAAGAUGAUUAGACAACUCUUCUACCAUUGGCAGAGUUUGCAUAUAAUAAUUUGGUACAUUCUUGCACUCAAAAAAUACCUUUCUUUGCUAAUUAUGGUUACCAUCCACAUCUUGAUACUUUUGACUUUUCAAAAGUUGAUAAUCCUAUAGCGGAAGAUUUAGCAAAUUGCUUGUCAGAGCUACAUACAACAAUAAAGAUACAAUUAAAGAAAGCUCAAGAAUGACAAAAGACCAACGUAGAUGCUUAUUGCAAAGAGCAACUACAAUAUAAUGUGGGCGACAAAGUAUGGUUACUUCAUCGUAAUAUCAAGACUACUCGUCUUUGUGAUAAAUUAGAUUAUCAUAGACUCGUACCUUUUCCUAUUUGUGAAAAAAUUAAUUCUAUUGCCUAUUGAUUACAUCUACCGAAGUCUAUGAAGAUCCACCUUAUAUUUCACAUGUCUCUUCUGAAGCCGUAUAACACAGUGAAUAUCUUGGAAAGAAGACAAAUGCCACCUCCUCCUAUAGAAGUGGAUAAUAACCAAGAGUUUGAGGUGAAAGAAGUCUUAGACUCAAGGUGGUACCAAAAUAGGUUGAAAUAUCUUGUUUAUUAGCACAAAUAUGAUAUUAGUGAAUGCACAUGGAAGCCAUCAAAGAAUCUUGCAAAUGUAGCAAAGAAAUUUGAAGUCUUUCAUCAACAACAUCCAUCAAAACUAAGUUGAAGAAUAGUAAAUCUUUGCUAUAAAAGAAACAAGAUCAAAGGAAAAUAACUUUCUACCUUUUAUCUUUCAUUGUAGCUUUUGUAUAUUUGUGAUGAGAUGGAGCACCAACAACCAACAGAUUCAACUCAAGAGUUUUUAUUUGUAGACUUACGAAACGAGAUAUUAUGAUUGUCACAACCUUCAAGAGGACGGAAUCGAGAUGAAGAUCCUCAAGAACAACAUGUCCUUCCUCAAAUAGAUGGCAAGAUAUAAUGUGUUUGGUAUCACAACCAUGGAAGAGAAUUCCAAUGUUUAGUGAUUUUAUUAGAGGUAUGAACUACUCUUGACGGUGUUUGAAAUGUUUUAUUUGAAGGAAGUUAUGAAGGUCUUAAAAAUGACCAAAUAACAAGGUGGUCUUCUUGCCCUGGUAUAGAAUACUAUAGAUGGUUGAGAGGACCUAUCAACUAUCUUCGAAGAGAGCAAAGAUCGGAGUAUAUAGCAAAUAUAAUUUGUCGCAUCUUGGACUUCCUCAAAAUAUGAAGACCGCUCCUCGUGGAACUUGUCCCUAGAAGGAGGGGUAAUAUCACGGAUAUAUAUAUAUAUAUUUACUUCAAUAGUUACUUAUAUGAUUAAGUAGAAGUAGGUAAAAUAGAAUAAUUUCAUAAAGUCUUCUAGAGAAGCUUCAUAGAAGCUAUAUAGACGUAAUUUUGACUUUAGAUGUGUUCAUAGGUUACAAAAUUGGCCAAAAAGCUAACCAUGUAUUGGUAGCUUGUGGAAUAAGUUACCUCCAUGUAGUAGCUUGUGGAACAAGUUACCUCCAUGUAGUAGCUUGUAGAACAAGCCAACUAUGUGGCGUAUACAUACAUAACUUGCCUUGCAAAAUAAGACAUGUGGCUAGCAAAGUCAAUACAUGUUGGAGGUCCUAUAGGACGUCGCCAUGUGGCUCUUUGUUAGAUAGUAUAUAUGGAGGCAAGAGUGAAGCCUUCUUCACUCUUAUCAAUGCCUUUCUAGUCUUAGUCUUGUUUCAAGACUUUCUAAUCUUCUUAUUUUUGGCAAUAGCUAUUCUAGUUAAUAUUACAACAUCUUUUGAGUGACUUUCUAGUUCUCUUUAGUGAUAGAAGAGUGUAUUGAGGAUUUUUUUUCUUCGAGAUUCAUGUCCGUGACACUCAAUCAAAUAAAGAUCUAUAUAAAAAUAGAUCUACAAUGAGCACAUAAUCUUGUAAGCAUUAAAAAUGGAGAUAAAUAAAAAAUUGCAUUUUGAAUCAGGUAUGGAUAUUUUGAAUAUAAUGCCAUACCUUUUGGAUAUACAAAUACACUAGCUAUUUUUCAAUAUCUAAUAAAUAAUAUUUUUUGUAAAUUUCUUGAUGAUUUUGAUAUUUUUAAUUUGAAAAAUAUCUUAAUCUAUUCUAAGAACAUAGAAGAGCUUAAAAUUUAUGUUUGUUGUAUAUUACAAAAACUUAGAAAUACAAGAUUAUAUAUCAAAUUAAAAAAGUAUGUAUUCUAUAUUAUUCAAGUUGAAUUUUUAAGAUAUUUAAUUUUUAAUGGAGAACUAAUAAUAGAUCCAAAAAAAGUCUAUACUAUCACGAAUUAGAAAUAUGCAAUAUUUUUUGAGUUUUACCAAUUACUACUAGAUCUUUAUCAAGAAUUUUUUUUAAGUUGUAGCUUCACUUAUAUGUUUGAUUUGAAAGUACAAACAUGAGUGGAUUAAAAAAGCCAAAAUAUUGUUUGAUGCUUUAAAAAAUGAGUUUAUUUUUGUACCAAUUUUAUAUUAUGUUGAUAUUUUUAAGAUAUUUUUUAUAGAAAUAAAUACAUUAUACUUUGCCUAAAAUGUAAUAUUAUCUCAAAUAGGAACAAAUAACAAAAUCCAUCUAGUAGCUUUUUAUUCCAAAAAACAUUCAAUAGUUAAGAUUAAUUAUGAGAUCUAUGAUAAAAAAAAACUUCUUAUAAUUAUAAAUUCAUUUCAAAAAUGGCAUCAUUAUCUAAAAGGUGCUUCAAAUCCAAUCACCAUGUAUACGGAUCAUACAAAUCUUAUAUAUUUUAUGUCAACAUGUAUUUUGAAUUGUUGUCAAGAUCAUUAGAGCAUAUUUUUAUCAAGAUUUGAUUUCAAGAUUAUUUGUUGACUUUGAAAAUAACUAGGUUUAUCAAAUACCUUUUUUAGACAUUCUUAUAUUACACCAAAAGAAAGAAAUGCAUCUUUUGAUCAAUAAAGAAUAAUUUUCUUGAAGUUGGAGUAUUUUCAUCUUUGAAUAAUAAAAUCAACAUCAACUAUUGAUUCAAAAAUUUUCAAUCAAAUUCAAUCAACUAUGUCCUCUGAUGCUCUUGUCCAUGAUAUUAAGAAUAAUUCUUUUAAAUUUCAUGAUACUUUUAAGUUCAAGUUCAAGAAUAAUCUACUUUAUUUUGAGGGAUGAUUAUAUAUUUUAGAAUAUGGCAUACAAUUAUAUAUUUUUUAAACUCAUCAUGACUUUCCAACAGUUCUAAUAGAGUAAAGAAGCAGAAGCAUCAUUUGCCAUAUCUUUCGCUGUAGGAUUAUUAAUAUUUGAAAAGUCAAAUGUGUCAAAUUUUGGAUGAUAAUUAUAAUUGGUAAAGAAAGGUGUUUUUUGAAUAGAAGAAUGUACCAAAUUAUUGUGAGCAAACUCUACCAAUGGCAAAAGAGUUGUUCAAUCAUUUAUUGAUAAUUGAUCGUACACCUCAAAUACUACUCUAAAACUUAAUUUAUCCAUUAUGUUUGUUUAACAAUUUUAGGGUGGAAAUUCAAAGAUAGUUUUAUAUCCACCUUCAAUAACUUAAAAAAAGUUCUUUAAAAUCUUGAUAAAAACUGUGUUCCUUUGUUUGAUAUAAUAUCCCUUGAUAAUCCAUGAUAGCAAUAGAUGUUGUCAAGGAAGAGUUUAGUUAUUUCUACACUUAUGAUAGAUUUUGUAUAUGGUAAAAACUAUGCCAUCUUGAUGAAAUGAUGUACUAUAACAAAUAUAGAAUCAUAAGAACUUGAGAUUGGAAGAUUUGUAAUAAAAUCCAUAGAAACAAAAGACUAUGGUUGUUUUGGUAUAGGUAAUGGUUGGAAGAGUCCAUAAAAUCGAUGAAGAAGAGUUUUUGAUCUUGAAAAAACAUCACAUAUCUGUACAAAUUCUUUAAAAGCCUUCCAUAUUUGAAGCUACAAAAAAUCUCUAGAUAUAAGCUCCAAAGUCUUAUUAUAUCCAAAAUAUCCUGCUACAAGGAAAUUGUGACAAGCUACAAAAGUGUGUAAUCAUGCUUCUCCUUCUGGAAUAUAUAAGCAUCCUUCAAAAUAAAGUAGGUUCUCUUUAAACUCAAAUUUGGAAGUAUCUUAAGACUUAGAAGAAUUUUUUUUAAUAUCAUGAACAAGAAGGUCUAAGAACAUGCUUGUUUGAAUCUGCUUAAAAAAAAUCAAAUCAACAGUCAAUUUUGAUUUCAUUGCUUAAAGAUGAAAUUAUUUUGGCUUUAAUAAAAUUAUCUUUUCAUGGUCAAAAUUUGCUUUUCCUUCUUUUGAUAUAAGAUAAGAACGUCUAAAAAGAGCAUCAAACAAACCUUGUUGUUUUCCUAGCUGAUAAGUAAUAUUAAACUCGAAUUUUGACAAAGACAUACUCCAAUAAGCCUGGCGACAAUUCAAAACACAUGUUGACAUGAAAUACUCGAGGUUCUUGUGAUCCAUAUACAUGAUGACUAAACUUGAAGCGCCUUCUAAAUAAUGAUGCCAUUCUUAAAAAGAAUCCAUAAUUGCAAGAAGUUCCUUAUAGUGGAUCUCAAAAUUAAUCUUGGCUAUUGAAAAUUUUCUUGAAUAAAAAGCUAUUGAAUGAAGUUUGUCAUCUGCUUCUAUUUAUGAUAAGACUACAUCUAAGGCAAAGUCACAUGCAUUUGCCUCUAUAAAGAAUGCUUUGAAAAAGUUGACACAAUGUAGGAUUAGUGUAAAAAUAAAAUCUUUCUUCAAAACUUCAAAUGAUGCUUCUACUUCUUUACUUUACUCAAGCUUGUCUUUACAAGUUAAGUUUUUAAGUGGCACUGCAACUUCAGAAAAGUUCUUGAUGAAAAACUGAUAGUAAUUAGAAAAUUCCAAAAAAUAUUGUACAUUUCUUAUUAUUUUUGGAGUCUUUUAGUCCAUGAUUAUGUGAACUUUUUAAGGAUCCAUCAUUAGACCAUUGUUUAAAAUGAUGUAUCCUAAAAAGUCAACUUGAGUAGUGUAGAAUAUAUACUUUUCUAUCUUGGCAUACAAUCCUUUAUUUCUAAGUUUUUGUAACAUACAAAAAAUAUGAACUUCAUGUUCUUCUCCAUCUUUAGAGUAGAUUAAAAAUUUUUCUAAGUAAUUAAUAACAAAAUCAUCUAAAAACUCACAAAAAAUAUCAUUCAUAAGAUACUAAAAAGCAGUUAGUGCAUUCGUGAGUCCAAAAGGCAUGACAUUAUAUUCAAAGAAUCCAUACUUUGUUCAAAAUAUAGUCUUCCAUUUGUCUCUUUCUUUAAUGCAAACCAAAUUAUAUGCUCUUUAUAGAUCUAUUUUUGUAUAGAUCAUAGCUUGAUUUAAUUGAUCAAAAAGUCUAGAUAUCAAAGGCAGAGGAUAUCUAUUCUUGAUGGUAAUCUUGUUGAGUCCUCAAUAAUCCAUGCACAUUUGCAAUGAUCCAUCAUUUUUCUUCACAAAUAAGAUAGAAAAUCCUAUAGGAUACUUUGAAUGGUGUAUAAAAUUCUUGGCCAAGUUCUCAUCAAUGUACUUCUUGAGUUCACCUAACUCAUUUUGUGAUAAACUAUAGAUUGGACUAAAUGAUGGCUGAGUUCUUUCUUUAAGAUCGAUUGAGUAAUCAUAUGGACAAUGCUUUGGGAAAAUAUCUACAUUCUUCUUCUCAAAAAUAUCUUAAAAAUCUUGAUAUUGACUUGGAAUUUCACUUGAAAUCUUUACAUCAUUUAAAAUAGAUGUGGCAUAAAUAAAAAAAGACUAUUCUUCUCUUGCAAUAUGCAAAAAAAACUUUUGCACCUACAAGUACAGUUUUGGCUAUACUAGACUCAUAGCUUUCUAUUGGAUUAGAAAAACUCUUAAUGAUGUUAAAAAAAAUCAAGUUUAUGAGAAAUCCAAUCUAUCUUAGGAUUAUACUUUUCUAGCCACGAUAAACCUAAAAUGAUUAGAUUAGAGGAAGAUCUAAUUAUAUUAAAAAUUAUGCGACUACUAUGACCAUUUAUUACUAUAUCUAUAGGAAGUAUUUCAUGAAUAACAUCUUUAAAAGAUAAUGGACAAUCGUCUAUGACUUCUAUGUGUACGGAUUUAGUUUUUUGUAUUAAUUAUAUAUUAUGACUUUUAUUAAAUUCUUCAUCUAAAAAACAAGCAAGGGCUCUUACACCUAUUAAGAUAGAGGCUUUGUGGUUAUUAGAUCUUAAAUGCAUAUCUAUUGUAAAACAAAGACAGAGUUCUAAUAAGAAAAUAAGACCUUCAUUAGGAAUUAUAUAAGAUUUCAAUUGUAUGGUCCCUAUUGUAGCUAUACAAAUUUAUUUUUCGACAUGUUUUCAUCUUUAAUAGCAAAACUCUUCAUUUUGUAGUUACAUCAUUAUUGUACUAUAAAUACUUAUAAUAUAUAAAAAUUAAUUAAAAUAUAUUAUAUAUUGAUAAAUCUAAAUGUAAGAUAGAAUGGUUAGUAGAUUAAAUUAAAAAGAGUUGGUAUAAAAAAUCUUACUUUGUUUCUUUACUUAUUUUGAUUUUGGCAUAUAUAUAUAUAUAUAUAUAUAUAUACAUAUAUAGGACCUAAAUAUUUAGUAUGAGGCCUUGAAAGAAGGUGGAAGCAUAAGAAAGAAAAUCCAAAUUAGUAAGAGGUUAAUUGGAAGGGAUGAAAGCAAGGCAUGGUCGGAUGAAGGCAAGGAAUAGAGAACUUCAUCCCUAUUGGUCAAAUACCAUGUCUAAUGGACUUUGAGGAAGCUACCUGAGAUCAUAAUAAGAAUUUCAGUAACUUCAAAGGAAGCAUUUGGAAAUUAAAAGCCAGAGUUGCAAGGUUUAGAGUUUGUACUACAAUUUGUGUAUAAAAACUAGAGGAUUUGGAGUUAGGGUGAAGAAGUUAUAUUCGUUUGAAGUUAAGGUGUUAAUUUAAGACAUAUUGUUACUCUUUUGUAAAUACAAGGAGUUUUACAAUAGUUUUUGAAGAUUGAAAGGUAUAGCUAGAACAACAAUUUGAAGGCCUAUAUCUUUUAUAAAAUAAUUAUUACUUUUGGAGUCCAUAUAAAAGAGAUAUAAAGAGUUGAAAGGGAUGCUUUCAAAUCAAAGGUAGUAAGUGAGUGGUGUUGUUUAUAGAAAUGGUUGGAGCCAUAACUUGAGUUUUUAGACAAUCUUUUGCUUCAAAUUUUUUGGAAAAUAGAAUAUUUUGUAUUAUAAAGCUAUAAAUAUAAAUUUCGUGGAAUUAGAGCUUUUAUUUUAUGAGAUAUAAAGUAAAUUACAUGCGGAUGUAUAAAGAUAAGGGUUUAAAGUGACAUUUAGGAUUUUCAAGAUAUUUUAAGAUUUACAAUGUAUUUACAAUUGAAAUUUGUUGUAAAAGUUGAUAAGAAUACAUCAAUACUUUAUAUAAAAUUUGAGUAAGUUUAAACAGUCGGAUCAAGCGUUAUGAGGUAUUAAAGUUUAGAAAAAUUUCUACAUAAGGAUAUACAAGGUUUUAGAGGAUUUUAUCAUAUUUUCGAUGUUAUUGGUUAUUAUAGGCUUAUGUAUUUGGUGUAAUUGCUCCAAAUAAAAAAUUAUAUAUAAACUUAGGGCUUUUUCUAUUUUGAAGCUUGAUUGAGCAAUUAGUGGUAGCUAGGAGCCUAAUGCUUUCUUAAGACAAACUCUCUCUAUUAUAUGUCUUUACUUGAGCCAUAUAAGACAAUAGAUAUAUAAGGAAGGAAACAAAUGCCACUACCUCUUAUAGAAGUGGACAAUAAUGAAGAAUUUGAUGUAGAAGAAGUCUUAGAUUCAAGGCAAAGUAGAAAUAGGUUAAAAUAUCUAGUAAAUUUGUAUGGAUAUUACAUUAAUGAAUGCACAUGAGAGCCUUCUAGGAAUCUACCAAAUAUAUCAGCCAAAGUUAAAACUUUUCAUCAAUGACAUCUAUUAAAAUCAAGAUGAAGAGUCAAGUAAUUCUUUGUUAUAAAGCAAAGCAAGCCUUAUAGAGAUUUCAUUCUAUUUUUUAUCAUUAUUUUUUUAUAUUUUUUUAGUGCUUUAGAAAUAGAGAACCAACAACCAGCACAUUCAAUUCAAGAGCUAUCAUUUGUUGAGCUACUAGACAAGACAUUGCGACUAUCACAACCUUUGAAAUGAAAAAAUCGAGAUGAAGAUCCUCAAGAAUGACAUGUUCUUCCUCGAAUAGAUGGCAAGAUACAACGCAUUUGAUACCACGACCUUGAAAAAGACUCCCGGUAUUUAGUAAUAUUUUUAGAGAUAGGAACCACUCUUGAUCGUAUUACUAAUAUUUUGUUGAAGAAAGUUAUGAAGGCUUCAUUAAUGAUCAAAUAUCAAGGUGGUCUUUUUAUCCUAGUAUGGAACAUUAUCGAUGGUUGAAGGGACCUAUCAACUACCUUCAAAAGAAAUAAAGAUCAAAGUACAUGACAAAUAUAAUUCGGCAUAUCUUAGACUUUAUCUAUAUGUAAUCAUUGCUCGUUAUGGAACUCGUCCCUAAAAGGGAGAAAUAAUGUCAUAGACAUAUAUAUUUAUCUUGAUAAUUAUCUAGAUAAUAAAAAUAGGUAGAAGUAAGUCAAAGUAGAUAAAUAUAAUAAUAUGUUGUAAAAAGCUUCUUAGAAGCUUCAUAGAUCCUGCUUUGUCUUUAUAUAUGUCUAUAGGUGAUUGAUAGGUUGAAAAUAUGGCCAACAAGGAGGCCAUGUAUCGACAUGUUAAUCACUUGUAGUACAAGUUGGACAUAUGGUACACACCUAAAAAACUUGCCUUGCAAAUUAGACAUGUAUUCUAUAAGUUGGAUGCAUAUUAGAGAUUCUAUAGAAUGUCUCCAUGUAUUCUUUAGUUCAUUAGUAUAUAUAGAGACAAGAGUGAGGCCUAUGUAUACUUAACAUUAAUACUUUUAACUUUACUAUUAGGACAAUUUUUUAACAAGACUUUGAUAGGGGCCUUCAAUCUAUAGCAUAUGAACUAUAUAAAAUUAAAAGGACAGAGUACAAUUAUUAUGUAUGCCAUCAAGAAUAACUAAUAAUUGUAUAUGCCACAAAGCUAUAACGACACUACUUGUUGAAAAAGCCAAUGACUGUUCGUAUUGACCACCAACUCCUACUAUACAAUUUGCAUCUAGAAAAUAUGAAAUCACAUCAUUGUUAAAAAGAAUAGCUAUACUUUUUGACAUUCAACUUUAAUAUAAGAAAGGAUGAUAAUAUAUCAUACUAGACAUCCUAUCAUGCAGAUACAACUUAAAAUCCGAAUCACAUGACAAGGUAAAAGUUUCUACUAUUAAUAGUAUUAUUUUAGACUUAAUAAGAAGAUUAGAAUGGAAGAAAGCUUUGUAUUGUAAUAUUUAUUUCAAGUUGGAUAUUGAUUAAUUAAAAGUAGAGGAUGUACAAUAUCAAGAUUAUCAUAUUAAUGAUGGCUUAUUUUAUUUCAAGAAGUAGAUUUAUGUUCUUAAAGAUGCUAUAAUUUGGAUGUACAUAUUUUAAGAGGAACACAACAUUCCAAUAUCUAGAUACCUAGGGUACAAGAAGACUUUAGAAUAGAUCUCAAAGACAUGAUUGUGGGCAGGUUUGUAUUGUGAUGUUUGAAUUUUUGUACAUUCUUAUAAUCAUGUUAAUAUAAUAAAAUACACAAUACACCAUCUUUCAAGCUAUUAUAGUCAAUUCUACUAUAUAUGGCAUGUUGAAAGCAAGUGACUAUGGAUCUCAUUACAUGUUUGUUGCAAAUGCCUUACAAUAAUACUAUGGUUGUUGUUUUUGUGGAUGUCACGGAUAUAUGCAUUUAAGCCAGUAAUUAUAUGUAUAAAUUUAUAGAAGUAAGUAAACAUAGGUAAAAGUAAGUUCAUUCUAUAAUAUUUGCUAUGAAAGCUUUUUAGAAGCUUCAUAGCCCUGCUUUGACUUUAUAGGUGUCUUUAAUUGACUUUUUGGAUUAGAAACGUCGUCAACAAGUUGACCAUGUAUCACAUAUGUUGAUAGCUUGAAGACCAAGCUAAUUAUAUAGCCUACAAGUAGAAAAACUUGCCUUGUAAGUCAAGGCAUGUGUCUUAAAAAGUCAACACAUAUUGAAGGUCCUAUAGAACAUUGCCACAUUAUUGAGAUAGAGAGAGUUUACUUCAAGAAAGCGUUGGACUUUUGGCUGCCACUAAAUGCUCAAUCAAGUCUAAGAUAUAAAAUUACCAAGUUUAUAUACAUAAUAUUUUCCCUUUUAGGACAAUUAUAUCAAUAUAUAAGCCCAAGUACCAAGAAAACAUCCAAAUGUAUGAUAAAGUAUCUUAAAACCUUAUAUGUCCAUAUGAGAAAUGUUUCUUGAACUUUAACAGAUCAUAUCUCACGAUUGGACUAUCCAAAAAACCUAAAAAUUUAUAGAAAGUACUCAUAUACUUUCAAAAACCACCACAAAAAAAUUAAACUAUAAAUUCGUUACAGAUCUUGAAAUAUCACCAAAAUACUAAUAGUAGCUUUAAAUCCUAGCUUAUGUACACAUAUGUGCUAUUUUCUUCAUAUCUCACAAAAAAGUAUUCAAAUAUUGUGAAACUUUGAUCUAUAGCUUUUUAACCUAAUGACUCAUACUUAUGAAAAUUUUGAGCUAAAAAUUCAUCGAGAAACCCAAGAUAUGGCUCCAACCAUUACUAUCAACAAAAUGACUCACUUACUACCUUUGAAUUACAUGUACUGUCUUCAAUGCCCUAUAACUCCUUCAUUUAGACUUAGAAUUCAUUAAAUAGUAUAAGUAAAAUAUAGCCAAGAAAGUGUUCUCUUCAAUUCCAGUCGCCAAUCUUUCAUUACUCUCCGUACGCAUGUGUUAUGCUUCAAAGAGUGAUAGUAGUACAAAUUUGGUACCUUAACUUUGAACACCUAUAUCUCCUUCACAAAAACUUGAAAUCACACAAACUCUUCACCCAAAUUAUAUCCAAAAUCCUAAAAUUGCUGAUUCUAGCCUCCAAAGCUCAAAUGACUUCGAAAGAGAAAUCCUAAUCCCUAAUAAGGCCUCACGCAACCUCCUUGAAGCCCAUUGGGUAUGGCCUUUGACCAAUAAGAAUGAAGUUUUUUAUUCCUUGCCUUCAUCCAACCAUUCCUUGCUUUCAUCCCUCCCAAUAAGCCUCCUAUUAGUUAAGACUUUCUUCUUAAGGCUCUAAUCUCCUUUCAAAGCUUUAUACUAAAUAUUUAGGUCUUACAAUUUUUUUAAAUGUUAUAAUUAAAAAAGAUAAAACUCAAAAUAGAGUUUCUUAAAUCCACUCUCUUUAAAUUAAUCUAUUAACUAUUCUAACAUAUAUCGAGACUUAUGAACAUAUUAUAUGUUCUAACUAAUUUUUAUAUAUUAUAAGCAUUUACAAUAUGACAACGUAGCUCCUAAUUAGAUAGUAUAUAUAGAGACAAGAAUGAAGCCCUCUUCACUCUUCUCAACUCCUUUCUUGCUUCAAUUCUAGUUUUAAGAGUCUCUAAUUUUCUUCUCUUUUGAUAAUAGCCAUUCCAAAUUCUUUUUUAAUAUAUAUAUUUAGUUAUUUCUAUUUUAUCAUCUUUCUUUGAAAAAAUUCUCUCUUGUUUAUUUAUUUCUAUCAAGUUCUUGUCCUUAACAAAAUGACAAGAAUACACUUACAAUAUCAGAGCUUUUUCUAAUCUUUAUUAAGAGUGGAUUAUACUUUUUUCUUGAUAAGAUAUAAGCAUAUUAGAAGUUGCAGAUUACCCUCUUCUAAGCUGAUAUUGUUCUUAAUAUUUUCUUUGUUCUCAAAUCUUCUCUUCUGUUUGACUUCAGUGAUAUUAGAUAUCUAUUUUUCUAAGUGUUAUCAUGGCAAAACUAACUAAAAUAAAGAGUGCAAUGGCACAAAUGUAGGAGCAAUUGAGGAAGUUAAUAUUUGCGAUGCAUCAAUUCAAUUUACUACCACAAGGAGCAAUAAGAUUGGCAGGAAGUGAAGAUAUAGAAAUGAUUGGAGCUACUUCAAUAUCUGCACCAAAUCAUGUCCCUUCUCCUAUGGUGGAACAUCCUUCAUGUGUUAGAGAACCUAAAAUUACCCUACCCAAGAAGUUAGAUGGUACCAAAUCAAAAUUUAGAGGAUUUAUCAAUUAAGUAUAACUUAUGAUUGAACUUCAACCUCAAAGCUAUCAAACUCUAGGAUCGCAAGUUAGAUUCGUUGGUAUGCUUCUUUCAAGUUCAGCAUUAUCAUGGUUUUUAUCUAUUCUUGAACAACAAGAUCUAAUAUUGGAUAAUCUAGAAGCUUUUUAGGCAAAGUUUUGAUCUAUGUAUGGAAAACAUGAUACAAUUCGUAUUGCAACCAAUAAGUUCCAUAUUUUGGGACAAGGCAAUCGAUCAGUAAUGAUGUAUGCUUCAUAGUUUUGACAACUUGUAAUUGAUAUCAAGUGGGAUGAUGCUGAACUUAUUAGCUAAUUUUCCUAUGGAUUAUAAUAUGAGGUAAAAAAAUUAGUACUCAACUUAGGUGAUCUUCAAAAAUUGAGUCAAGCAAUUGACUUUGCUUUGAAGUGUGACAAUCAUCUUUUUGAAUUCCGAUUUGGGAACCAUACAAGUAGACCUCAACGUAACUAUAAUCCAAUGCCAACACCAAUAUCUCUUCAAUACAUACAUUUGAAAGUAGAGGAUAUACAAAUUGAUGUGGUAAGUUUUAAACCUCUUACUAAGCAAGAAAAGACUCAUCAUGGUUAAGAAGAAUUAUGCUUAUAUUGUGGAAAACCUAAGCACACUACUCAACAUUUCCCAAAAAAGUGAUGUAAUCAUAAAAUGAGGUGUACAGCAAUCAAUGAAGGUAGCAUGUCAAAAAAUAAAUUUAUUUAGCUACAAUAGAGACCAUGUGGUUGGAACCUUGUACAACACCUAGUGAAGGUCAUAUUCUUUCCUCAGAACCCUCUCUAUGUUUUACGAUAUAUGUUAUUCUAGGACCUAAACAUCACAAAGCUUUUACCUUGUAAGAUUCAAGAAUCUCAUCAUGUUUCUUAAAUGAAAAAUUUGCUAAAAGACAUAGCAUACUUUUGGUAAAGAAUACUAAAUUUGUUCAUGUAGAAGUCAUAGAUGGUCGUCUAUUAUCUUCAAGAGACGUUACUCAUAAAAUCCUUCCUAUAGAAGUAACAACUAAUAAUCGUAGUAGCUUUGUAAUAUUUAAUAUCAUUAGAUCUUCCUCUAAUCUAGUCAUUUUAAUUUUAUCAUGGCUAAAAAAAAUAUAAUCCUAAAAUAGAUUGGACUUCUUGUAGUCUUGAUUUUUUUGAAAGUAUAACUAAGAGUGUAGUGAAUCAAGUAGAAAGUCAUAAGUCUAGUAUAAUUAAAGCUAUAUUUAUAGGUGCAAGUACUUUCUUGCAUGCUGCAAAAGAAGGAUCACCUUGUGUCAUUUAUGCCACACUUGUUUCUAUUGGUAGAAAGACUACAAGUGGCAUUCCAAGCCAAUAUUAAGAUUUUCAAGAUGUAUUUGAGAAGAAAAAUACGGAUACUCUUCCGAAACAUCAUUCCUAUGACUACUCAAUUGACCUUCAAGAAAGAACACAACCUUCAUUUGGAUCAAUCUACAAUUUAUCACAAAAUGAGUUGGCUGAACUCAAGGAGUAUAUUGAAGAGAAUCUAGCUAAGGAUUUCAUACGCUGUCAUAUUGUAAAUGCUUACAAUAUGUAAAAACUAGUUAAAACAUAUUAUAUGUUAAUAAAUCUAGACGUGUGUUACAUUUGCUAGUAGAUUAAAUUAAAAGAAGUUGGUAUAAAAAAUUUUACUUUGUUUUUUACUUGUUUUGAUUUUGACAUUAAUGUAUAUAUAUAUAUAUAUAUAUAUAUAUAUAUAGGACCUAAAUAUUUAGUAUGAAGCCUUGAAAGAAGGUGGAAGCUUAAGGCUGAAAAUCUAAACUAAUAGGAGGCUAAUUGAGAGGGAUGAAAGUAAGGCAUGGUCGGAUGAAGGCAAAGAAUAGAAAACUUCAUCCCUAUUGGUCGAAUACUGUGCCCAAUGGGCUUUGAGGAGGCUACCUCCGACCUUAAUAAGGAUUUUGGUAACUUCAAAGUAGGCAUUUGGAGAUUAGAAGCUAGGGUUGUAAAUUUUAGGAUUUGGGAUACAAUUUGUGUGUAUAAAUUAGACGAUUUGGAGUUAGGGUGAAGAAGUUAUAGUCGUUUGAAGUUAAGGUGUUAAUUUAAGACAUACUAUUAUUCUUUUGAGGAUAUGAGGAGUUAGAUAAUAGCUUUUGAAGAUCAGAAGGUUCGAAUGGAAUGGCGAUUUUAAGGCCUACAUCUUUUACGAAAAAAUUAUUGCUUUUGGAGUUCAUGUGAAGGAGUUAUAAGGAGUUGAAGGCGGCACUUCCAAAUCAAAGGCAGUAAGUGAGCGGUGUCAUGAUGUAAUACAGAUGGGUGAAGAAAAUAUCAUGUUUUGAGGAUCUCACUUCAAAAGUAUUGUAGCAAAUUAUCUUGAAAAAAUAGAUAUUAAUCAAAGGGUAGAAAAAUUAAAGGUGCUAAUGCUGCCUAUUUGUAAAUUAUGCUUCUAUGUACUUUAUAAGGCCAUAAAUAAAGCAAAACAAGGUAGAUUAGAAAAAUAAAGGAAAAAGGCAUAUGUAUAGAAGAGUGAGGAGUGCAAGUUAGUAAAAAUUACCUCAACAAGACGAAAGUUGAUACCCAAAUAAGACCAGUUAUGAACCUAGAUCAAAAUGAGACCCCAAGGCACAAAACCACGCUCUGACGGCGACUCAAGGGUUCUUUGGGAGAUCAAAGAGCCGAAUUAGAGAGAAGACUUAUAGAGAGAUUUUUGAGAGGUGAUUUUGUAUUGUUUAGAUCAGCACUAGAUUUUUGAGAAAUUUUCAAAGUGAGUGAUUUUCUCUAUGAAUUUAGAUCUUUGAGAAAUAAAAUCGGUUUACAAAUUUUUGGAUUUUGUGUCUUUUGUAGCAUUUUUACAGUGUCGUGUUGUAACACGAGUAUACAGUGAAAAUAAAAAGAAAGGGGAAUUUUAUUAAUAUUGAGUUACCUCGAAUAUUGGGAGCAUCGACCAACUCCAGUACAAAUACUGAGUGGUCAGGUUCAGUCACUCCGUUACAGUCAGCCGGGUUAUACUGAAAUGCUCUGUUCGAUUCCAAUAACGGGAGUCAGCAGGAAGAGAAGGACCAAUUCGCACGGCAGGUUCGAGGAGCCAAUUGGAUCCAAUUUCGAUAAUCCAAUCCGGGUCCUCUUAUCCAAUAUGAGACCUGAAUUGGCCGGUCAACCCAAUGCAGUCUAAUUACGAGAAAUCCAGGUCUUACUACGGGUCUUAGCCAAUCUGACGCGAGGACCAAUUUGACCCAAUUACGGGAACAUCCAGGUUACUACGGGCAUCUUUCCCAAUAUACGACCUGAAUUGGUCGGGCGACUCAAUGUGGUCCCGAUUACGGGGUUCGAUUCUGUUUCAGGCUGUCCUGUUCUCUGUGCCAUUUCAAGGAACGUUGUUUUCGGUAAAUGGAUUUCUUAAAGGUAAAAAUGGAGGAGAAAGCUUGACGGCGAGAGCCAAUUUCGGAUCCAAGCUUGAGGUGGGAGCCAAUUCCGAAUCUAAGACGGAAGAUUGAAGAAAUUCAGAAGAUAAGGUUAGUAGGGAUAUAGUUUUGAGGAGCGGGGGUUUUUUUUUAAAGAGGAAUCGGGGGGGGAGCGAGUUUUCAAGCUUUUGCAAGGUUACCAGUGUGGGUUUCAUGGGAGGUUUUUUUUUGGAAGAUCAAGGGAAUUAGAGAGAGGAGCUUCAUGCUUCGGGUCGGAGAAGGAAAGACAUAGAAUUUGGAUUUUUCUUCCUCGUAGAGUUUUGGGGAAGACUGAGGCAAUCGCUGCUGAAGUCAGUGUUGUAAUGGUGAAUCGGGAUUUUUAAAUGAAGUGGGUUUGAAUACUCUUGACUGUUUUAUAAAAUCGAGUUACGUCUGUGAUUGAAGGAUUAAAGGGGUGUCUAUAGGAUUGAGUAUGCGGAGUGAAUGAAAUUUAUUGGGUUAAUCUAACAGGACAGUCAGUGGAUACAAGAUCGUAAGUACAAAGGGGUAUUGAAGAUUAACAGUUUGGGUUAUUCGGGGUUCUCUGUAACGUCUAGAGACCUAUCGGCUGCGGCAAAAAAAAAAAAAAAAAAAAAAAAAAAAAAAAAAAAGACUUCGACAAGCAGUCGAAGAGCAUCCGUAUAAAUUUACGGUACAUUGUUGCAGUCGUUUAUAUUCUAGCAGUCAAAAACUGAUAGACUGCUUGACUAUCGGCGAAUCUCCAUACUACCUUCUACAGCCAGACGCCCGGCGCUUUCUCGAGCGGGAAAGUACGUAAUACGACAUAAGUGGUGAACCCGACGUGAAAGCUUGAGGUAGAAGGUAUUGGAUUUCGGUUGAUUUUAUCUUUAUUUUUAUGGAAAACGAAAAUAAAAAUUUUGAAGGAUUUUUGGGAGAAGUUUCUGGUGGGGAGUCUUCUAAAGGACAAGGUAUGGACAUGGAUCCGUCUAUUGCUAGUUUGUUUCAAGCCUUCUCAUUGUCAAUGCAGCAACAGCAAAGCAAUGAUCGAAAGGAAGCUUUGGCAACCAAAGCAUUGCAAGCAGUGGUCAAUAAAAUUGAUCAAUUUGAUGGGAGGAAUAUUUCAAGGUAUUUAAGAUGUUAUGUUCGUGAAAUGGAAUUAAAUCGGGUUUCUGAGAAGAAAAUGGUUGCACUAUUUGGACUUGCCACGAUACCGGAGAUAAGGGACCACAUUACAUCGAUUACGGAUCGUUGUGGGAAUUCAUGGGAGGAUUUUUCACAUGCAUUGAAAGACGAAUAUUUCUUGGAAGAUGCUGAUCGCGUUACUAAGAAGCUGUUUCUGGGAUGGAUUGAACGGCCCAAUAAGAAUUUGCAAGCAACAGAGCUACUAAGGGAAUUUGAGAGGCAGUACUCUCAAUUAUCGAAGGUAGAAAAAUUGACAUUGGAGCCGAACAAAGUUGAUCUAUUUCUUCAAGCUGCUGAUGGAGAAUUGCAAGAGAAAUUAGAACUCCUUCUUGAAGACAAAGAAGAAGAUGAAGGAUUGACAACGAAGUGGAAGAACAUUGAAGAUGCGGUGGGGUUCCUUACAAAAAAAGAAAAGAGGAAGGAUAGGAGUAAUAUUCCGAAAACAGUACAAGCACCCAAAGCUCCAGUACGUACAACACCACCGACAAUGCCUACAGUUCAACCUUCGACAUCCUUGUCAAAGAAAGCAGAUAUGGGUAUGGAAGAAAUUAUACGAGGAAUGCGAGAUCUUCAAAUCAAAUUGGCAAGACUUGAAGAGAAUACUUCUAUAAACAAUUCGAAGAAUGUUUCAAAACAAGGAUAUGUACAAAGAUGCAUUUGGUGUGAUGAUGCUUCACACACUAGAAAAGAUUGCAAUGAAUUUAAUAAUAUGAUACGGCAGGGAAUUAUUUGCUGGAAAGAUGGGAAGAUAGCAUUGAAAGAUAGGGAGGAUCUUCUUCAAAUCAAUUUUGGCAAGGGAGGAAUGAGAGCAUUGGUUCAAGAUUACUUAAAAGAGCAUGAAACAAUAGCACGAGAAAGUGCAAGUUAUGGUGCUAGAGUAGAUGAUGCAAUUGGUGGAAGUACGGAAACUAGUGAGUUUUGGGCUUCUGCCGUUUCUACAAUGCAAGAAGGGAAAUUACCUCGAGAAGCGUUAUUGAGAACUGCAGCUACAAUACGAGGAAGAACAGGUUGGGAGGAUCCUAUUGAGUCUCUUUCAGUUCAUGCAUAUAUUGCUAAGAGCCAACAUGAAGCUUUGAUGGAAGAAAAAAGACGAGGAAAUUUUGAUGAUACUAGAGAAGGAAAUUCUUUUAAGAGGCAAACUCGAGGAGACAAGGCUCGGGAGGCAGCUUCACAAGAAUUGCCUGUAAAGGAUACCUCAGCAUCAUUGGGAGAAAAAACAACGGAGACAAAAGAUAAGGGCAAAUCAAUUGCUUAUAAGCUACUUUCUGACAUUGAAGCGGCAAGAAAUUUGAAAGGGGUGUUGGAAGAACGUAUAUUAAACGCUAAGGUGGAAUUCACAUUGAAAGAAGUCUUGGAAAUUGCAAAGAAGGAGUUUCAUGAUGUUAUCAUUGACAGCAUUAAGCGAAAGAGGCAAUUAAUGAGCGAAAUUGGAAUGAGUCAUGCUAUUGAUGCAAGAAUAUGUAGAGAUGAAGAAGAGGUUGAUAUUGGUUACAAGCAACCAACAAAUGAAAAGAAUGGAUAUAAUCAGCGAAUACAUUUCGAAGAUUCUAGUGACAAGGGAAUGGAAACUUUGAGCCAUUAUAUUCGAAAGCAUUGGGCAAGGGCAACUACUGAGGUAUUGGUGAAGGUAGGAGAUAUAGAAGAACCAAUAGUUGCUUUGGUGGACCAUGGUUCUGAAAUAAAUCUCAUGUCUAAAGAUCUUUAUAAGAAGCAAAAAUGGCCAAUUGAUAUGGAACAUAGAUGGGCAAUACGAGUGACUAAUAACACACGAGGCGAAUUAUAUGGAGCUUGUCCAGAUGUCAAAAUUUGGAUUGGGGAUGUUGCUACGGAGCAACAUUUCUUCGUUCAAGAUACAACGUCUUAUCCAUUGAUUUUAGGACAACCUUAUAUCACGGCAACACGGAUGGAAACAAAGGUACUUGACGAUGGUUCUGCUUAUGCAAGGGUACGGAGCGAAGAUGGAAGAAAAGCUGUACAAUUUCUAACAGUACCUCCUAACCAUGAACGGAAUCGAGAUAGGUUGAGGGAGAAACCAUUGCCAAAGAUUGUUGAAGGAUUUAAGGAUUUUGGGGAGGUACCACUGUAAAGCGAGAUUAUGGAGGUACAAAAAAGGAAGUACUCUCGCGAGAUGAAGGUGCCUUUGAUGCGAGUUUUAUUGGUAUAUUGGAGAAUGGAAAUAUUAUGUAUAAGAAAGUUGAUGAUUUUAAAAGAAAAGAAAGAAAAAGAUUAUAUGAUAUUGAAAGACAGUUACGCAAGAUAGGUACAUUACAAGAUGAUGAGAGAAUUUUGGGUGUUUAUGAAGAAAAUGGACUGGAAGAUUCAUUGGAAUUGAUUACAUCUAUUGGGUUAGGAGAUAAUGAUAAGAUUGUUGAGAUUCAUUCGAGAGAGGUUUAUACCAUGCUUGAAUCUUUUCAAGCACCAGAAGUCACAGUAGAGACGAGAUAUAAAAUGGCAGAUAAGAAGGUAAAGCCUGUUGCCGGACCAUUAUCAGAGGAUUCUAAAGAACAAAUGAGAGAAGCAUCAAAAGAAGCAAGUUUAAGAGAUCCAAUGAGUAUUGGACAUCAGUUUACUGAAGAGACUUUUGAAGAAUUGAAGAUUGGUUCUGAUGGUUCUUUAUUGCCGGAGGAAAUUACUUGCUUCAAAAAGAUGUUGGCUAAACAAGGUAGAUCGUUUGCCUUCGAAUCUCAUGAAAUUGGGUGUGUGAAUCCAAAUAUUAUAACACCUAUGGUUAUCUUCACUGUACCGCAUGUACCUUGGAAUCUAAGACCAAUUCCAGUACCGAGGGCACAUUUACCUAAAUUGGUGGAACUAUAGAAAAAAAAGAUAAAGAUGAAAAUAUUAGAACCUUCAUUUGCGCCAUAUUCUAGUCGAUGGUUUACGGUACCUAAGAAGAAUGGGUCACUACGUUUUAUUCAAGAUAUGCAGCCGGUGAAUGCUGUAACUGUCAGGAAUGCAGGAAUUGGACCUAUUGUGGAUGAAUUUGCUGAGGCGUUUGCUGGAAGGGCGAUCUAUUCAAUGGGUGAUUUGUAUUCAGGUUAUGAUCAAUUUCAACUUGCCGAAGGAAGUAGAGAUAUGACAACGAUGAGCACACCGCUUGGAUUGGUUAGAAUGUGCACUCUUCCUCAAGGCGCGACCAACUCAGUUGCGCAUAUGAUGAAUGGGAUGAAUAAGGUAUUGAGAGAUUUUAUUCCGGAAAAGACUAUGCCUUUUCUGGAUGAUGUUCCAAUAAAAGGGUGCAGAGAAGGAGACAAGGAUGAAACUUUAGAUACGAGGGGGUGUUGCAGAUAUAUUGUUGAUCAUAUACAAGAUUGUGAAAAGAUUAUAACUCGGCUUGGAGAAGUUCAUCUUACAUUAUCGGAUAUGAAGUCCGUAUUUGGAGUGCGAGAGGUUGUAAUUGUUGGACAUUUAUGUGGAUCUUACGGAAGAAAAUCAGAUCCGACUAAAGUUGAUGCAAUUGGAAGGAUGAAAGACGAUUGUGGUUCUUUAACAGAGGUUCGCAGGUUUUUGGGUGCAUGUGUAUUUUAUCGAAUCUGGAUCCCUCAUUUUGCUCACAUAACGGAUCCAUUAUAUGAACUGUUACGCAAGGGUUACCGAUUUGAAUGGAAAGAAAGGCAUAUUCAGGCAAUGCAAAGAUUGAAGAAAUUAUUGAUGUCACCUCCAAUAUUGAGGAAGGUUGAUUAUAAGUGCAAUAGACCAGUGAUUCUUACUGUAGACGCUAGUCCAAUUGCCGUUGGAUGGGCGGUGGGUCAAGAUGAUUUAAAUGGGAGUAGAUUUGCAGUUCGAUUUGGGACUAAAGUUUUAAGUAUUCGUCAGCGUGCAUAUUCGCAAGUCAAAAGAGAACUUUGGGGAGUCGUUUCGGCUAUGAAAGCUGAAAAGGACUAUUUGAUUGGGGCAGUAGUAGUAAUUGAAACAAAUUGCUUGCUAUUGCUUGGAAUGAUUACUAACUGUUCAACGCCAGAUAUUGCAAUGUUGAGAUGGAUUGCUUAUAUUAAGUCACUAAAUCCAGAAUUUAAACAUAUCACUAGAAAGGACAAUUUAGUAGCAGACAUGCUAUCUCGAGCAAGAUACGAGAGGGAGGACGAAAUGAUUGAAGACAUUGAUGAUGUCGAAUUGAAAUUCUAUUCAAUAUCAAAUCUCAACAGAGAAGACAAGCUAUUUCUUGAAGAAUCUUAUGAAGGAGAAUUAUUGGAUAUUGGUCAUUAUUUGAAUACCUUGUCUAAGCAGGGGAAUUGGUCUACAGAAAAAUUCAAACAAAUAAGAAAAAAAGCAUAUGGAUUUUUACUUCGAGAUGGAUUCUUAUGGAAGAGACCGAAGAAAGGAAUUGGGAUGCCACAACGAGUGAUAGGCAAAAGGGAAGAAAAACUAAAAUUAUUAAAGGAGUUUCAUGAUAGUUUAUGGGCAGAGCAUAGAGGAAUCUGGGCUACUUUUGCUAAACUCAAGGAACGAUAUUGGUGGAAAAAUAUGUAUCAAGAUGUGCUCUCAUUUGUAGAGUCAUGUGAAAUCUGUCAAUCGUAUUCUAAUAUCCGACAUCGAGAUGGUCUUCAUCCUACGUAUCCUCUGGCUAUUCAUUUUAAAUGGGUUGUUGAUUUGGUUAUUAUGCCGGUUGGGUUAUGGCAGAUGAGAUAUUUGGUUUUAGCUCGUGAAGAUUUAUCAAAUCAAGUAGAAGGAAGAGCAUUGAGGACAAAAUCUACAGAGGAGAUUUGUAGGUUUUUGCUUGAAGAUGUCAUUUGCCGUUACGGGUGCGUAGGAAAAAUCACUGCAGAUCGUGGAGAAUUAAAUGCACAAGAAGCUCGUAAGUUCUUUGAAAGAUGUGGAGUUAAACUAUCACUGACUACUGCUUAUAAUCCGAAAGGGAAUGCGAAAAGCGAACGCGGUCACCCGCCGAUUGUGAAAGCAUUGGUUAAAGCUUGUAAUGGGAAGGUUAAAGAGUGGCCACGGCUUUUGUCAUUUGCAUUAUGGGCUGAUCAAACAACACAUAGUUCGGUGACAGGAUAUAUGCCAGUAGAACUUAUGACAGGUCAAAAACCAAUUAUGCCGAUUGAAGAAAAGGUACUUACUUGGAGUAUGCUACCAUGGGAAGAUGGAUUGACAAGAGAAGAACUUCUGGCUAUUAGGAUUCGACAAUUGGAGCAAAGAACGGAAGAUGUCCAGAUAGCAUUGGAAAGGUUAAAAAGAGCGAGGUUACAAAACAAGGCGCGAUUCGAUAAGCAACAUCGAUUGAGACCAAAAGCAAUCGAGGAAGGUGACUGGGUACUUGUUUAUGACAAUAGUUUGGAUAAUCAACAUAGUACUUUGCGGAAAUUUUCAAAACGUUGGUUUGGACCAUAUGUUGUAACAACUGUUCGUGAUAAUGCGACUUACUCAUUACGGGAGUUAGAUGGUACAAAAUUGAAAAUACCAAUUGCAGGGAAGCGAGUAAAAAUAUUUAAACAAAGACACGCAGAGAUGAAUAUGGAAGACCUUAAUGAAGGUACAGAGAUUCCGUAGCAAGAAGAUGAAAGUGAUAUGGAUAAUGAAGGUGACGAAGACGAACUCGACAAAGACGUAGGGGAUAUAUUCUGAAUCAAACAGCAAUUGGGUAAAUUGGUGCAUACCGGAGGAUGCAUAGGUUCAGAGGGGGUGGAUGUCGUGUUGUAACAUGAGUAUACAGUGAAAAUAAAAAGAAAGGGGAAUUUUAUUAAUAUUCAGUUACCUCGAAUAUUGGGAGCAUCGACCAACUCCAGUACAAAUACUGAGUGGUCAGGUUCAGUCACUCCGUUACAGUCAGCCGGGGCAUACUGAAAUGCUCCAUUCGAUUCCAAUAACGGGAGUCAGCAAGAAGAGAAGGACCAAUUCACACGACGGGUUCGAGGAGCCAAUUGGAUCCAAUUUCGAUAAUCCAAUCCGGGUCCUCUUAUCCAAUAUGAGACCUGAAUUGGCCGGUCAACCCAAUGCAGUCUAAUUACGGGGAAUCCAGGUCUUACUACGGGUCUUAGCCAAUCUGACGCGAGGACCAAUUUGACCCAAUUACGGGAAAUCCAGGUCUUACUACGGGUCUUAGCCUAUCUGACGUGAGGACCAAUUUGACCCAAUUACAGGAAAUUCAGGUCUUACUACGGGUCUUAGCCAAACUGACGCGAGGACCAAUUUGACCCAAUUACGGGAACAUCCAGGUUACUACGGGCAUCUUUUCCAAUAUAGGACCUGAAUCGGUCGGGCGACUCAAUGUGGUCCCGAUUACGGGGUUCGAUUCUGUUUCAGGCUGUCUUGUUCUCUGUGCCAUUUCAAGGAACGUUGUUUUCGGUAAAUGGAUUUCUUAAAGGUAAAAAUGGAGGAGAAAGCUUGACGACGAGAGCCAAUUUUGGAUCCAAGCUUGAGGUGGGAGCCAAUUCCGGAUCUAAGACGGAAGAUUGAAGAAAUUCAGAAGAUAAGGUUAGUAGGGAUAUAGUUUUGAGGAGGGGGGGUUUUUUUUUUAAUGGGAAUUGGGGGGGAGCGAGUUUUCAAGCUUUUGCAAGGUUACCAGUGUGGGUUUCAUGGGAGGUUUUUUUUUGGAAGAUCAUGGGAAUUAGAGAGAGGAGCUUCAUACUUCGGGUCGGGGAAGGAAAGACAUAGAAUUUGGAUUUUUCUUCUUCGUAGAGUUUUAGGAAGACUGAGGCAAUCGCUGCUGAAGUCAAUAUUGUAAUGGUGAAUCGGGAUUUUUAAAUGAAGUGGGUUUGAAUACUCUUGACUGUUUUAUAAAAUCGAGUUACGUCUGUGAUUGAAGGAUUAAAGGGGUGUCUAUAGGAUUGAGUAUGCGGAGUGAAUGAAAUUUAUUGGGUUAAUCUAACAGGACAGUCAGUGGAUACAAGAUCGUAAGUACAAAGGUGUAUUGAAGAUUAACAGUUUGGGUUGUUCGGGAUUCUCUGUAACGUCUAGAGACCUAUCGGCUGGGGCAAAAAAAAAAAAAAAAAAGAAAAAAAAGACUUCGACAAGCAGUCGAAGAGCAUCCGUAUAGAUUUACGGUACAUUGUUGCAGUCGUUUAUAUUCCAGCAGUCAAAAACUGAUAGACUGCUUGACUAUCAGCGAAUCUCCAUACUACCUUCUACAGCCAGAUGCCCGACGCAUUCUCGAGCAGGAAAGCACGUAAUACGACAACGGGUGAAAAUUUAGAAACUUAUUGUUAUGCUUGUUGUGAAUGUGUAUAAGAGAUUUGAGGUCAAUCGAAUGGCUAGAUCGUUACAUAUGAAGAUUUUUGUGGGCUAAGGUCUCAGGAUUUAGGAUUUUGAGGACCAAUAAGAUUUUCUUAGAUAUCUAGCAAUCUCCCAGUUGAAUUGGAGAGAUUUCUGGUUUUAUCAGUAGAAGACUAGAUUUCCUAUGUACAAGUAAAAUUUGAAAGCAAUCGAAUGGUGGAAAAGGGAGAUAUCAGCACUGGAAGUUAGUAUCAAGAUUGGAGAAGGAGAGACCAUCUGACAUCCCAACGGAAUUUUGAGGUCAUCGACUAAUUGGUAAGUGCAAUUUUCUUCAAAAUUUGUGUACUAGUUUCUAACUUAAAUUCUAAGAAGUGUACGAAUUUUGAAUUAGAAUCAACGGUUUAAUCUUUAGUUAUUUAAUUUUCAAAUCUGUAAUUAGGGUUUGGUUUGGAUUACGAUUUGAUUAAGGUUUAAGGUUAAAGGUUUUUUAGAAUUUAAGGUUUUAUUAGAUUUUUGUUAGGAUUUGACUAAGUUUUUUUUAAUAUUCUUUUAUAUUUUUUUAGGAUUUCUUUGUAUUUCUUUUAUAACUUCAAUAAAAUUUAAUUGAGCUUGUUUAAUGUUUGAUUAUGAUUUUUAAUAUUUAAUUGUAAAUUCUCUAUAAUCCUAUUGGAUUUUUAGGACCUUUUGUUGCAAUUUUCUUUUACCUUCUACAGCCAAGUGCUUGGUGCAUUAUCAAGCAAGACUUCACAUAAUACGACACCGGUUUUGUUUAUAGUAGUGGUUGGAGCCAUAACUUGAGUUUUUGGAAAAAAUUUUGGCUCAAACAUUUUGGAGAAUGUAACAUUUUGUGUUAAGAAGCUAUAAAUAUAAAUUUCAUGGCAUUUGAGCUUAUAUUUUGUAAGAUAUAAAGAAAAUUACAUGCAGGUGUAUAAAGACAAGGGUUUGAAGUGAUUGUUAGGAUUUUCAAGAUAUCUCAAGAUCCGCAAUGAAUUUGUAAUUAAAAUUUAUUGUAGAAGUUAAUAAAAAUACAUCAGUACCUCAUGUAAAAUUUUAGUUUGUUUGGACGGUCACAUUAAGAGAUAUGAGCUGUUGAAGUCUGGAAAAAUUUCCACAUAAGGAUAUACAAGGUUUUAAAGGAUUUAUCAUAUUUUGGAUGUUGUUGGUUACUUGAGGCUUGUGUAUUUGGUAUAAUUGCUCAAAAGGAAAAAUUUAUAUAUAAACUUACGGCUUCCCUUAUUUUGAAGCUUGAUUGAAUGAUAAGUGAUAGAUAGAUGCCCGGCAUUUUUUUGAGAAAAAUUCUCUCUAUCCCGACAACGCCAUUCCAUAUCUCUAGUAGGAAUUCCAAUUUUAUUUGUGAAGAAAAAAGAUGGAUUAAUACGGAUGUGUGUUGAUUAUUGAAGACUCAAAAAAAUCACCAUUAAGAACAAGUAUCUACUACCUUUGAUAUUUGAAGUCCUUGAUCAGUUGAAUCAAGCUAAGAUCUAUACAAAAAUAGAUCUAUGAGGAGAAUAUAAUCUAAUAUGCAUCAAAGAAGGAGAUGAAUAGAAGACUGCAUUUCAAAUAAGGUAUGGACAUUUCGAAAAAAAUGUCAUUCCUUUUGGACUUACAAAUACACUAGCAGCAUUCUAACAUUUAAUGAUUGAUGUCUUUUGAGAGUUUUUAGAUGAUUUUGUUGUCUGUUACCAAGACGACAUCUUAAUCUAUUCUAAGAACCCAGAAGAACAUGAACUUCAUGUUUGCCAAGUAUUACAAAAACUAAGAGAUGCAGGACUCUAUGCCAAGAUAGAAAAGUGUAUAUUUCACACUACUCAAGUCGACUUCUUAGGAUACAUCAUUUCAAAUGAUAGACUUAUGAUGGAUUUUAAGAAAGUUCAAACUAUUAUGGAUUGGAAGAUCCCAAAAAUGGUAAAAGAUGUCUAAUACUUUUUGAAAUUUGCCAAUUACUAUCGGAUCUUCAUCAAAGACUUCUCUCAAGUUGCAUCUCCACUUACACGUUUGACUUGCAAAGACAAACUUCAAUGGAAUCAAGAAACAAAACUAGCAUUUGAAGCUUUGAAGACAGCCUUUAUUUCUACACCAAUCUUGUAUGCACCAAUUUUUCUAAGCCAUUUUUUAUGGAAACAGAUGCAUCAGACUUUGCUUUGGGUGCCGUAUUGUCACAAAUGGAAAUAGAUGAUAAACUUCAUCCAAUAGCUUUUCAUUCCAGAAAAUUUUUAGCAACCGAGAUUAACUACAAGAUCUACGAUAAAAAAUUUCUUGCAAUCGUGGAUUCGUUUUAAGAAUGGCACCAUUAUCUAGAAGGUGCUUCUAGCCUAGUCACAGUAUAUACGGAUCACAAGAACCUUAAAUAUUUUAUGUCAGCACAUGUUUUGAAUCAUUGCCAAGCUCGUUGCAGUAUAUCUUUGUCAAGAUUUAAAUUCAAGAUCACUUAUCGACCAAGAAAACAAUAAGGUUUAUGAGAUGCACUCUCUAGAUGAUCUUACUUUGUACCAAAAGAAAGAGAUAUUUUUUUUUUAUCAACAAUGGAAAAUUCUCUUGAAGCUAGAGCAUCUUCAUCUUUGAGCAAUGAAAUCAAAACUAACUGUUGAUUCAACUUUCAUUAAGCAAGUUCAGUCAAGUAUGUCUUCUUAUCCUCUUCUUCGUGAUAUUAAGGGAAAUCCUUCAAAGUCUCAUGAUACUUCUAAGUUUGAAUUCAACAACAAUCUACUAUAUUGUGAAGGACACCUAUAUGUUCCAGAAGGUGAAGCUCAAUUAUGUAUUCUUCAAGCUCAUCAUGACUUUCUAGUAGUAGGACAUUUUGGAUACAAUAAAACUUUAGAACUAAUAUCCAGGGACUUUUGGUGGCCACAAAUGUGAAAAUAAGUCAAAGAUUUUAUACAAUCUUGUGAUGUUUGCUCAAGAUCAAAAACUCCUUGUCAUCGACCUUAUCGACUUCUUCAGCCAUUACCCAUUCCAGAACAACCAUGGUCUUUUAUUUCUAUGGAUUUUAUCACGGAUCUUCCAAUCUCAGGUUCUUAUGACUCUAUAUUUGUGAUAGUAGAUCGUUUUACCAAGAUGGCACAUUUUGUACCAUGUACAAAAUCUAUCACAGGUGAAAAAAUAGCUAAGCUCUUUCUUGACAAUAUUUAUCGCUAUCAUGGAUUACCCAAGGAUAUUAUAUCAGAUAGGGGAACUCAAUUUGUAUAAAGAUUUUGGCGGACUCUUUUCAAGAUUCUAAAAGUAGAUAUAAAACUAUCUUUGGCAUUCCAUCCUCAAAUUGAUAAACAAAUGGAGUGUAUUAAUCAAGUUUUGGAGCAGUAUUUAAGAUGCACCAUCAACUACCAAUAAGAUGAUUAGACAACUCUUUUGCCAUUGGCAAAGUUUGCUUACAAUAACACGGUACAUUUUUCUAUAAAAUAAAUACCGUUUUUUUUCAAUUAUGGUUAUUAUCCAUGACUUGAUAUUUUUGACUUUUCAAAAGUUGAUAAUCCUACUGCGAAAGAUUUGACAAUUCAUUUGUCAGAGCUACAUGCAACAAUGAAGGCGUAGUUAAUAGAAGCUCAAGAACAAUAAAAAGUCAAUGCGGAUGUCUAUCAAAAGGAACAACCACCAUUCUACAUAGGAGACAAGGUAUGGUUACUUUGUCGCAAUAUCAAGACCACUCGUCUUUGUGACAAGUUGGACUAUCAAAGGCUUAGACCAUUUUCUAUUUCUGCACAAAUUAAUCCAGUUGUAUAUCGUUUAUAUCUAUUGGAGUGAAUAAAAAUCCAUCUAGUAUUCCACAUGUCUCUUCUUGAACCAUACAAGACAGUGGACAUACCAAAAGGAAGACAAGCUCCAUCUCCUCCUAUAGAAGUAGAUAAUAAUGAAGAGUUUGAAGUGGAAGAAGUCUUAGAUUCAAGAUAGCACCAAAAUAAAUUAGAAUAUCUUAUCCAUUGGUGCAAAUAUGACAUUAGUGAACGCACAUAGGAGCCAGUAAAGAAUCUUGCAAAUGCAACAAAGGUAGUGGAGGCUUUUCAUCAAUGACAUUCAUCUUAAUUAAAAUAAAAAUCUUUCUUAUAAAAGAUAUAAGAUCUAGACAAGAUAACAUUCUACUUUCAAUCUUUUUUUGUAGCUUCUUUGUAGUUGUGACGCUAAUGAUGGAGAACCAACAACUAGCGGAUUUGACUCAAGAGCCUUCAUGUGCUGACCUGCCGAAUAAGACAUUAUGAUUGUCACAACCUUCAAGAUAAUGCAAUCAAGAUGAAGAUCUUCAAGAACAACAUGUUCUUUUUUGAAUAGAUGGCAAGAUACAAUGCGUUUGGUAUCACGACCUUGGAAGGGACUCCCAAUAUUUGGUGAUUUUACUAGAGGUAGGAACAAUUCCUGAUGGUGUUCUAAAUAUUUUAUUUGAAGGAAGUUAUGAAGGCCUCAACAAUGAUCAAAUAACUAGGUGGUCUUCCUAUCCUAGUAUGGAACACUAUCGAUGGUUGAGAGGCCCUAUGAAUCAUCUUCGAAGAGAAUAAAGAUCAGAGUAUGUGACGAAUAUAAUUCGUUACAUCAUAGAUUUCUUUAAUAUAUGAUGAUUGCUUCUCAAGGAACUGGUCCCUAGAAGGUGGAGUAAUGUCAUGGACAUAUGCAUGUAAGCCAAUAAUUAUAUAUAUAAAUAGGUAGAAAGUAAGUAAAAGUAGAUAAAAGUAAAUUAAUUCUAUAAUAUUUGCUAUAGAAGAUUCUUAGAAGCUUUAUAGAUGUUGCUUUGACUUUAUAGGUGUUUUUAAUUGAUUUUUUGGAUUAGAAACAUGGUCAAUAAGUUGGCCAUGUGCCACAUAUGUUAUUAGAUUCAAAAUAAAGCUAAUUAUAUAGUCCACACAUAGAAAAACUUGCCUUGUAAGUCAAGGCAUGUGUCCUACAAAGUCAACACAUAUUAGAGGUUUUAUAGAACAUUGCCACGUAGCCCCUAAUUAGAUAGUAUAUAUAGAGAUAAGAAUGAAGCCCUCUUCACUCUUAUCAACUCCUUUCUUGCUUCUAGUCUAGUUUCAAGGAUCUCUAAUUUUCUUAUUUUUUUGGCAAUAGCUAUUUCCGUUUUUUUUUUUAAUAUACAUAUUGAGUUAUUUCUAUUUUGUCAUCUUUCUUUGAGAAAAGACUCACUUGUUUAUUUAUUUUUAUCAAGUUCUUGUCCUUGAUAAUAGAUCAACUUUUCAAGCAACUUUACUUAGUUUUAUUGUAUAAUGAUAUUGAUGCCUCAACACUUGCAUGAGUCUUCUUCAACAUUAUCUUUUGUCACUAUAGAUUAUUUUAUGUCACCAUUUCAAAUUGAGAUCCGUGUUUUAUGAAGAGCCUUAUUCAAGCUUCUAGACACAUAACUUGCUAUGUCUUUGGCCUUUUAUCUUCAAACAAAUGGAUAAACAAAGCAUGUAAAUUGGACUUCAAAAGAUAUCCUAUAAACAUUUGUAGGGAUUCACUAUAAUGAUUGAAAUGAAUAUUUGACACAUUUGAGUUUACCUACAAUGGUAGUAUUCAAGCAAAUACUAGUUAUUUAUCAUUCUUAUUUAAUACUAAUUAACAUCCAAUUAUGCCAGCAACUCUCCAUUAUUCCAUUGAUACCAAGAAUCCAACAACGAAGGAAUUUAUAAAAUAGAUUACAACAACCUUGCAAAAGACAUGAUACCAUCUCUUUAUUGCAUAGAAUCAACAAAAGUAAUAUGAAAAUAACCACUUGCAAUAGAAGACCUUCUAAGAGGGAGACUAGGUAUUAUUCUCUAAUGCCAAUCUUCCAAUUGCUACAUCAACACAAGUCUAUAAGCUAGCACCUUGAUGGCUUGGACCUUUCCAUGUUUCUGUAAUAAUUUUUGAUGUUUCAUACCACUGUCGUAUGGCAUGAUUUGCUAUCUGAGAAUACACUGGAUAUCUAGCUAUAAAGAGUGUAGCUUAAACCUUUAUAUGAAUCUUUUCUUAGCUUCCAAAAUUCUUUUAUUUUACAUAAAAUUCAAAAUAUAAUAAAAUCCCUUCAAAAUAUAUUUUUUUCGCAAAGGGGUUUCUUUUUUUGAACUUUAGAAAUUCAUAACUCUUGAUCUAGCUGAUCAAUUUGUUUCAAAUUUAUAGAAUAGGUAGAAUUAACCCUUAACUUUUACCAUAAAAAAAACCAACUUCAAAUUCACUUCCGAUCUUUUGGCAUCUAAGAAACUCUAGCAGACACUCUAAAUCCUAAUUUACAAGUACAUGAGCACUAUUUUCUUAGUAUCUCAAGAACUCAAUACUCAAAUAUCAUUAAACUUAUAUAAAAAUUUUAUUAACAUGAAUUUGCACAUUUCUUGAAAUUUUGAGCCAAAACCUUGUCAAAUUGCUCAAGAUAUAACUCAAGACACAACCACUAGUAAAUCGGGUCAUUUACUACCCUUAGAUUGCAUGCAUUGACUUCAAAAUUCAAUAACUCCUUCAUCCAAACUUGGGAUCCAGCAAGCAAUAUGCAAAAAGUGAAGUUGCAAAAGUUUUCUCUCCAAUUGUAGUCACCGAUCCUCAAUUGCUAUCUAUACGCGUGCAUUAUGCCAAAAAGAGUGAUAGUAGCUUCCAAAUGAACACCUUAACUUUGAGUGCGUAUAUCUCCUUCAUAUAAACUCCAAACCAUACAAAACUUGAACCAAAACCAUAGCCAAAAUCCUAAACUUGUUGAUUCUAGCCUUCAAAAUUCGAAUGGCUCCGAAAAAUAACCCUAAUCUCUAAUAUAGCCUCGGAUAGCCUCCUCAAAGCCUAUUGGUCAUGAUUUUUGACCAAUAGGAAUGGAGGUUUUCAUCAUUCAUCUCUAUUCAUCUAUAUUGGUGCCUUUAUUACUCCAUUUUCUACCAAAAUCCUUUUCAAUCUUUUUUCUUAUAAGAUUUACAUAAUUUAUGCUCUAAAUACCAAAUAAAAGAACCAAAAUAAGUUUUCAAAGGUCACCAAUGUCUAAUAAAGGUGACUCUAAAUAUUUAGAAGUUACUAUCAACCAAAACCAAUCUUAAAAGCCACUAUCAAAAGGAAAUUAAAGUUAUAAAAAUUCUAUAGUAAUCUUUUUGAACAAUCUCUUCUCAAAGUAAUAAUCAAAUUAUAUUCUACAACCAACUAAAAUCUACUAACAUGGCUCUCUCCAUAUUACUUAAUAAAUUAUAUAUUAAGCACAUAAUUAUAUUAUUUUCAUAUAAUAGCCUAACCACAACACGACACUAGUUUGAGCUUCUGUCACAUAUAUGGAUCCAUCUAGUCUUCCAUAUAUUGAAACUUAAAGAGUUUCAUAUUAAACCAAGGUGCUUUUCAAAUCAACACCAACUACUACUACUACUAUUUGUUGUAAUUGAUGACCAACAAGAAUAUGAAGUAUACAAUAUUUUAGAGCUUUGUUACCUUUGCCAUCGCAAUGGAUGUUGUUGUAAUGUAACAUGACUAAUAGGUGAAAGAGUGUGGAAAUUAUUAUAAUGUAAGAGAUCUUAAUUCAAAGUAUUAGAGCAAAUUAUUUUAGAAAUAUAGUUAAUAGUCAAAAUGAUAGUAAAACUAAAAGAUUGGAGCAUGGAAAUUGAUGGCAAACUGAAUAAGGUUUCUAUGACAUUGGUUUUGGAUGAUUUAGAGUUGUUGUGACUUUGUAAGAGCUUUACAAAGUCAAGAUUGUUUCCAGAUGACUUGGAUUUUGUGAAAUAAAAUAAGGUUGAAGUUUCUAGUGAUUUCAAGAGUUUUUUAAUAGAUCUAUAAGUGAAAUUUUGUGGGUUAAUGGUCAUAGUUGUUCUUAAUAUGUAUUGUAAAUCUUAGAUUGAUUUAAUGGUUGAAUUGAGGGUUAUUGAGAUUUAAGUAGAUCAAGGUCUCAAAAAUUAGAAUUUUAGGUCUUAUAAGAGUUUUUAAGAUUUCUUGUAAUCUUCUAAUUGGAUUGGAGUGAAAUUUGUAGUUGAAGAUAGUAGACUUGUUUUUCUAUGUAUUUAAAAAUUUUGAGAUCAAUUGAAUGAUGAAAAGGAGAGAUAUCGGCUCUAAGAGAUUGAGUCAAAUAUUACAGAAGAAGGCCGGCCAAUACUAAAGCACAUUUUUGAGGUUAUCGUCUAUUUGGUAAUUUUGAUCCUUUUCAAAUUUUUUGUGCUUAUUUUUAAUUUAAUUUUUAAGAAGUGUGAAAAAUCUGAGUUAAGAUCAAUGGUUCAUUUAUUAUUUAUUGAGGUUUAAAUCUAUUACAGAAAUUAUUAGGAUUUGAUUAAGAUUUGAUUUAAGAUUUAGGAUUUGAUUAGGGUUUGAUUUAGGAUUAGGAUUUGAUUAGGAUUUGGUUUAAGAUUUAAGAUUUGGUUAGGAUUUUAUUUAGGAUUUAGGAUUAAGAAUUUGAUUAGGAUUUGAUUAGGAUUUGAUUUAGGAUUAGGAUUUGGUUAGGAUUUGAUUUAGGAUUAGGAUUUGGUUAGGAUUUGAUUUAGGAUUAGAAUUUGGUUAGGAUUUGAUUUAGGAUUUAGGAUUUGGUUUAGGAUUUAAGGUUUAAUUAGGAUUUGGUUUAGAAUUUAAGAUUUCAUUAGGAUUUGAUGUAGGAUUAGGAUUAGAUUAAGGUUUGAUUUAGGAUUAGGAUUUGAUUAGGAUUUGAUUUAGAAUUAGGAUUUGACUUAGGAUUUAGGAUUUGGUUAAGGUUUGAUUUAGAGUUAGGAUUUGAUUAAGAUUUGGUUUAGGAUUUAGAAUUUGAUUUAGGAUUUAAGGUUUGGUUAAGGUUUGAUUUAAGAUUUAGGAUUUGAUUAAGAUUUGAUUUAGGAUUUGGUUAGGAUUUGAUUUAGGGUUUAAGAUUUUAUUAGGAUUUAUUUAGGAUUUGAGAUUUAGUUAGUUUUUGGCCUAAAUUUUGAAUGAAGUCUAAUAGGAUUUUAAUUAAGAUUGAAUUGAGAUAUAUUUGUGAUCAUUUUAAUAUUUUUUUAAGAUUUCUUAUCAUUUCUUUGUAAUUCCUUUGAAGUAUCUUUGAAUUUGAUUAAAUCUUCUUUAGCAUUAUUUUAAUCUAAUUAGAGUUUAAUUAAUAUUCUAUUAGAGUUAGGAUUUUUUUGUUACAAUUUCCAUUCUACCUUCUACAAUCAGGUGCUUGGAGCAUUCUCAAGCAAGACUUCAUGUAUUAUGACAACAUUUACAACUUUAAUACAAAAUUCUCUAAAAAGAUUAUUCCAUCCACGAUGGAAUAUGAGAACCUAUACAAAACCUCAUUCAUUCUCAAGAAACCAUUUGGAAAUACCAUUCAAAGCAAAAUAAAGAUGUUCCGCAUUAAUAGAGGGAAUUAAUUGUAAUAAGGGAUGGAUAGGAUAUUUAUAUUAUUCAUAUAUAAAGAUAUGUAAUUGGAGUCAUUUUUGAAAAGUUUCUAGAAUUGAAGUUAGGGUGGUGGUUCAUAUGAUAUCUACCAUAGAACCUUCUAAAAAAGCUUAGGGCGGUUAUCAUGGUGGAAUCCACUUCUAAAAUCUUCUAGAAGAGAAAUUAUCUUAAUAGAAUCCACUAUUAAGGACAUUCUAGAAAGUUUUAAGGAUAGUUGAAUAAAGUAUAAAUAGGAAUGACUGAGGCAAUUUGGACAAUUAAUCAUGUAUGGCUUUAGAUUCUUUCUCUUAGUAAAGUAUGGUCUUUUUUUUUCUAUUCUAUUCUGUUUGAUUCUAUAUAUUUUCAUUUUCUUUUACUUAGUCCUAUCAUUCAUAUUCCAUUCUGCUUAGUUACUUUCAAUUAUGUUUUGAUGUACUUAGUCUUACAAUGUGUUGAGAUCUUUAUUAUUGUGAAAUUGGUAAGGUUUUAGACCUUAGAGAAUCCAGUCUUGUUUUACAAACAUUCUAAGGGUUACAAGAGCUUAAAAUAUUUUUCAAUCAGUCAUUUGGUUUUUUUAAUUUUUAUGUGAUUUUUUUUAUUAUUAUAGCUUCUGAUAUUAACUUUUCAACAAGAUAAGACUUACUUGAUUUGGAGUAUGAUCGAAUUUUUGGUGAAAUUUUGAGUGCAAGAGGGUCGGCUGCCUUGGCAGUUGAGAUCAUCUAUCUUUAAAAAUGUAGUUCUCAGUGACUUCUAAUUGGAUUAUUAUGAAAUUUUGGAAAUAAAUGCAUCUUUAAGCUAAGAUUUUAAGGACAUAAAAUUCUUUGAAUUUAAAGAUGAAUUAAAUUUUUGGCAAAUUUCCAAGUAGAGGGAGGUUGCUUGCUACAACAAUCUUUGUCUCUCAUCUUUAAAGGAGCAUUACUCAUGGUAUAGGUACUAGAUUGAGUUGUAAUUUCUAAGAUUAUGAGCGCCUUUAAGUUGAAUUUUAAAAAAAUUAAAAUCAUUCAAUUUAAAGCUUAUCAUGAUUUUUGAAAAUUUUUGGAAUAGAAGGAGGUUGCUGCCCUUAAUUCUUCAGUGUUAUCAAGGUACCUUCGCUUUUAUCUUUCUUUAGUUCCAUUUUUAUUUUUACUUUUACAGUAACUCAUAACUUUCAUAUUUCAACUUUAGAUGUUUAAUUUUUAAAUUUUAACCUUUAAUCUUCUUUCAUUUGUUUUUAACUUUUAUUUUUAACUUAAAUUUUAAGAUUUUAUUUUUACUAUGGAUUAAUGGCAAAAACUUAAUUAAUUACUUUUAUUGUUAUUUAUUUAAGAAGUAAUAAUUUAUAAAUUUUAAUUAAUAAAAUUUCUAAUUACUUUAAUUAAUUAUAAUUUUAUAACCAUACAAAAUUUUGUAGAAACUAUAAGAAUAGUCUUUACUAGUUUGUAAAAUAUUAAAUAAAAACCAAAUGAAUGGUUUGAACAAUCUAAUGGCAUUUGAAUAGACACCAUGUAAGUGGUAUUGAAAGAACAAUAGUAGUCAAGAAAAGGUCAUAAAAAUGAUGUUGAAUUAUGUGAAUUAAAUCCUAAAACAACCAACUUCCUUAAAAUUUAUUUUAUUCCGUCUUCAUUAUUUGUCUCUAUUGUAUUUUCUUUGUUGAGAGAUAUUAUAGGCUUUUAUAAAUUUUAUUUAUUUUCUUCUUCUUUUUUUUUAUUAAUAAAUUAAAUUAUAAGCCUAAAAAAUAAGGGAUUUAGGUAAAAAUUAUAUAAAUGGUCUUGCAAGAACCUAUGACAUUUAAAUAAAGAUUAUGCAAGUAGUCUUGAAAGUCUAUAGUAAAGUUCAUUAAAUCUUUUUUUUUUAAUAUUGAUAACCAUUGCUUCGAGGGCAUUAAGUUAAUUAAAUUACAACCACUAAGAUUUAAAUUAACUUAAUAAUUACACAAUUGAGAGUUCUUCUACUCUACCUCUUGAAUUUAUUCCCAUAUCAAUUUCAUGAAAUGGUAAAAAUUGGGCUCAUAUGCCCCGAAGGCCAAUACUAAGAAUAGCUACUAUCUCUUAGAGACAAAUGGCAUGGCCUUAGAAAACUAUCAAAAGGGUUGAUUGAAGGGUCUAAUAGAUCAAUUAAAAAAAUAGCCAUAUCAAGUGCUUGUAGAUUAUAGCUUCACAGAAAAAAGAAUCUCAAUUGGGAUUGUGAACUGACUUUAGAUUAAAACCAAGGUAAUCAAAGGAGGGAGUAUAUACCUAACAAAUAAUCAAAAGAAUAUAUUGAAUGAAACAUGUGAGGAAGAAACCUUGACAUUAAAUCACACCAAUGCCUUAAGAAAAAAUUUCAAAGUAACAAAGCUUAGAUAUGACUUCAUUUUUGUUUUGAUAUACGUAGAAGUGAAAAAUAAGCAAGUUGAUUCAGUAGCAAGGAUGAUUUCUUUCAAAGAUGGUGGACAUAAGAUGACUCUUUAUACUUUCACAUCAAGUGAGAUAUAAAAACAAUCUACAGCUAAAGGCUUACUUGUAAAGAUGAUUUUUAUGAAGAAGCAAAUAUAGCAUAAGAAAUUGAUAUAUAUGGUGGUUCCAAAUCUUAUAUUAAUGGUCAAAAAUAUAGCCAAAGGAAUAGAAUGGAUAUAAAAAUUCAUACAUGAAUAUUAUAAUGUCUUCUUAAUCAACUUAUCUAGUCACAUACCACUUGAUUAAGGUACCUCUUUCUAAAUAGAAUUAUUUUUUGAGGUCAAACUGAUAAAUUGGCUAAUUUAUUACCUACAAAUUUGAAGAAUUAUAAAAGAUAUUAGAUAAACUCUUGAAGAAGGACCUCAUUUAAGAAAGCACGUCACUCUAAAAAAGUACAUGUAUUCUUUCAUUCAAAAAGGAUGGUAAAUUUUGGGUUUACAUUGAAUAUUAAAGCUUCAAUAAGCAGAUUGUCAAAAAUGCAUAUCCACUUUUACGCAUGGAUGAUCUUCUUGACCAAAUUUGAAGUGCAAUCAUCUUUAGAAAAUUUAAUAUUUAAAGUGGCUAUUUGUUACGGACAUAGUCCUUAGACCUUUCUAGAGACAAGUUUCUAGAACCUUCUAGAAAGAAGUCUCUAGAAACUUCCCGAAGAUUCCUUGAAUAUUCUCUUAGAAUAUUCUUCAAAGAUUCUCUAAAGAUUCUUUGAAGAUUCCCUAAAGAUUCCCUUAGAAGGCUCUAGAAGAUUCUUAGAAUAUUCUAGUAGAUUCUAGGAAGUUACUUGAGAAGCUUCUUAGCUCUUGGGUAGUUGCUCGAGAAGCUUCAUAGUUCUUGGGAAGCUUCUUGAUGCGCUUCUUUAGAACCAUAGGCCAGUAGUAUAUAUAGGAGUCGAGGCUGAAGAGUUCUUCAAUCUCGACAACACAUCUCUUGAAGCUCUAGCUCAAUUCUCUUGGCGUUGCUCUUCUACUCAUCUGAUAAUCUAGUUCUUGUCAUUUCUUCUUGAACUUCUUGUUUAGAUUUCUUGUUUGUAUUUUUGGUCCGUGACAGUUUGUCGAGACUACCUUUAUCUUAAUAUCAGAGCUGAAUCCUUCUUCUUUGAGAGCGGAUUACCCCUCUUCUUGAAGGUAUUCUAGCGCUUUAGGGGUUGCGGAUUACCUUCCUCUAAACUGAUAUUUUCUCAAUCACAAUAUCAGAGCUUAGUUCUUUGAGGCAAAGAGUGGACUACCCCUUUUCUUGGAGAUACUUGAGCGUUCUAAGGGUUGCGGAUUACCCUCUCUUGGACUGAUAUUAAUUCCUUCUUUUUGUUUAGCAUAGCUAGUAAAAAAGACUGUUAACAUCGAUUUCAGAGCUUUGCCUUCUUGAUAGAGUGCGGAUUACCCCUCUUCUCGAAAGCAUUGAGGCAUUUUUAGAGGUUGCGGAUUACCCUCCUCUAAAACUGAAAUCAUUUAGUGUUUUUUUUUCUUUUCUCCGAGUAGGUUUUAGUGACAGGUAGUGCUACAAUUUUCUCCAAGAGACUUAGCAAUUUCUUCUUCUCUCAAAAUUUUAAUCCAUCUAUUCUCUAAAUAUGGAAGUAGACCAGGUCAUAGACAGUGCAUCUCCACAAGUAGACAAUAGAGUGGCAACUCUUGCAGAUCUUCAAGCUCUUAUGAAUAGUGUACGAAAGGAGAUUGCAUUUCUUCGCAAUCCAAGUAAAGAACCUCAAAUUGAUCUAGUGACCGAAGAAGCUAGACGCAAAAUUCAUAGCCUACAACAAGAGAUUAUUCGAAUGAGAGAAGCAAGACAUGUGUCACAUACGAUCCCUAUGGAUACUUCAAAGAUUAGUACGAAAGAACCAAAAGUGAGUAUGCCAGACAAGUUUGACGGAACAAGAGCCAACUUCCGAGGUUUUGUGCAACAAGUACGGCUUUACCUACGCCUAUACCCUUCUCGUUAUCCAAAUGGAUUUACCCAGGUUGCUUUCAUAGGUACUCUUCUAUCAGGAAAUGCUCGCUCUUGGUUUGCUCCACUAUUGAAGAAGGAUUCUCCAAUAUUGUACGACCUAGAGGCUUUCAUAGAGAGACUUACUGCUGCGUUUGGAGAUAGCGAUCGAGAAAGAGUGACUGAAAGAAAGAUACAAAAUCUGCGACAAGGAUCACUUUCUGCUGCAAUCUAUGCUGCAGAAUUUCAACAGCUUACAUGUGAUCUUGAUUGGAAUGAUAAGGCGUUCAUGACACGAUUUUGAUAUGGACUGAGAGAUGAUGUCAAGAACUUAUUGAUCACCAUGCCUAAGGCGGAUACUUUAGAAGAACUUAUAUCUCAGGCAAUUAUUUGUGACAACCGCCUCUUUGAAUUACGACAAGAAAGACGAUCAGGCUGGAGAAAUGAUGGAGCAUUUGCUACAUUUUCAAAAGGUCCAGAGAAUCACUCCACAGAUCCUGAAUCCAUGCAAAUUGAUGCGGUACGUUUCAAACCCCUCACAACUGAGGAAAGGAAGCGACGGUUUGAACAAAACUUGUGUUUAUAUUGCGGAGAAGUGGGCCAUAAAGCUGUAGAUUGUCGGAAGAAACAGAAGCCUCAAACAACAAGACUCAGGAGUACAAGCAUGCAGGAAAACAAGGACGCCCAGCCACAAUAGGGACCGUGUGGCUGGACAUCUCAACAUCCAAAAUUAAUCUAGGUCCCUUUCUCUCAGCUCAACCUUCAGAUUGUUUUAUGGUACCUUUACAUCUGAGUAUUCAAGAACUAUAAGUCGAUGCUUUAUUAGACUCAAGUGCAUCCGCUUGCUUUAUAGAUGAAGAGUUUGCCAAGCUUCACAAUAUUUCUCUUGUAAAGAAACUUAAGCCUGUCCAUGUAGAAGUCAUAGACGGACGACCAUUGUCUUCGGGCAAUGUUAUCCAUGAAACUAAACCAUUGAAGGUACGUCUUGAAAACCAUGAGAGCAAUAUUGUAUUUAAUGUUAUCAAGACCCCUUCAUGUCCUAUCAUUUUGGGACUAUCUUGGCUUGAUAGAUAUAAUCCAUUGAUAGAUUGGAAGUUGCGGAAAGUGACAUUUCCAACAAACUCCUUGAAGGUGGAAUCUGCCAAGACAAUGUCUAGAAACAAAUCCUUGUUUAUAGGUGCAAGGGCUUUCAUGAAGGAAGCCAAGCAAAAUACACCUCUUGUCAUCUUCGUAACUCCGACUCGAGAAGAUGCAACUCCGACUUUGGUUAUUCCAAAGCAGUAUGAAGAAUUCAAAGAUGUCUUUGAAAAGAAGAAUGCUGAUAUGCUGUCAGAGCAUUGACCCUAUGACUGUGCCAUUGAAUUGCAAGAAGGAGCACAACCACCUUUUGGACCAAACUGUAAUUUAUCGCAGACGGAGUUGACUGAGUUGCGGAAGUACAUUGACGAGAAUCUAGCCAAGAACUUCAUCCGUCAUUCGAAGUCGCCAGUUGGGGCACCAAUCUUAUUUGUGAAGAAGAAGGAUGGCUCACUACGGAUGUGCGUGGACUAUCGAGGUUUCAACAAGGUGACAAAAAAGAAUCGCUACCCACUGCCUUUGAUCUCUAGUCUUCUAGAACAACUUGGGCGUGCAAAGAUCUUUACAAAGAUUGACCUAAGGGGAGCUUACAACCUUGUACAAAUUAAGGAAGGAGAUGAAUGGAAGACAGCGUUCCGAACAAGGUAUGGCCAUUUUGAAUACAAUGUCAUGCCAUUUGGUCUUACUAAUGCUCCAGCGGUGUCGUAUUACGUGCUUUCCUGCUCGAGAAUGCGCCGAGCGUCUGGCUGUAGAAGAUAGUAUGGAGAUUCGCCGAUAGUCAAGCAGUCUAUCAGUUUUUGACUGCUGGAAUAUAAACGACUGCAACAAUGUAACGUAAAUCUAUACGGAUGCUCUUCGACUGCUUGUCGAAGUCUUUUUUUUUUUUUUUUUUUGCCCCAGCCGAUAGGUCUCUAGACGUUACAGAGAACCCCGAACAACCCAAACUGUUAAUCUUCAAUACACCUUUGCACUUACGAUCUUGUAUCCACUGACUCUCCUGUUAGAUUAACCCAAUAAAUUUCAUUCACUCCGCAUACUCAAUCCUAUAGACACCCCUUUAAUCCUUCAAUCACAAACGUAACUUGAUUUUACAAAACAGUCAAGAGUAUUCAAACCCACUUCAUUUAAAAAUCCCAAUUCACCAUUACAACACUAACUUCAGCAGCGAUUGCCUCAGUCUUCCCAAAACUCUAUGAAGAAGAAAAAUCCAAAUUCUAUGUCUUUCCUUCCCCGACCCGAAGCAUGAAGCUCCUCUCUCUAAUUUCCCUGAUCUUCCAAAAACCUCCAAUGAAAACCGAACUAGUAACCUUACAAAAGCUUGAAAACUCGCUCCCCCCGAUUCCCCCCCUAAAACUAUAUCCUCCCCUAACCUUAUCCUCUGAAUUUCUUCAAUCUUCAGUCUUAGAUCCGGAAUUGGCUCCCACCUCAAGCUUGGAUCCAAAAUUGGCUCUCGCCGUCAAGCUUGGAUCCAAAAUUGGCUCUCGCAGUCAGAGCUUUCUCCUCCGUUUUUAUCUUUAAGAGAUCCAUUUACAGUAAACAACGUUCCCUGAAACGACACAGAGAACAGGACAGCCUGAAACAGAAUCGAACCCCGUAAUCGGGACCACAUUGAGUCGCCCGACCAAUUUAGGUCCUAUAUUGGGAAAGAUGCCCGUAGUAAUCUGGAUGUUCUCGUAAUUGGAUCAAAUUGGUCCUCGCGUCAGAUUGGCUAAGACCCGUAGUAAGACCUGGAUUCCUCGUAAUUAGACUGCAUUGGGUUGACCGGCCAAUUUAGGUCUCAUAUUGGAUAAGAGGACCCGGAUUGGAUUAUCGAAAUUAGAUCCAAUUGGCUCCUCGAACCCGUCGUGUGAAUUGGUCCUUCUCUUCCUGCUGACUCCCGUUAUUGGAAUCGAACGGAGCAUUUCAGUAUGCCCCGGCUGACUGUAACGGAGUGACUGAACCUGACCACUCAGUAUUUGUACUGGAGUUGGUCGAUGCUCCCAAUAUUCGAGGUAACUGAAUAUUAAUAAAAUUCCCCUUUCUUUUUAUUUUCACUGUAUAAUCGUGUUACAACACGACAUCCACCCCCUCUGAACCUGUGCAUCCUCCGGUAUGCACCAAUUUAUCCAAUUGCGGUUUGAUUCAGAAUAUAUCCCCUACGUCUUUGUCCAGUUCGUCUUCGUCACCUUCAUUAUCCAAAUCACUUUCAUCUUCUUGCUGCGGAAUCUCUGUACCUUCAUUAAGGUCUUUCAUAUUCAUCUUUGCGUGUCUUCGUUUAAAUAUUUUUACUCGCUUCCCUGCAAUUGGUAUUUUCAAUUUUGUACCAUCUAACUCCCGUAAUGAAUAAGUCGCAUUAUCACGAACAGUUGUUACAACAUAUGGUCCAAACCAACGUUUUGAAAAUUUCCGCAAAGUACUAUGUUGAUUAUCCAAACUAUUGUCAUAAACAAGUACCCAGUCACCUUCCUCGAUUGCUUUUGGUCUCAAUCGAUGUUGCUUAUCGAAUCGCGCCUUGUUUUGUAACCUCGCUCUUUUUAACCUUUCCAAUGCUAUCUGGACAUCUUCCGUUCUUUGCUCCAAUUGUCGAAUCCUAAUAGCCAGAAGUUCUUCUCUUGUCAAUCCAUCUUCCCAUGGUAGCAUACUCCAAGUAAGUACCUUUUCUUCAAUCGGCAUAAUUGGUUUUUGACCUGUCAUAAGUUCUACUGGCAUAUAUCCUGUCACCGAACUAUGUGUUGUUCGAUCAGCCCAUAAUGCAAAUGACAAAAGCCGUGGCCACUCUUUAACCUUCCCAUUACAAACUUUAACCAAUGCUUUCAUAAUCGGCGGGUGACCGCGUUCGCUUUUUGCAUUCCCUUCCGGAUUAUAAGCAGUAGUCAGUGAUAGUUUAACUCCACAUCUUUCAAAGAACUUACGAGCUUCUUGUGCAUUUAAUUCUCCACGAUCUGCAGUGAUUUUUCCUACGCACCCGUAACGGCAAAUGACAUCUUCAAGCAAAAACCUACAAAUCCCCUCUGUAGAUUUUGUCCUCAAUGCUCUUCCUUCUACUAGAUUUGAUAAAUCUUCACGAGCUAAAACCAAAUAUCUCAUCUGCCAUAACCCAACCGGCAUAAUAACCAAAUCAACAACCCAUUUAAAAUGAAUAGCCAGAGGAUACGUAGGAUGAAGACCAUCUCGAUGUCGGAUAUUAGAAUACGAUUGACAGAUUUCACAUGACUCUACAAAUGAGAGCACAUCUCGAUACAUAUUUUUCCACCAAUAUCGUUCCUUGAGUUUAGCAAAAGUAGCCCAGAUUCCUCUAUGCCCUGCCCAUAAACUAUCAUGAAACUCCUUUAAUAAUUUUAGUUUUUCUUCCCUUUUGCCUAUCACUCGUUGUGGCAUCCCAAUUCCUUUCUUCGGUCUCUUCCAUAAGAAUCCAUCUCAAAGUAAAAAUCCAUAUGCUUUUUUUCUUAUUUGUUUGAAUUUUUCUGUAGACCAAUUCCCCUGCUUAGACAAGGUAUUCAAAUAAUGACCAAUAUCCAAUAAUUCUCCUUCAUAAGAUUCUUCAAGAAAUAGCUUGUCUUCUCUGUUGAGAUUUGAUAUUGAAUAGAAUUUCAAUUCAACAUCAUCAAUAUCUUCAACCAUUUCGUCCUUCCUCUCGUAUCUUGCUCGAGAUAGCAUGUCUGCUACUAAAUUGUCCUUUCCAGUGAUAUGCUUAAAUUUUGGAUUUAGUGACUUAAUAUAAGCAAUCCAUCUCAACAUUGCAAUAUCUGGCGUUGAACAGUUAAUAAUCAUUCCAAGCAAUGGCAAGCAAUCUGUUUCAAUUACUACUACUGCCCCAAUCAAAUAGUCCUUUUCAGCUUUCAUAGCCGAAACGACUCCCCAAAGUUCUCUUUUGACUUGCGAAUAUGCACGCUGACGAAUACUUAAAACUUUAGUCCCAAAUCGAACUGCAAAUCUACUCCCAUUCGAAUCAUCUUGACCCACAGCCCAUCCAACGGCAAUUGGACUAGCGUCUACAGUAAGAAUCACUGGUCUAUUGCACUUAUAAUCAACCUUCCUCAAUAUUGGAGGUGACAUCAAUAAUUUCUUCAAUCUUUGCAUUGCUUGAAUAUGCCUUUCUUUCCAUUAAAAUUGGUAACCCUUGCUUAACAGUUCAUAUAAUGGAUCCACUAUGUGAGCAAAAUGAGGGAUCCAGAUUCGAUAAAAUACACAUGCACCCAAAAACCUGCGAACCUCUGUUAAAGAACCACAAUCCUCUUUCAUCCUUCCAAUUGCAUCAACUUUAGUCGGAUCUGGUUUUCUUCCAUAAGAUCCGCAUAAAUGUCCAACAAUUACAACCUCUCACACUCCAAAUACGGACUUCAUAUCCGAUAAUGUAAGAUGAACUUCUCCAAGCCGAGUUAUAAUCUUUUCACAAUCUUGUAUAUGAUCAACAACAUAUCUGCGACACCCCCUCGUAUCUAAAGUUUCAUCCUUGUCUCCUUCUCUGCACCCUUUUAUAGGAACAUCAUCCAGAAAAGGCAUAGUCUUUUCCGGGAUAAAAUCUCUCAAUACCUUAUUCAUCCCAUUCAUCAUAUGCGCAACUGAGUUGGUCGCGCCUUGAGGAAGAGUGCACAUUCUAACCAAUCCAAGCAGUGUUCUCAUCGUUGUCAUAUCUCUACUUCCUUCGACAAGUUGAAAUUGAUCAUAACCUGAAUACAAAUCACCCAUUGAAUAGAUCGCCCUUCCAACAAACGCCUCAGCAAAUUCAUCCACAAUAGGUCCAAUUCCUGCAUUCCUGACAGUUACAGCAUUCACCGGCUGCAUAUCUUGAAUAAAACGUAGUGACCCAUUCUUCUUAGGUACCGUAAACCAUCGACUAGAAUACGGCGCAAAUGAAGGUUCUAAUAUUUUCAUCUUUAUCUUUUCUUUCAAUAGUUCCACCAAUUUAGGUAAAUGUGCCCUCGGUACUGGAAUUGGUCUUAGAUUCCAAGGUACAUGCGGUACAGUGAAGAUAACCAUAGGUGUUAUAAUAUUUGGAUUCACACACCCAAUUUCAUGAGAUUCGAAGGCAAACGAUCUACCUUGUUUAGCCAACAUCUUUUUGAAGCAAGUAAUUUCCUCCGGCAAUAAAGAACCAUCAGAACCAAUCUUCAAUUCUUCAAAAGUCUCUUCAGUAAACUGAUGUCCAAUACUCAUUGGAUCUCUUAAACUUGCUUCUUUUGAUGCUUCUCCCAUUUGUUCUUUAGAAUCCUCUGGUAAUGGUCCGGCAACAGGCUUUACCUUCUUAUCUGCCAUUUUAUAUCUCGUCUCUACUGUGACUUCUGGUGCUUGAAAAGAUUCAAGCAUGGUAUAAACCUCUCUCGAAUGAAUCUCAACAAUCUUAUCAUUAUCUCCUAACCCAAUAGAUGUAAUCAAUUCCAAUGAAUCUUCCAGUCCAUUUUCUUCAUAAACACCCAAAAUUCUCUCAUCAUCUUGUAAUGUACCUAUCUUGCGUAACUGUCUUUCAAUAUCAUAUAAUCUUUUUCUUUCUUUUCUUUUAAAAUCAUCAACUUUCUUAUACAUAAUAUUUCCAUUCUCCAAUAUACCAAUAAAACUCGCAUCAAAGGCACCUUCAUCUCGCGAGAGUACUUCCUUUUUUGUACCUCCAUAAUCUCGCUUUACAGUGGUACCUCCCCAAAAUCCUUAAAUCCUUCAACAAUCUUUGGCAAUGGUUUCUCCCUCAACCUAUCUCGAUUCCGUUCAUGGUUAGGAGGUACUGUUAGAAAUUGUACAGCUUUUCUUCCAUCUUCGCUCCGUACCCUUGCAUAAGCAGAACCAUCGUCAAGUACCUUUGUUUCCAUCCGUGUUGCCGUGAUAUAAGGUUGUCCUAAAAUCAAUGGAUAAGACGUUGUAUCUUGAACGAAGAAAUGUUGCUCCGUAGCAACAUCCCCAAUCCAAAUUUUGACAUCUGGACAAGCUCCAUAUAAUUCGCCUCGUGUGUUAUUAGUCACUCGUAUUGCCCAUCUAUGUUCCAUAUCAAUUGGCCAUUUUUGCUUCUUAUAAAGAUCUUUAGACAUGAGAUUUAUUUCAGAACCAUGGUCCACCAAAGCAACUAUUGGUUCUUCUAUAUCUCCUACCUUCACCAAUACCUCAGUAGUUGCCCUUGCCCAAUGCUUUCGAAUAUAAUGGCUCAAAGUUUCCAUUCCCUUGUCACUAGAAUCUUCGAAAUGUAUUCGCUGAUUAUAUCCAUUCUUUUCAUUUGUUGGUUGCUUGUAACCAAUAUCAACCUCUUCUUCAUCUCUACAUAUUCUUGCAUCAAUAGCAUGACUCAUUCCAAUUUCGCUCAUUAAUUGCCUCUUUCGCUUAAUGCUGUCAAUGAUAACAUCAUGAAACUCCUUCUUUGCAAUUUCCAAGACUUCUUUCAAUGUGAAUUCCACCUUAGCGUUUAAUAUACGUUCUUCCAACACCCCUUUCAAAUUUCUUGCCGCUUCAAUGUCAGAAAGUAGCUUAUAAGCAAUUGAUUUGCCCUUAUCUUUUGUCUCCGUUGUUUUUUCUCCCAAUGAUGCUGAGGUAUCCUUUACAGGCAAUUCUUGUGAAGCUGCCUCCCGAGCCUUGUCUCCUCGAGUUUGCCUCUUAAAAGAAUUUCCUUCUCUAGUAUCAUCAAAAUUUCUUCGUCUUUUUUCUUCCAUCAAAGCUUCAUGUUGGCUCUUAGCAAUAUAUGCAUGAACUGAAAGAGACUCAACAGGAUCCUCCCAACCUGUUCUUCCUCGUAUUGUAGCUGCAGUUCUCAAUAACGCUUCUCGAGGUAAUUUUCCUUCUUGCAUUGUAGAAACGGCAGAAGCCCAAAACUCACUAGUUUCCGUACUUCCACCAAUUGCAUCAUCUACUCUAGCACCAUAACUUGCACUUUCUCGUACUACUGUUUCAUGCUCUUUUAAGUAAUCUUGAACCAAUGCUCUCAUUUCUCCCUUGCCAAAAUUGGUUUGAAGAAGAUCCUCCCUAUCUUUCAAUGCUAUCUUCCCAUCUUUCCAGCAAAUAAUUCCCUGCCGUAUCAUAUUAUUAAAUUCAUUGCAAUCUUUUCUAGUGUGUGAAGCAUCAUCACACCAAAUGCAUCUUUGUACAUAUCCUUGUUUUGAAACAUUCUUCGAAUUGUUUAUAGAAGUAUUCUCUUCAAGUCUUGCCAAUUUGAUUUGAAGAUCUCGCAUUCCUCGUAUAAUUUCUUCCAUACCCAUAUCUGCUUUCUUUGACAAGGAUGUCGAAGGUUGAACUGUAGGCAUUGUCGGUGGUGUUGUACGUACUGGAGCUUUGGGUGCUUGUACUGUUUUCGGAAUAUUACUCCUAUCCUUCCCCCUUUCUUUUUUUGUAAGCAACCCCACCGCAUCUUCAACGUUCUUCCACUUCGUUGUCAAUCCUUCAUCUUCUUCUUUGUCUUCAAGAAAGGGUUCUAAUUUCUCUUGCAAUUCUCCAUCAGCAGCUUGAAGAAAUAGAUCAACUUUGUUCGGCUCCAAUGUCAAUUUUUCUACCUUCGAUAAUUGAGAGUACUGCCUCUCAAAUUCCCUUAGUAGCUCUGUUGCUUGCAAAUUCUUAUUGGGCUGUUCAAUCCAUCCCAGAAACAGCUUCUUAGUAACGCGAUCAGCAUCUUCCAAGAAAUAUUCGUCUUUCAAUGCAUGUGAAAAAUCCUCCCAUGAAUUCCCACAACGAUCCGUAAUCGAUGUAAUGUGGUCCCUUAUCUCCGGUAUCGUGGCAAGUCCAAAUAGUGCAACCAUUUUUCUCUCAGAAACCCGAUUUAAUUCCAUUUCACGAACAUAACAUCUUAAAUACCUUGAAAUAUUCCUCCCAUCAAAUUGAUCAAUUUUAUUGACCACUGCUUGCAAUGCUUUGGUUGCCAAAGCUUCCUUUCGAUCAUUGCUUUGUUGUUGCUGCAUUGACAAUGAGAAGGCUUGAAACAAACUAGCAAUAGACGGAUCCAUGUGCAUACCUUGUCCUUUAGAAGACUCUCCACCAGAAAUUUCUCCCAAAAAUCCUUCAAAAUUUUUAUUUUCGUUUUUCAUAAAAAUAAAGAUAAAAUCAACCGAAAUCCAAUACCUUCCACCUCAAGCUUUCACGUCGGGUUCACCACUUAUGUCGUAUUACGUGCUUUCCUGCUCGAGAACGCGCCGGGCGUCUGGCUGUAGAAGAUAGUAUGGAGAUUCGCCGAUAGUCAAGCAGUCUAUCAGUUUUUGACUGCUGGAAUAUAAACGACUGCAACAAUGUACCGUAAAUUUAUACGGGUGCUCUUCGACUGCUUGUCGAAGUCCUUUUUGCGCCAGCCGGUAGGUCUCUAGACGUUACAGAGAACCCCGUACAACCCAAACUGCUAACCUUCAAAACUGCUUUGUACUUACGAUCUUGUAUCCACUGACUGUCUUCUUAGAUUAACCCAAUAAAUUUCAUUCACUCCGCAUACUCAAUCCUAUAGACACCCUUUUAAUCCUUCAAUCACAGACGUAACUCGAUUUCACAAAACAGUCAAGAGUAUUCAAACCCACUUCAUUUAAAAAUCCUGAUUCACCAUUACAACACUGACUUUAGCAGCGAUUGCAUCAGUCUUCCCCAAAACUCUACGAGGAAGAAAAAUCCAAAUUCUAUGUCUUUUCUUCCCCGACCCGAAGCAUGAAGCUCUUCUCUCUAAUUCCCUUGAUCUUCAAAAACCUCCAAUAAAAAAAACCGAACUGGUAACCUUGCAGAAGCUUGAAAAAUCCUUCCCCCCCCCGAUUUCCCUCAAAAAAAAACCACCCCCAAAACUAUAUCCCACCUAACCUUAUCCUCUGAAUUUCUUCAAUCUUCCGUCUUAGAUCCGGAAUUGGCUCCCACCUCAAGCUUGGAUCCGAAAUUGGCUCUCGCCGUCAAGCUUUCUCCUCCGUUUUUGCCUUCAAGAAAUCCAUUUACCGAAAACAACGUUCCUUGAGACGGCACAGAGAACAGGACAGCCUGAAACAGAAUCGAACCCCGUAAUCGGGACCACAUUGAGUCGCCCGACCAAUUCAGGUCCUAUAUUGGGAAAGAUGCCCGUAGUAACCUGGAUGUUCCCGUAAUUGGGUCAAAUUGGUCCUCGCGUCAGAUCGGCUAAGACCCGUAGUAAGACCUGGAUUUCUCGUAAUUAGACUGCAUUGGGUUGACCGGCCAAUUCAGGUCUCAUAUUGGAUAAGAGGACCUGGAUUGGAUUAUCAAAAUUGGAUCCAAUUGGCUCCUCGAACCGGUCUUGUGAAUUGGUCCUUCUCUUCCUGUUGACUCCCGUUAUUGGGAUCGAAUGGAGCAUUUCAGUAUGCCCCAGCUGACUGUAACGGAGUGACUGAACCUGACCACUCAGUAUUUGUACUGGAGUUGGUCGAUGCUCCCAAUAUUCGAGGUAACUGAAUAUUAAUAAAAUUCCCCUUUCUUUUUAUUUUCACAGUAUACUCGUAUUACAACACGACAGCGGUCUUUCAACACAUUAUGAAUGACAACUUUCGAGAGCAUCUAGACAAUUUUGUUGUCAUCUAUCUAGAUGAUAUUUUGAUAUUUUCUAAGAACGAGGAAGAACAUGAGAAGCACGUUCGUCUGGUACUCAAAAAACUAUGGGAGCGAGGACUUUAUGCCAAAUUGGAGAAGUGCUUAUUUCACCAAACUGAGAUGGAGUUUUUGGGAUUCAUCGCGACUACGGAAGGCUUGAAGAUGGAUCCAAAGAAGGUAGAAGCAAUCAUGUCUUGGGAAGUUCCGAAGACGGUUAGGGACGUACAAUGUUUUCUUGGAUUUGCUAACUACUAUCGGAUCUUCAUCAAGAAUUAUUCUCAAGUUACUCCCCCCCUCAAUCGGUUAACGUGUAAGGACAAGCUCGAAUGGGGACCUAUCGCAGAAAAAGUAUUUCAAGAUUUGAAGAUGGUAUUUACUACAGUUCCAAUCUUGGUACAUCCGGACUUUACAAAGGCCUUUUAUUUGGAGACAGAUGCUUCGGAUUUUGCUUUGGGAGCUGUACUUUCACAAAUGGGCGUAGAUGAGAAGCUCCAUCCAGUUGCGUUCUAUUCUCGAAAAUUCUCUGCUGCUGAGAUCAACUAUGAGAUCCACGAUAAGGAACUCCUUGCUAUAGUAGAUUCUUUUCAAGAGUGGCGCCACUUUCUCGAAGGAACUGCACAUCCAGUGACCGUAUAUACGGAUCACAAGAAUUUGGAGUAUUUUAUGUCGGCUCGGGUUUUGAAUCGGUGUCAAGCUUGGUGGAGUAUGUCGCUAUCCAGGUUUGACUUUUUUAUUACUUAUCGGCCUGGGAAGCAACAAGGGUUGUCCGAUGCAUUAUCAAGGAGAUCAUAUCUCGCGCCAAAGGCUGGAGAUGCAGCAUUUGAUCAACAGUGCACGACAUUGUUGAAGCCAGAGAAAUUUCGGCUCAACGCAACUAUUGUACCAAUUGAUGCUGACUUCCUCGACCAGGUAUGGGCCGCAACCAUUGAAGAUUCUCUAGUCCUUGAUAUCAAGCAACAUGCUAGUGAUGAUAAAUUCAAGAUGGAAGGAGAUCUAGUAUAUUUCGAAGAGCGGUUGUAUAUCCCAAAAGGGCCAACACGACUCCGAGUUCUUCAAUCUCGUCAUGACUUUCUAGCUGCGGGACAUUUUGGAUUCAAUAAGACCUUGGAACUUAUUUCCCGCAAUUUCUGGUGGCCUCAAAUGUGGAAGGAUGUGAAAGAUUUUGUUGUAUCUUAUGACAUUUGUUCAAGAUCCAAAAACCCUCGACAUCGGCCUUAUGGACUUCUACAGCCAUUGCCUAUUCCGCGCCGACCAUGGUCUUCGGUUUCCAUGGACUUUAUUACGGAUCUACCACCAUCGAAUUCAUUUGACAGCAUUUUUGUUGUCGUAGACCGGCUUACAAAGAUGGCGCAUUUUGUCCCUUGCAAGAAGACAUCGUCAAGCGAAGACACAACAAGACUCUUUCUUGAUAAUGUGUAUCGAUAUCAUGGUCUACCAGAUAAUAUCGUAUCGGAUUGAGGAACCCAGUUUGUGUCAAAGUUUUGGAAAUCUCUUUUUGAAAUAUUGAAGGUGGAUAUCAAGCUUUCUUCGGCAUUUCAUCCUCAAAUGGACGGCCAAACAGAAUGGAUGAAUCAAGUUUUAGAACAAUAUUUACGUUGCACCAUCAACUAUCAACAAGAUGAUUGGGUCGCAUAUCUACCGCUAGCCGAGUUCGCAUAUAACAACACCCUUCAUGCGUCAACUCAACAAACGCCAUUCUUUUCCAAUUAUGGAUACCAUCCGAAGCUUGACUUAUGGAGUUCGUCAACGAUUAACAAUCCGGCAGCUGAAGGAUUGGUGAAGGAGCUUUCGCAGCUUCAAACUACAUUGAAGCUUCAAUUGCAAACUGCCCAAGAAUCUUACAAGGCGUCCGCGGACAAAUUUUGGAAUCAGGCACCUAAAUUCACGAUUGGAGACAAAGUUUGGCUGCUUCGACGAAAUAUUAAGACCAAGCGGCCAUGUGACAAAUUGGACUAUCGGAGAUUGGGACCAUUUAUUAUCCAGAAGCAAAUCAAUCCUGUAGCGUAUUGUCUGGAGUUACCAGCUACUAUGAAGGUACAUCCUGUCUUUCAUGUUUCUUUGUUGGAGCCUUAUCGAGAAUCUUCUUUUCCUGGAAGAGUACAAUGUCCACCACCUAGCAUAGAAAUAGAGAACCAUGAAGAAUACGAGGUGGAAAAGGUCCUGGAUUCACGGCAAAGACGGGGUAAAUUAGAAUACUUUGUGCAUUGGAGCGGUUACGAUAUUAAUGAACGAACAUGGGAGCCGGCCGAAAAUCUCGUGAAUGCACCGCAAAAGGUACAGGAGUUUCAUCGAUGAUAUCCUGAGAAACCCAAGCCGGUUCGACGAUAGCUUCUUACUGAAGCUUGCUCAUCCAGAAAACAGAAAAGAGGAGAGAGCACCACCAAAAUCUAUAGUUGAUGUAGUCAUUCUCUCCAAGAUAGCGUAGAACUUUGUUAGUAGCCCAAGUUUGUUCUUAUUGUUUUAGCCUUUGAAUAUGGAUAGCCAAGAUACUUCACUUGUCAUGUCAUCUCAAGCAACUAGCUCACCAAGACGACCGCGAGAUAAAGAACCGCUUGCACCAUGACGACGUCGAAGGAUUCCGAGCAACAGAACGUCGGUGAUUGUAUUUGAGGUCGAGCCUACCUACAAUGGUCAGCCAGAAGGAGUGUUUGCAGGACAAUUUUACAAUGAAGACACGGAGGUUCAUGCUUGGUCAGAAGUUGAAGGCGUGGGCCACUACCGCUGGCUUCAAGGACCAUUGAAUCACUUGCCUCGUGAACAACAAUUGGAGUUCAUAGCAGAGGUUAUGCGACAGAUCUUCAUUUUCUUGCGUUGGUAUUGACUGACGAUAACAUUGCUUCUUGGAGACCUCGAAGCUAAAGGAGGAGGUGAUGUUAGGGACAUAGUCCUUAGACCUUUCUAGAGACAAGUUUCUAGAACCUUCUAGAAAGAAAUCUCUAGAAACUUCCAGAAGAUUUCUUGAAUAUUUUCUUAGAAUAUUCUUUAAAGAUUCUCUAAAGAUUCUUUGAAGAUUCCCUAAAGAUUCCCUUAGAAGGCUCUAAAGGAUUCUUAGAAUAUUCUAGUAGAUUCUAGGCAGUUACUUGAGAAGCUUCAUAGUUCUUGGGAAGCUUCUUGAUGCGCUUCCUUAGAACCAUAGGCCAGUAGUAUAUAUAGGAGUCGAGGCUGAAGAGUUCUUCAAUCUCGACAACACAUCUCUUGAAGCUCUAGCUCAAUUCUCUUGGCGUUGCUCUUCUACUCAUCUGAUAAUCUAGUUCUUGUCAUUUCUUCUUGAACUUCUUGUUUAGAUUUCUUGUUUGUAUUUUUGGUCCGUGACACUAUUGGCAAAUAUCUAUUGCAAAAGAAGAUAUAAAAAAAAUAUCAUUUUGUACGUACUAUAGACAUUUUGAAUGGCUAAUUUUAUUUUUUGGCCUCACUAAUGCUUCAACCUCUAUCAUAGGUCACAUGAAUAGAUUGUUUCGAGAAAUUUUAGAUAAGUAUAUAAUUGUCUUCAUUGAUCAUAUCCUAGUUUAUAAUAAAAUCUUUGAGGAGCAUGAGUAAUAUCUAUGGAAAAUGAUAUGUCGGCUACAAAAUAGUCACUUUUAUUACAAGCAAUAAAAAUAUGAACUUUGGAAGUCAAAAGUCACUCUUUUAGAACAUGAUGUAUCCUUCAAUGGAGUGUGGAUAGACAUAGAUAAGAUGAAAGUGGUAGAGGAUUAGUCAACCCUCAAAGAUGUUUUUAAAAUUCACUCAUUUUUAAGCCUUGUUGAAUAUUAUUGCUAUUUUUUUUAUCAAUUUGUAUAUAUUAUUGCUUUAUUAACAAGCCUAUUUGAAAAAAGUGCUCAAUUUGAAUAGAAACUAGAGUAAAAAAGGGCCUUUCAUAAGUUGAAAGAGGCAUUCAUUACUGCUCUAAUAUUGCAAUUGUAUAAUUUCAACCUUCUCUAUAUACUUCACAUCAAUAUUUUCAAUUUUGCUAUUGGUAUGGUAAUUCAAUAAGACUUUAGCAGGGACCUUCAAUUUAUGGCCUAUAAAUCACACAAGCUCAAAAGAGUAGAGCACAAUUAUUUUGCAUGUAAUGAAAAAUAACUACCAAUUAUAUAUGUCACAAAGGUGUGGCGACACUAUCUAUUAAAGAAGUCACUGACUAUUUGAAUUUACUAUCAACCUUAACUACACAAUUUGCAUCUAGAAAAUAUGAAAUCAUAAUAUCAUCAUUAGAAAAAAUAAUUACAACUCUUUGAUAUUCAGCUUAAAUACAAGCAAAGGCAAUAAUAAAUUGUAUUGGAUAUCUUAUUACGUAAAUCAAACUUGAAUGCCACAUCAAAGGACAAGAAAAAAGUUGCUACUAUUAGUAAUAUUAUUUCAAACCUAAUUAGAAGAGUAUUAUAAAAAGAAGCUAUAUAUUGAGAUGUUUAUUUUAAGAUGAUUAUUAAUCGGUUGAAGAUAUGUGAUGUAAAAUAUCAAGAUUAUUAUCUUAGCGAUGGCUUAUUCUAUUUCAAAAAGUAAAUUUAUAUGAGUGAUGAUGCUAUAUUCCAGAUGCACAUAUUUUAAAAAGAACAUGACGUUAAAAUAUCUAGACAUUUAGGGCAUAAAAAGAUUCUAAAAUAAAUCUCAAGGAUAUAAUUUUGGAGAAGUUUGGAUCAUAAUGUUUGAGCUUUUGUGUACUCUUAGAAGUCAUGCUAAUGUAAGUACUCAACGAAGUAACUUCUAGACUAUUGUAGUCAAUUCUACUACCUAUGGCUCAUUGGAAGCAAGUGACUAUGGAUCUUAAUAUGUAUUUGCUGCAGACACCUAAUAAUUAUAUUGCAAUUGUUGUCUUUGUCGACCAACUCUCAAAGCAACUUUACUUGGUUGUGGUACGCUCUAAUAUCAAUGUUGUUAGACAUGUACUACUCUUCUUUAAUAUUAUCUUUUGUCACUAUAGAUUACUUCGUGUCAUUGUUUAGAUCAAGAUCCAUACUUCACAAGAAGCUUUUAGCAGGCUUUAUUUAAGAUAUUAAAUACAUAACUUUCUACAUCUACAACCUUCCAUCCUCAAACAGAUAGACAAAUAAAGCAUUGUCAUACUAUAAUUAUUUAUAAUAUAUAAAAAAUAUCUAAAAUAUAUAAUAUAUUUAUAAGUACUGAUGAAUAUUAAAGUAUUUAGUAGGUUAAUUUAAAGAAAGUUGAUGUAAGAAAAUUUAUUUUGAAAUUACCUAUUUUGAUUAUAAUAUUUAAAUUAUAUAGGAUUUAAAUAUUUAAUAUAAAAUUUAAAGAAAAUAUUGGAGCUCAGAGAUGAAGAUUAAAACCUCUUAUAAACUUAUUUGGAGAGAUGAAAAUAAGGUAUGGAUGAAUGAAAGCAAAGAGUGAAGAUCUUCAUUCCUAUUGGUUAAAAGCGAUAUCCAAUAGGCUUUCAAGAGACUUUCUAUGACCAUAAUAAGAAUUUUGGUGACUUCAAAAGACAUAUUUAAGAAUCAAAAGUAAAGAUUGUAAGAUUUAGAAUUUGAAUUACAACUUAUAUAUAAAUUUUAAAAUAUUUGGAAUUAUAAUGAUAAAGUUAUAGCCAUUUGAAGUUAAGGUGUCUUUUUAAGACAUAUUUUUGCUCUUUUGAAGAUACAAGGAGUUUCAUAACAGAUUUUGGAGAUUAAAAGGUGUAACUACAAGGAUGAUUUCAAGACCUAUAUUUUUUGUGGAAGAAUUUCUGCAUUUAGAGUUUUUAUAAAGGAGUUAUGUAGCAUUAAAGAUAGCAUAUGUAAUUCAAAGUUAGUAAGUGAGUCAUUUUGUUGAUAGUAAUGAUUGAAGCCAUAUCUUGAAUUUUUGGACGAAUUUUUAGUUCUAUAUUUCUAAAAGUAUAUGUUAUAAGGUUAAAAAGAUAUAUAUCAAAAUUUUAUGGUAUUUGACUACUUAAUUUAUAAGAUAUAAAGAAAAUUACAAAAAAGUAUAUGUAAGUAAGGAUUUGAAGCUAUUAUUAGGAUUUUGGUGAUAUCUCAAGAUUCAUAAUAAAUUUGUAAUUGAAAUUUGCUAUAGUAAUUACUGAAAGUACAUCAAUACUUUGUAUAAAAUUUUGGUUUAUUUAGAUGGUCCAAUUGUAAGAUAUGAGCUAUUGAAAUUUAGAAAAAAAUUACCUUAAGGAUAUAUAAGGUUUUAUAAUAUUUUUAUUUAAUUUUUGAUAAUCUUUAGUACUUAAGGCUUCUCCCACAUAUUUCAGUUCAUCUGGUCUUCUAUAUUUUAAAAUUCAAAGAAUUUGAUACUAAGCCAAGGUACUUUUUGGAUCAAUACCAAUUGCUACUACUACUACUAGUUGUGAUUGAUGACCAACAAGAGUAUGAAGUGAACAAUAUUUUGGAGCAUUGCUACUUUUUUUGUUGCAUUGGAUGUCCACAACUUCAAUACAAAGUCCUUUAGAAAGGUUAUUCCAUCUAUGAUGCAAUAUUGGAACUUGCAUAAAAUCUCAUUCAUUAUCAAGGAACAAUUUAGAAAUACCAUUGGAAGCAAAACAAGGACAUUUUGUAUUAGUAGAGGGAGAUUAACUAUAAUAAGGUAUGAAUAAGAUAUUUAUAUUAUUGACGCAUAGAGAUAGGUAGUUGAAGCCAUAUUUGAGGAGUUUCUAGAAUUAAGGCUUGAUUAGUGGUCUAUAUGGAAUCUUCUAUAGAACAUUCUAAAAAGGACUUAAGGUAAUUAUCUAGGUAGAAGCAAUCAUUAAGAACAUUCUAGAAAGUUCGAAGAUGAUUGGACAAAGUAUAUAUAAGACUGUGCAUGGCCAUUUGGAUAUUUGAUCAGAUAUAGCUUUGGUCUUUUUUUUUAAUAAAUUUUUAUUUUUUAUUUUUUUUAUUCAAUUCUAUUCUAUUUUCUUUUAUUCUCUUUUUCAUUUUAUAUUCCAUUCUAUUUAGAUCUGUUCAAUUUUAUUUUAAUUUAUAUUAUCUUAAAUUGUGAUAAGAUUUAUAUUGCUAAAAAUUAGAAGGAUCUUAUAUCUUAGAGAUAGUACAGUCAUAUUUCAACCAAUAAAGAAUUUUUGGAUUUCUAACGAGCAUCUAUGUAGCAUGGAGGUACAAGGAUACAAGUUAUUCUUUUAUCCAUACACUUUCUUAUAUAGAUAGCCUUAAAUGUAAAUUUUUGGAUUUGACAACUUUGGAGGUAUGAUAUUUCAAAGAAUUGGAGAUUUGAGUCAUAUAUAUAAAGAUUGAAUGAAGAAAUAUGGAAAAAAAUUAAAAUGAUUAGAUGUGAUUUUAAGUAGUGAGUACAUUUUAGAUAUUAUUUAAGAAGAAGGAUUUGAAGAUGAUUACAUGAAGGUUUUAGACGAACUAGCUUUGCAUAUGGAUAGAAAUGGAGCUAAUGUUGUUAAGAAGCUUUAUUCAAGGUAAUUAUAUGAGGAGGUUUUGGAUUUUUUUAAGGAAAUUUGGAGUAGUUGAUAGCCAUGUGGUAUUGUAAGAGGCUAUAGUAUAUCCAAAUGAUAAGAUUGUGGCCAAGAAGGUGAAGCUCGUGAUAAUCCAAUUGCCUCAAGAUGCCAAAGAGCAAAUCAAAUAAGCUACCAUAGAGCCAAGAUUAAAAAGUUAUUUUAGAAGCUCCUUAAGAUUGUUUCAUCUUAAAGCAAUAUAGAAACUUUUGAAGAAGCUUCUUAGAAUUGCUUCAUCUUCAAACAAUUUAGAAACAUCUUGAAAAAAUUUCUAGUACCUAGUAUAUAUUAGAGUCGAGGUUGAAGGGAUCUUUGGUCUCAACAAGAUAUCUCUUGGAGCUCUAGCUCAUCUUUCUUAAAGUUGAUUUUAUAUUCAUGUGAUUUAAUCAAGUUUUUUUUAGUUUUCUUGUUGAACUCUUUUAUUCAACUUCUUUUUUGGUCUUUUAUAUAGUGUAUCUAUGACAAUUAGUCAUUAAUUUAUUAAAGAGUCUUUAAGCAAGUUAAAGAUUGGAAGAGAUGACUUUUUAAUCAAAGUAGAGAGAGAAAAGUUUCUAGAAAUGCUUUUCAAAUAUGAUAAGGCUUUUGCCUUUGCACUUGGAGAAAUUGAUUGUGUAGACUUUAAUAUAGUAGCACCUAUGGUUAUUUUUAUUGUUUCACAUGUGCCUUAGAAUUUAAAGCGUAAUUUAGUAUCUAAGAUUUUGCUUCUUAAGAUGGUGGAUUUAUUGAAGGAAAAGAUCAAAAUGGGCAUCUUUAAACCAUCUAUUGUAUCUUAUUCCAAUCAAUAAUUCACUAUACAAAAGAAGUCUAAGGUGCUUGGAUUCAUUCAAGAUAUGCAACCAGCUAAGAAGAUAACUAUUAAAAAUAUGGAUUCCAAAUCAAUGAUAAAUGAAGUAGUGGAAGCAUUUGUGAAACAUGUUAUUUAUUUUAAUAAAAAUUUAUAUUUGGAUUAUGAUCAAUUUCAAUUAGCAAAGGAGAGUAGGGACCUAACUAUUAAAAAGACUCUUUUGGAUCUAGUACACAUAUGUACCUUGCCGCGAGGUGCAACUAAUUUAGUGACUCAUAUGCAAAAUGCAAUGAACCAAAUUUUAAAGGAAUUUAUAUUGGAGAAGAUCAUACUCUUUUUGGAUGAUGUUCCAAUCAAAGAUUGCAAAGAAGAAGCUAAAGAUUUGAUUUUGAAAGAAGAUGGAUGCCAAGCAUUUGUAAGAGAACAUAUUAAAGAUGUAGAGUACAUUUUGAAGAAACUUGAAGAGAUAAGUCUCACUUGUCCUUUAAAAAGUCCAUAUUUGAAUUUAAAGAAAUUAUGGAGGUUGGACAUUUGUAUAGAAGCUCUGGAAGGGAACCAAACUCAAAUAAAGUAAAUGCCAUAGAAAGAAUGAAGGCAUAUAAAAGCACCACCAAGGUAAGAAGAUUUUUGGAUGCUUAUAUAUUUUAUCACAUAUAGAUUCCCUGUUAUGUUCAUAUUGUAGAGCCUUUGUAUCAAUUAGUGAGAAAAGAAAAGAGGUUUGAAUGGGAUAAGGAGCAAGAGUUGGCCAUAGAAGGAUUAAAAGUGGUUUUGCAAUCACCACCAAUGUUAAGGCAAGUGGACUAUAAUUAUAGAAGACCGGUGAUAGUGACAAUUGACCUAAGUCCCAUAGCCAUUGGGUGGACUAUUGGGCAAGAUGAUAAAGAAGAUAACCAAUUUGCAAUUAGGUUUGAAAAAAGGAUUCUCAUUGAGAGGCAAAGAGAUUAUCCAAAAGUAAAAAGAAAGAGCUUUGGUGUGCACUUAUUGUAUUGAAGGGUGAGAAGAAUUACUUAGUAGGUACUCAUGUGGUGUUGGAGUCCAAUUGCUUGCUUUUGCUUGGAAUGCUUUUGAAUUGUACUACACCAGAUAUGUACCCAAUAUCAAUUCAGACGCCUUUCAAUCAGAAAGUCUUUUUCUGUAGUUUUUCAAUGUGUCUACAUACGACCUGUGAAAUGAUUUGUUCUGGAAGUUUGCAAGGUUGCAGUGUUGUGGGUUCAUUAGGGGUGACAUCAUUUUGUGCAGGGGUAGUAUGUUGUAGUUGACUGAAGAAAUAGUAUAGACUAGAGACUCCGAUUCACCUAAUGAUGAUUCAAUGAAUGCUGCUCUGGAGUAUGCUGUUAGUAGAAAUCUUUGAAUAACUAGGGAUGGUGUGGUGGCUCCGACAUCGAGUAGGAAACUCCUCGCUCAUCAAAAUCGUAAUGGUACUAGUUUACUGAAAAUUGAUUCGAAAAUUGGAAACAAACUGGAGGAAUAGAGGCACAGUUCUCAACUUGGACUAUUGAGGGUUAUCACAGAGAGCUAAGCCUCUGGAUGGUUCAUAACUGAAAGGAAGUUCUGAAAUCCAUAUAUACCAAUAACAAGCUCUGUAAACCUAUACACAUCAUAUCGAAAGACUUCAUUUCUUCCGCAUUCUAUUCUAGCACGAGAUGCAGUAAUAAGUGAUCGAUCAAUGGUUCUGGGAUUCUGAUUGUAUGGCCAGCAAUUGUGCGCCCAUGUUCACACUGCACAUGAGAAGACAACUGUGUAGUUGUUAUGAAUCUGCGUUAUUCCGGCUACAUUGAGUGGUCAUCAUCUCAGGGACACGCACAAGAGGUUUUUCAGAUGUACAGAACAAAUUUUGUCCGCCCAGUUCUCACACACAGCAGUAGAAUCAUAGGCUUCGACAAUAACCACGACUCUAAAAUCACUGCAAUGACGGACGGCAAUGACGGCAACAAUAAGUAAUUGCUGAACACUUUAGCCCGUGAAAAUAUACCUUUCGUUCAUAAAAGUUCAGACGGAAUAUCUUCUUUAAUUACAAAACUGCUUGUUACUUGUACAGCACUCCUGGCGAGAAGGCAAUGUAGAUCAUCAAAACUGCUAUUCCAAAAUUUCACGUAAGAGACGAACACUACACAUUCUGUACAUGAAGGGAAAUUUAGGAUUAGGGUUCAGGAUUCUGUGAUUUGGAAGCGCUACCAGACUUGAGCAUCGACUGGGUCAAGGGACAGAAGCUCUUCCGCAGUUUGGACAGCACUCUCCUUGAGUGACUGCAAGUGGGCGAAAGUCCAGGUAUACCAUUCUUCCUUGUCACCCUGUGUGCGAGGAGGGUUGAACCGGUUGCGGAACUCACUGGAGCCGAGGAAGUCUUCCACUUUGCGGCCAACGAGGACGAGAUGGAUCUUGUCGUCGCCCCGGAGUCUAGCCGCAAUGUACACAACUACGUACAUAAUGUUACCAUGGUUUUGGGAGCAUGAUUCAACACAGUUGCUGAUGGCGCCCUUCGACCGGAUGUUGAGGAUGGCUCCGCAAAUAGCAGCGUUGAUAGCCUCGACGGAUUGUUCCUUGCACGUUUGGCUCAGUUUUAGCUUAAGAAACGUUGCCAAUUGUCGGGUGUCGUUGAUGGGAACGACGAUCUCUCCGAGUUGGAAGGCUGACACUUGGGGUGCAACAAUUUGGUCGAACUCAUACAGCAAUCUUUCUCUGCGCAGUAAUUCAAUAGUUUGGAUCAUUACUCAUGAGACAAUGAAUGUUGAAUGCUCGAAGCUAUCAAAACCAACACUAAUCGUAGAUGGGUACUCGUUGGUUCGUUGCUUUGCAUCUCUUAACAAAAAUGUGAACAAAUUAUUCCAUCAUUCUUGAAGCUGUUUUUCAGAUGCCCCGCGCCUUUUGUGAAACUCGACAUGGAUGACACCCUGCUGUUGCAUGCCAGUUUUUGUAUUUUGUUGAGAUACAUGCGUGAUUUCUUUCUCAGUGAACUCAAUUCGAAGACUCUUAAUAAGCGCAAAGUAAUCAAGCAUUCGACGGUAGGACUGGCAGAGAGUACAAAAUAAACCUGUCUUUAAUUGCGAAAACUUCUUCACAAAUUUGCACUCGAUCCCUCAGAACAAUCGGAAACAACGGCGAUGUUGUUUCCUUCUCGUGGACUUCGGCUUCUACUACUUCUUCUUCUUCGACCAAGUCCAAGCUCCUAGUGAAGCUUUCUUUCCUCCUGAAAAUCUGUUUUGUAUCUUGAUCCCUCGAUUGUGGCGCCAAAGUCAAGCCAACAAGUGCAACGCUCACAUACCUUCGUAUGCAUUCCCGAAUGAGCCAAAAUGAUAGCCUCAAGAGCCAGAUGAGAAUGCACUUUCCUAUCCACAGGACGAAGAUUACUAUCUUAAUCAGCCACACGAGGAUGAGGUAGUAUAUGCCUGACGAAGCUAUCUUUUGUAGAACAACUUGCAGCUUCGACUCCAGAUUGAUCUUCAUCUGGUAGUGACUUCCCGGCUCCAAGAAACCUUGGAAACACAUUAGGUCAGAGAUUCACAGCCACUGAUUGGUCUUUGUGAGCAUCUUCUCUCGUCGCUCUACUGACAGGAGUUCUGAAGUUUUCGAGUGUCGACUUUCUUGUUUUCCAACUGUGAGCAAGUAUGGUACAAUCUUGCCCUGUCUUUUGCGAAUUUUGUGAUGAACUGUUUCUUUUGUCAAACCCUCUCCUAGCCGCCUAGUUUGGUCGCAGUGAGCAAUUUUGAUGGAACCAUCGCCGGGUAUCACCUCCUCUCCCUUCAUGUUUGCGACACUGCAUAAUAGUUGUUUCUACAGUGUUAAAAAGAAUCACGGUCAACUGUUUCAGAAAAUCAGCGCCGAAAUCGCACCACACACAUCCUAUGUUGCAAUUGCAAUUGACAGACGUUUGGGGUACUCUGAUAGAACGCUCAGGUGUCCGUCAAAAGCCCCGAUGCUCUCAUUCUAGCGAAUCAACACAACUCAGCUCUCAAGAUUUCAAGGCUAUGAUUUCGAAGGGUGAUGUGCCAAGCUUUACAAUGUGAUUCCUACAUGAAUCAUUAAUCCUUUUGUCAUUGAAGUGGAGAGACAUGUUCUAAAAGAUCAAACUAAUGCUUCGAAAUACUAUUAGAUCUAAUUCUUACUUUGUCGUUUGGCUGUCAUGCGUACUCUCUCCUUUUACAACUACGAGUCUUUUCCCCAAUUGUGUCGCAUCUUCGCCCCAAAUGACUCAAUUCUGCGCCUCCUGGCCUCAUUGUUACACCUCGGAUGCCUGUCUACGUAUCCAAGUUGAGGUUACUCAAGCUACGAGUUCGGCAUCUGUGAAGCUUGCCACAGAUUUGAAAACUUGAGUGGAGCCGACGUGGGAGGCCAGAUGCUCUGAGUACUGUCAAUUACACCAAGGCUGCUCGAACCAGAGGGAUUCGCUCAAUGGCACUCUACCACGUAUCACAAACUUCUGCGCAGAUGAGAUUCUUCAUUUGCAGCCUUGCGUGAAGGCUAGGUCUGUCAAUCGCAGGGUGGACAUGGUGUACCUGACAAUUGCAAUCGGAGUCACUUCCUAGUCGAGCAGUUCCAGCCGGCCAUGAUGCCUCAAACAGCUUACACAAAAGCCCCGACAACGAAAAAUGAUCACCGCCACUCAGUACAAUCAAUAAUCAUCGAAACCUGACAUCAACAAGGGGCGCCGCGGUAAGGUCUUGGCACCGUCAAUCCUCACCACAGCAAAAUAAAAUGAAAAUACCGCUGCCCAUCCCUCUCUCCGUUGCCAAAACUCGCUGUGGAAAGGGAAUAAAUGAGUGUGACGAUGUAGCGUUGUGGAUUAGAAGCUUCGACAUAGCGACAAUACCUGCUCAUGAAUUCACCAUCGGCAAUGUCAUUGUGCCCCAGAAUAACAGGUAGAUUGUCAACAAUUUUGUUACGAUCUGGCAGGUCUCUGCAAAAGGGCCAUUGAAAUUAGUACUGUUAGUGGCCGAUAAGGAUGAAGACCUUGAUUAAGACCACUUCUCCACGUCUCUGACAGGUAGAAGAACUAUGUAAUAUUCUGAGAAAUGCUUUGUGCAGGAUGGGUGAGCCAUUUAUGUACAGAGUGAGCAAAUUUUGCCGCUCCAUCCAUACUCCUACCGAAAACCCACUUGUUGGGGGAGGGGGGGGGGGUACCAUGUCAAUGUUUUGAUAGACAGUUCUGUACUUUCUUUUAAAUGCCACAUCCACCCACACAAUUGAAUGAAAGCUGGGCCAUGUUAGAAAAUCGCAUCAUACAUACCUGCAAUAAUAUAAUUUAAUAAACAAAUGAACAUCUGUGCUCUUUACAGUGGUGAAGGAGAGUAACAAUCUCAGUGCUGAGCCUCGAAUAUCGGCUUACUGCAGCGCAGAAAUCUGCAAGGUCAUUGGUAGUCUGACCGGCCGUGAAGUACUUGUACGUUCGUGACAAUCAAUCAGGCACUGAAAAGCAUCCCAACCUCGAGCCUAGCAAAAUCACUCUGUGCAUUUAUUUCUUGAUUCUUUUAAAACCUCCCCACAACUCCCAGUUUCAGUGAUUAUUGAAUUACAAGUGGUCUUCCCACCCAUCUUAGCUGGCUGCGUUGAGACCACAUUACUCCAAGAAAAGAUACCUGUAAAUAUCCUUCUAGAAUGUUCUCUUUCUUUCAAAUAUACAUGUGGGUAGAGAUCAGCAGAGUAAAGAACUUGGAAGAGUAUGUGUUAAAUGGGGUUUGAUCUUCCCCUAGUGACUAGAACAAUCCAACCGCAGUACGUACUAGUUUUACGGCCUUGCAAAUUGGCCUGUGCAGUUAAUCAUAAUGCCUCAAGCCGAAUUUCACACUUUGAGGAGAACAACCGGCGAGUAGUGGUGAAAUCAUCAACCCUAGUUUGAACCUUCAGGAGGAAGAACGGAAGGGAAUAAUUUUUGCAGAAAAAUCUACGUGGGUACCAUGCAUAGUAAUAAUUGAGACGAAAGCCGCAGGGUGCCCGCAUUGAUUACAGAAAGAGUAGCAUCUGAACUAGGUCGAUAUAGAUCUGUUCCUAUUCUCUGAUGUGGAAGUCUGUGAAGUUAGAACAAGAGGUGGGUGCCACAGGUCCUUAACGUGAAGCGAAACUCAUUGCUGCACAAAACUAAACAGUGGUGGGUACACCACCCUCCACGUGUGUGAGCAUAAUUGGGCCACAUGGAUGCACCUCGGAGGUAUUUCGACACUGCCCGGGUUGGCACUGAAGCAGCACCGUGGGUUAUAUGCUCCAGAGUCUCUAUUUCAACCAAGCUCCGAAUCCACGCCAAUUGACACAUUCACCUUCACACCUUCACAACUUCACGACUACAAUGACUCUAGUUUUACCUGGCAGAGAUAGACACAAAGCGGGUGCAGUUAAUGUGUACUCGACGAAUUACAGCGGUUGAUGAGCUUAGCUGAUCUCAGCCAUGUCCUUGUAUCACAGCAUUUCUGUGGCCAUAGCCUGGCAGUGAAGCAGUACACUGAAAAAAUUUGUGGUACAACAUUACCAGGGAUCACACCAAGUUCAUGAGAAGCUUGAGGAGGACAGUAUGCUUCCAGUGGUGAGCUCAUGUUGAAGUGCAGGGCCAAGCUCCGAUUUGACAGGCACUUUUUUAUAUCUCUUUUCUACCCGGUCUAGCCAGGUUAUUUUCUUCAGCAAAAAGCAUUGCAUUACCCUUCCAGGAUGAUGAAACACUGCAGCAUGGUCCUGUGUUGUUAAAAAAAAAAAAAAAAAAAAAAAAAAACUGGGCACAUUCGCGAGUAGAUGAUUGGGAAAAACCAGUGGUGCCUACCAUUCUUUGACUGGUAUUAAAGUUGUCCCCUUUUGUUCUGUUUUAACUAUGGAUGUAACAAGUGCACCACUUCUUAAUAAUUAGCUUUCCGGGCUGAUUACUACAAGUUUCUCGUGUGGCUUGGAUUAACUGACGAGCCGAAAUGCGUGUUACAAAGGAUGUAUUCAUGAGAUUGUGCUGAUGUAGUCAUUUAUUUCAAGCAUCCGAAGUGACGGAAAAUGCAGAAGCCACCAAGUGUUAUACAACUGAGUUACUGCCUAACACAAGGGUUUGCAAGGUUGCUCAUGAAUCUCUGUUCUCAACCUACAAGAAUAAAAUCAAUGGGGAGAUGGGUUUCCCAUUUCUGUAGCCGCCUUUACAUGAAGCGAUAUAAACAAAUAUCGGAGGGAAGAAUGGAGGCUUGCAGGAAAAGACUCGCUUCAGUUCUAUCAAAGCUACCAAGGGCUGCCAAAUGAGCACACGAAUGCAUACAUCAUGCUCUGAGUUGUCUCAUGGCCAGUUCCGAAAAUAGUUUUUUUGUGACAUGCAAGCGCAAGCACACCACAAGUCCAGAACAAAGCUCCCCAACUCCAGGGGCCCCAGCUCUCUCACUGAUUGAUGUCGGCUACUUCGUCGCCAUUGUAUGAUGGUUGACUCUCCAACCCCGAGGAAAAAAAUACUAAAAGCUCAUUUUCGUUCGAGCGAUGAGCAACGGGUGGCGUUUCUCCAACCGAUCUUGGUGUAAACGUUGUACUGCUUCGGAAUGGCGACAUUGCUGUGUAUGAUUGAUCAAAUGGGGAGCGACGAAUUGGCUGCAAAAAUAAUUCUGUCGAGCUGCCAAAAAAAAAUACAGGUUCUUAUAGAGUCCUUUCAACAACGUGGGGCUGUGUUAUUUGUGAGGUCAAACUUCUGUCUUUAGCCACAGACAGAGUGGUGGGCAGUCGUAGGUGUUUUUUGAGGUGUCGCUGUUCAUCAAGAUCAAUGUACCUUCUGGCACGUUCGUUUACUUUCACUGCUUUUGUAUGCUGUCCAGAGCUAUGGUGCACAUUGUGUUUAAAGAAAACCUGAUCUUCUGGUUUGCGAUACUGACGCCUUGCAAUUGAGCUGGCUGUGUUUGCUUAAUGCGACCUUCUAAACCUACCCACAUCUCUUUCAGUUCUGCGCUGCAACGAAGAAAACGAUUGAAUAUGUUACCGGAUUGCAAGCUUGAAUUUCGUGGACUUUUGAGCUUACAAUCUGGUAACAUAUUCAAUCUAGCUUCUGCAUGCAUUGGUAAAUUUAAACACGCUACACAACCGUGCCGUAACGAAAGAUUUCAUCCGAUGCAGUCGCACUAAUAACCCAACUACGGGGUAUUUUUUUCGUGUAAGAAAGUACAGAAAGUCACACCUCCAACGCACUGGAAGGUAGUGUGUGAGAGUGAUCUCAAGAAAAGCAAUUCUGUCCUCAAAUCGAAACACACCAACACAAGUCUAAAAUUUCAAGACCGUGCUUUUAUUUACAGAUGUUGUCAUCAUGGGUGGUGUGGCAGGGCAGGCCAAAUUGCUGACCCCACCUCUACUCCAGAUUCCAUCACCCCUCAUCUCAAGCGACGCUUGCUGCUCAAGGAUAAGAACACACAAGUCCAAGUUGGCAAUAGACUUGGUCUACGGCUAUGGCUGGCAAAAUUAUACGGCGACCUUGCAACCUAGAUCUCGCAAUACAUAUGGUAGUGUUAAUCCCUGGUACACAAGUUAGUGCACAGCAUGUGUUGUGUGAUUCAGAAAGCCCAUGUUCACAGACUAUAACUAAUCCACUUUAUCCUACUAUUACCUAAUACCACAUGAAGUCCGUCAUAGGAUCGUGAUAAUCGCGGUGAGUAACGUCCAAGUUUCAAGCGAAGAAGCCGAAGAGGUCUUGAUAACCCCUUGGUGCACUUGAUCCUGCUCCGAAUCUCUCGGUGUCUCGGUAAGACGUCGAGGAGUAGGACGAGGAAGAGUGUGCAUCUCCAUACGAAGCAUACUGAGUCGGCUCCGGAGUAGCAGCAUAAGAGGUGGACGUCGACUCAUAGCUCGGUCUCUCGUAUGCGGAGGCUGUCACUGAGGUAUCAGGAGCAUAGGAUGGUGUGUAAGAAUAGCUGUCAUGAGUAGAAUCGCAUGAGUAGGAGCCAUACGAGGAGCCGUUGUUGGAUUGAUCAUCCUGGGAAGACUCAUAGGAAGGUCUGGAAUACGAAGAGUAGGAUAUUUGGUAUUUCUGCUCAGGAUAAGAGGUAGAGAACGAGGGCUCGUACGAGCUUUGACUGUAUGCCGGUGUCCGAUACGCAUCCUCGAACGGGGAUGGCAUGUAUGUGGACACACGGUUGGAAGUCUCGUAGGAUGAGGAGCUGUAGGGGUUGCGAGACGUGGGAUUGUAUGAGGAAUUGUGGGAUGAAUUGUACGAAGAGUUGGAGUAGUCGGAAGAAUUCGGUGAGGAAUGUGAAGCUCUGUAAGCUGGGUCACUGAAUGGAACGUAGGAAGAAUCUACCCUCCGGGUGUUGAAAGGAUCGUCGAAGUAAGCAGCCCUUGGGACGUAGGGAAACGUGACAUAGGCGCUUGCUUUCUCCUCCUUUACCACUACAUGGGCAUCCUCACCGAGUGCGUCUGAUUUGGCUUCAGGGGCUGCUGAUGCAGCUGGUGGAGCUGCCUCUUCCGGCUCUGGAGCGGCUGGCUGUUCGGCUGGCUGUUCCGCGGGCUUCUCCUCUGCAGGUGGGGAAUCAGCUGCUUCUGGAGGAGGAGAGGGAGUCUCAACGACAACAGGGGGUGGGGCCAGCUCCACUGGGGCUGGUGGAGGCUCUGUAGCCAGGCGGGUCUUCCGCUCUUCUGAUAGCCACUCUGCAAACCUGAAAAAGAUUCAACAUUGAUGAGAUCAUGACAUUCUACCUUCCUAAUUUAUUUAAACGAUCUGCAGAUAUUUCUGAAUUUGCGAGGCUUACAACAUGUCAUGUGAAAUUUCUCGAGAACCAAGAAAGUAAAUACCUGUAAAGAGCUUCCCGGUUAGUCCCACCACAAGGAAUGGAGUGGAGUUUCCCAGUUUGGAAGUUCCGCACAGUUACUGGCUCAUCCAGAAGGUGCUUCGCCGUAGCCAUUAGCUUCCACAGAUUGGAUUCCGAUGAAUCGUCCACAGAUGCAAGAGGCCCGUUCAAGUUGUCUGUCUGCAUGGUUCAUCAAAUGUUAUUCCCCCAUCUUAACAGAAAUGCUUCUCCUUCACAAGCCGCUGGCUCAUCGAUGCAAAACAAACGAAUACACGCAACAGCCAUAGAUUGUUCACUGCAUUCUGUGCUUCAUAUUGUCAUCUCGCACCAUAAAAAGAAAAAGAUAUAAUCUGGUUCUCAGGACAAGGAACUACCUGAAUUCGAAGGUAAUUGGAUGCGCAUUGUUGUGACUGAAACAUGAUUGAGAGGUUGUAGUCCACCAUAUCUGCACUGGCAUUGAACACCAUAUCAACCAAAGGUGCCUCGCCUUUGUUUGCCAACCAGUCUACAAUUCCCCACUUUGCCACAUCCCUUGCGUCGUAGCCCAUUGUAUGUUGUCCUGUACCAAGCGAGAGGACCAGGAUAUCGUUGUAGCUCUGCACACAUUCCCCCACGCAAUAAGUGCUCUAGAACAACAUUUCUUUGUGGCUCGAUUCUCACAACUCGACUCAAAAGCGUAGCAGAGAACUGAUCAAAAGAAUGUCAAGCGAGUGUAAUACCGAAUUAUCCACUCUUUCUGCCAGAGCCCCGCCGGCUUGCGAUUCCUUGAUUGCUUGCGUAAUCGCGACAUAUGUCUGCUCCAGAAAAAACAAAUGAACUAAUAAAUUAUGCGAAGUUAUGAAGAAUGCGAAAAUGACAAACAGGCAUAAUACAGGACUUCUGGCAGCAAAAUGUCAGAUUGAGGAGACCAACACAACAUCUUGCAAUCGACAUUUCUCGUGUGGGAUGAAAUGAGACAAAAUAAGAUCAAGCGCACCGGAUUGUUCACAACAACACCGCCAUCUAUCAAGUUGAACUCUCGUGUUUCGUUGGGCUCCCUGGAGGUAUCAGUCAGAGUGAAAUGGAUUGGUGGGAAGUAUGUCGGCGAUGCAGACGAAGCUCGGCAAACAGCUUUAAUGGGAGGAUUCUCAAGAGGAUCUCUUUGCGCCUAUUCACAAACAAACCCACAUUCUAAUUACACUUUGAGUAAACCCUAGUUAUCAUCGUGACGACCAAAGCUGUUUGACCUGGAAUUGCAGAAUACGGAGCUUCGUACUUCAGCUUUCAUUGCUUCGUAUCCUGCAAGUGCAAUUUGCAUGCACUGCGAUUGAGAGAGUUUACCUGCCAGGACGAGAAGAAGAUCGGUUGUUGCAGUUUCGUAUCGAAGGCCGGGAUAAUGAUGGACGUCAGCGCUCGGUCAAGAAGAGGAUCGCUCUCAAAAUACUGGUCUAAUAAGCGCUGCAAUCCUCGUGGUUUAUACUUGGGCCCGUUCAAGGCCAUGAAGUGCCUCCGUGUCUGCCCAAACGGGCCUCUGCGGAUACAGCCAGAGCAGCAGGUUAAGUUACUUAACAUUCAUCCCCGGUGGACACAAAAGAAUCUGAAUCUUGACGUUGUUGGAAGAAGUUGAUUAAUAGUUUCGAUCGAGUGAUACAUACUUGCCCUGAGGGAAGAUCUUGUUUGCGUGCUUUUGGUAGAACUGCACGACUUCUCGGGCUGUGAACAAAGGUCGGUUUGAGCCCUCGGCGCUUGGGGACGAAAUCAUGGAGGUAAUGAGUCCACCAGUGCUGGUUCCAGCUAUGAUGUCGAAGUAGUCGGCCAGGCGCGCUUCUGGCCCAUCCAAUCUCUGGUUUUGAAACGGAGGACAACAUAUUUUGUGAGAAGACGUGGUGCACAAUGUAUCCAAUGUUCUCACUUGCAUCAGCGAUUUCUAGUUUGCAACCUCUCCCUCCAGCUUCCUUGUGCGAGCAUUUCACAUGAACGAGAAGUUAAUCUCAUGUUCUCGAAUGAGAUUACUAUUGGAGAGGGCCUCAUCGUUCCAAAACCGGCCCCUUCGGACACACACUGAUACACCCCGCGCCGCACCUUACCUUGUCGACCCGGCCCGGACGGCAUCGUGAACGGCGGUAGGCCUAUGAUCUAGAGCAGAUUUGUACACAAUCUCAAAGUAGAAACUAGCUGCACUCAUUACCCACUUGAUAUCGAUGAGUAAGCUUCGUCUAGUUGGAAUACCGCGGUGAGAAAUCUAACGACUACAUUGCCAUCUUCUGAGCCGCUGGAAAGAGGUAGCGACGCUGAUGAAAUGCAAGUCUGUCUCAGCUACGCUCUACAAUCGCUAUACAAUCCUUCCAAAUUUGGGUCCUGAGUUUUAUGUGACAAUUCGUCAUGGCUAGGCUUCUCAUGCAUCAUGAAGGCGAAUUGUUACAUGCCUUCAUUGCAGCCUACCCACCUCAAAUGAGAACCACUCUAAGGUGUUAACCGUUACGUUGCAAUAUCACAAGGGUACUGGUAGCUUGCCGAAGUGACGAGGAAUGAAUUGUAAGAGACGAUUCUACUGAAACCCUGAGAGCUUCACGACAUUGUCUUCGAUUAUAAGCGUCUCAAUUCCUUAAGCAGACUGCAAAGCUUGCAAAACAAUCCGUCCAAGCCGAGACCAACACAAGAGUACCCACCUGAAGCUUGCCCUCAAGCUCGGCCAGGAUGGUGGCCGGGAUAAGUCCCCGCACUCCCCCUCCAUCCACGCUCAGUAUAGUCACCCGCUUCCCAACCUGGCCCGUAGGCCUCUGCGUCAUGAACCCAGGCAUAACUGCUGCAAGACCUCAGCUCCGCACAAACUCACACCCUCUCUCUCUCUCUCUCUCUCUCUCUCUCCAGCAAGCCCUCUUGCAGAUCCAGCUCAAUUAACCCCCCAGGACACUGAACUGAACGCUCUAUCCAGCACCGCAGGAGCGAGUAUUUGAGGCCGGAGUGGUGGACGACAACCAGUCCUCGCUUUUCACCCGAUCAUAGGCGCACCCACCUUCAAAGCCGCAAUUACAAAGGUUGGUCUAAUCCUCAAUUACCGAAGCUGCCGAUCCACAGUACUGCACUUCGACGCACAUCGUGCAACAGGAAGCUGCGUCGGAGGCGAAUAUUUCAACCACCAGUGGACGGUCUUUCACAAACUAGUUACCCUUCAAUAAUGAGCCGUGGCGGGUUGCGAGCAUGAGGGAGACUCUCCCUUUGAGACAAGAUCCCAUGCACCUGAUCCACGACCCUCCUCCAUUGAUCGUCUGUUUAACUAGCCAAAGGCUACUCAGCCAUUUGCGUCUUUAGCUACCCCGAAUGCUUCGUAACAGCCAACCAUUAAUCAACAUUUUGUGAAUGUAAUUGAGCUUGUUUAGCAACUGGGUUGCUAUUAGAUUGGGACUGAGCAUGAGGUGACCUUAAUCCAACAGAUUCUAUGAGGACGUUAGUGCCGAUGAGUGCAUAUGUUUGCCACGGCAAAACGAUAGAGCAUGGGACACGGCGAGGAUAGUUCGUUUUGUGAGAUGUUUUAAUGGGAACCCACUUGGUCUUAUAGCGAAGUUGUAUGGGUGCCGUUUCAGUUGCACUCUAGAAGUAAUCUAGAAAGCAAAGACUGUGUCACAAUUAUUGUUGUCAUGUAAGAUUCCAAGAUGUUCCAACCACCAAAAUGCCAACAGUAAAUCAGGUAUCAUUCCCCCCUCCUAGCAGAACUAUUACUCUAGCUAUUGUACAGUGUUGCACAGAUAAUGACAUUGUGCAUAGUCAAUGUCUGCAAUAAUAGAAAAGAGUAUGAUUUGGAAAACUGGUAUGAAAAAGCUUUAAUCAGUGAGAUUACUUUCAAGGAGCAGGUCCAAGAAUUAUUAACUAUUGUAAGGCCCAGUUCUUCCUUGACUCGGGGUUCCCGACAAUAAUUAAUCCGUUCUGAAAUUAGUACUUCCAAAAUCAUUAUUAGUAUUAUAUAUAUACCUUAAUCUAACACAUUUUCUCUCAGAGGACCUCAAGGGCUGAGUUUCCUAGGUCUCUCGAUGAGACAUAUUGAAUGCGGAGCGCUCGAAGUACGCAGGCUGCAAGGGUCGAGGGUUCGAAACCUGGAAGGGGAUUCUAAACCUGAUAGGUGGACUUCAAGGGCCGAACAAAUUUGACCUUUCCGAAGAGACAGAAUCUGGACAAGGAACCGGUCUUCAUGGUAUCAAGUUGCAAGACCGUUUUGGAAAGUCAUUUUAAACCGUCUAUCUUACAUAAAUGCAGGAACUUACACAUACCAUAAUUGAAAGGCCAAGUCCAGGAUGUGCACCAAGUCACAAGCCUCCAAAUAAAACCAAGACAACACAGGAUACUCAUCCACUCUCCUACCCAAAUUGACAUAAGCACUGAAUGUGGGCACAUCUGUUUUAAUCCCAGUGCUACUCUAACAUUCCCCAGGAUUACAACCCUCUCCCAUGAAAAGUGAGCCAAAAGGUAGAACAACAAAGAAUAAUGCAACCACAACCACUGCACCACUGUAAGUGUGCCCACUCAAGGCUAAAAUACAUGAGCACAUUCUGAACAGAGAGGCACUCAAGGAAAGAGAGGAAUAUGAAGCAGAAAAGCAUAUCAGGGACUGUAGCUGCUGCUGACAUUGAAUCACACCAGGGCUGAGGUGGUCCCAAGGGCAUGUUGGCCCCCACAUGAAGAGCCCUAAGUGCUGGCUUGCUUGUUUGUUUGUUUGUUUCCUUGCUUGUUUGGCAUACACUAGUUGUUGUUGUAGCAAUACCAGUACCAGUAGUAGUACUUGGGUUGGGGGUGGGGAGGGGGGAUCCAGUAUGGGAUUUUGGGAUGGCUGGCAGCAAGAACAGCAGAGCACCACAAGGGUGGUGGCACAGCCAUGUGGAAAAAGAGAUGAAAAAAACAGACACCCUCUCUCUCAGAAAACAGACCCACAUACAUACAGACACACAAACAGACACCAAUGUAUCCAUCCCUCUGCCUGUUAUUGUGCUGCAGCAGUGGAAGAGUGAGUGAGUGAGUGCAUUGAGAGUGGGAGACCAUUGCUGCCAGUGCUGGGAUAUCCAGGUGAUGGAUGGAUGGGUGGAGUUUAGCCUUUUGAACGGAAAUCCUGCAGUAUUAUUCUAUUGUUUGCAUCCCUCAAUUUCAUGCAAAUGUUGGUUUAUCCACUCAUCUCUAUCUCUAUCUCUUCCUGUGUCUAUUGUGGGGCAUGUUGGUGAUGGUGGGUUGGUACCUCCCCAUGUGUUGUGUUGUGUUGUGUUGGGCAUCCCCUGCAAACUGUCAGUCAUUUCUGGAAUGACUGUGAAUGUACCCACCACCAUACACGUUCAGAUGGGCUUUUAUCACAUCAGGACAUCAGGACUCUCCAGGUUGUAGGAGUUGUACCACCACCACUCUCUUUCAUUGUAUUGCCUGCAGGACUGUCUCUCUCUCUCUCUUUCUCUUCAUUUCAAUUUCAUACAGAUUUAUGUAUAUAUAUAUUUGUGUGUGUUGUUUAAGAGAGGAGAUAGGGUUGUGUAUGCAGUCAUUGUGAAGGAGAUUAGGAAAAGGGUGAAAUGGUUUGCAACAUUGUUAGCCCAUGAUCUGAUUGCAAAAGUGGUUGCACCAAGGAGGUUGACUAGUUAAAUUUAAGAUGUGAAGUUUCCACAUUUGCAAAAUGAACAAUUAGUAAAAAGAUUAAUGUCCCACUGUUUCAAAUAAAUUUAAAAGAAUUAAACAAAUAAAACAAACAAACAAACAAACAGACAUAGCAAGGGUAAGCUUUCACUCUCACUCUCAUCAAUGAAAUAGAACCUAAUGCCUCUCCUACUUGGCUCCUCUUGAUCAUUCAGAUCCCAAGCUAACCCACACAAUACUUCUGCUCUGGUGAAUCUGAUCACAAAAAGUGGUACACAACCCAAUCAUUUUUUUCAAUAUAUGUAUAUAUACACAUCAUAUUUUUUAGUAUAGUGUAUGAAAUAAUUGGAGAUCUCCCAAAUGAAACAAAUGAGUUAGGAUAAAGGAAAGGGAGAGGAAGGCAUGGUUUUGCACUCUCUUCAUUGAAAGGCCUAUUCAUUGUGACCGCUAACUGUGCCACCCAAUGAGCAUGAGGGACAUAGAGAGACAUGGCACAAUCAUAUAAAGAUGUGCAAUCCACACUAUGAGUCCUUGACUCUCUCUCUCUCUCUCUUUAUAUAUAUAUAUAUAUAUAUAUAGAAAAAGAAAAGAAGGGGGUUAAUUACAAUAGAAAAAACUUGCCACUGCAUUGAGAAGUAAAAGCGAAUAAAGAGAAGAGCAUGUAUUAUUUGCUUCAACAUCAUUCCAUUGCCUUAUAAGAAGAAGAAGCAUAAGUUAAUCAUGUUGAAAGCUAGAAUAAGAUAUUGCAAAAUUGUAUUUGACAAAGCUUGUUGUGAUCUAAGCUUGAAGAGAACUUUUGGUUUUGAAUUGUGGAGUGAUCAAACAGUCUACAUUCAUGUCCCAUUCAUGGCAUUCUUUUUUGACAGUCAGCCAAAUAGAGGCUGAUUUUGAUGCCUGCUGACUAUUUUGAUUUAAUGUCUUCCUUUGUUUGUUGAUUUUGAUGGCUUGACAACUUUAGCACCUUGCCCUUUUUUAGAUUUUUUUAGGUUUUAUUAAAUUUAUUAUUCUUUUAGGUUUUACAAAUUUCAUGUCACAUCUAAUUUAUAAGCUUUUUUCCACUAAUUUUUUCUGGUUGUUCAUAGAGUUAUCCAACGCCAUUGUUGUAAAAGAUAAAAUCUCCAUAAAACUCACAAGAAAAUAUCAUAUGUAUAAAAUUAAAUAUAUAAUGUACAGUAAUGUGACUGAAGAAGAAAAGAAUUUCAUGCCAUUUAUUUAUUAUUGACUCAUCAUACAUAAGCCGCCAAAAAUAGAAAAUGUGUUUCUUACAUUGAAUAAUCUCAAAGGAUAUUAUAUUGAUUUAAAAAUUAAUGACUACAAAUUUUAAGUUUGUGCAGUUUAUACAUUAACAAUAAUAAAUCAUAGUUGAAAACAUAAUGAUUUUUUCAUUCCAUAUUGGUUAUGUAAUGCUAAAUAAUAGUUUUGUCAAGGUAUGAAGACUUUUGAGCAUCAAGACUUUGAACACAAAUAUGAACUUUUAAUAUUUUAAUAUUUUAAUAUUAUUAUAUGAUUUUAACAAGUUAAUUUAAUUUAAUUUAAUGUGUUAAAUGUAUGUAUGUGUAUGUAUGUGUAUGUAUAUAUAUAUAUAUAUAUAAACAAAAUCUAUAAUAUAUAGGUUGAUAAUGAAAGGGUUUCUUUAUGUCUUUAUUUUAUACUUGAAUUAUUUUAUAUAUUAGAUGUAUUUGGGGUAUGAUUCCAUCCUCAAUUCCAUCCCAAAUUCCAUGUGUCACAAAAUCUUUGUUGUUGACCCAAAGAUAAUGAGAAAGAUGGAAAAGAAGAAGCAUAAAAAGAUGGUCGUAGAUUGCAUGAAUGAAUGGUGACUCAAGUCAAGUCAAGUCAAGGAGAGUAAAAUUAUUCUUUGGUUUUGGUGUUGGGGCUUGUGUCCCCCUUGUUUGCACUAUGUCCAAACUCCACCGUCCCAAUAAUUCCCCUUGUUUCUUUUCCUAAAUAAUAACUAAUUCAUUUUUUAUUUUUAUUAUUUUAUUCUCUUGUUGCUAAACACUCAAAUCCACAAAGAAAGAGAUAGGCACAAACAACAAAUGAAACUGAAUGAACGAAAUGAAUGAAUGAAUGUACAAGGAAGAAGCACUCUCACAAGAUUUUUGCACCUUGGAUGAAUGAAAACAUGGAUGCAGUUUAAGGUGGAUGAAUGAUCCUGAAGGGUGCCUCCACCAUCAGCAGCUGAACCCAAUUCCAAAGCCGGGUGGAAUCUCCUCCUUCAAAUUCUCUUUUAAAAAAUGAAACAAAAAGAAUGCAAACCCUAAAAUUGUAAAGAAGAGAUCAAUGGGGCCCUUGGCAAAGAUUUUACAUGAAAUCAACCAAUAUUCCAUGGGCCUGGGGAUCUCAUAUGCCACACAUGAUGUUGCUCCCAAAGACCUUUCUCUACUUCUCUUUUUCAUUUUUCAUCUUUUUUGUUUAUUUAUUUAUUCUUAUUUUUUUGAGAGGGUGGUGCUAUUCACUUGAGGCUUCCAAUGCCUCCAUUUCCAAGAGUUAAAAUCCCAAUUUCAAUGCCCCCACAUAAACAUACACACACCCAAAAGGAAUGAAUAAACAAAGCAUUCAAUGUUCCCAAUCAUUGGUUGGAAGAAACAAAGGAAGGUGGAGCUCCUUUUCCAAUAAUAACAAUAAUAAUGGGGAUGAGUUGGUGCUAUUUUGAAUGCAUGCAUGCAUUAUGUUGAGCUCAUUUGUAGCCAUGCACACGUUGAUGGGAAAAAAUAAAAAAUGAAGUAAUAAGAUGAUAAAGGUUUAGGUGAAAGCAAAAAAGAGAAGAAGUCAAUAGAACCGUAGAUAAGUUGUAUCUUAUUUUGUUUUGUUUUUUUAUUUAAGGGAAGUUGCUCCUUGCAUUUGCCAAUUAAAUGUUUACUUUCAAGACAUUAAUUCAUUCACAACGGCAUAUAUAUAUAUAUAUAUAUAUAUAUAUAUCAUUUUAUCUCUAUACAUUCCAAAUGCAAAAAAGAGAUCUAUAUGAUAUAAAAAUGAGUCAAUUAGUUCAAAUUUUAAAAUAUUUUAGAACCUGAAAACUGAUUUUUUAAAAAUAAUUCAAUAAUACUUAUUAACCAGUGAAAAUGUAACUUCUAUACUAAGAUUCAGGAUUUAAGAUUUAAAAAUAAAUUUUUUGACUAACUUCAAUGUUUUUAAUAAACAUUGUAUUUUUUUUCUUUUUUCUUUUUUCUUUUUACUUUCUCAUGUAUAAAUAUAAGAAGCUAAAGUAUCUAUAAUUACAGAUUUUAAAAUACUACCUUUCUUCUUUUUUGAAACUAUAGUUAGAAAUUUUAUAUAUUUCAUAGACUAUAUAUAUAUAUAUAUAUAUAUAUAUAUAAUUUUAAUAUAAUAAAGAGCCAAUACGUCUGAUGAAAUAAAAGAUAUCAGUUUCUUGAAUAACAUUAAAUCUUUAAAACUUGCAAAGUACAUACUAUAUAUUUUUAAAUAACAUAAUAUGGAUUCAAGUAAAUUUGACAUACCCAUAAAUAUACACUAAUCUUAAUAAGAUCGAUAAACAUAAGCAUCUUGAUUUUUUUCUAUUGAUGUAUUGCUGAAAGAUUAAAAACAUAGCUCUCACCUAGUCCACUCUAUUCAAUUAGUUAUUUUUUUAAUUUUUCUUAGACCAUAAAAUAUAUCCAUAUAAGAAUAAUUGAAAUUAUUAGUAGACAUGAUUUGUGUAAUAACUAAUUAUAAAGUAAAAUCAAGACCUGAAAAUAUAUUACUUAACUUAAAGUAAUUGAGCAAAUGAAUAUGCUUGAUCCAAAAAAUUAAAUUUAUUCAACUAAUGGUGAUCGUAAAAAAUCUUUAUAGUUAGCUUCCCUAAUGCAUAAUAAUUAACGCAAACUCAAAAAAAUAUAAACAUUCUCUUCAUAAAUAAAAAAAAGAAAACUGAAUUUUUUUUCAAUAUUUUCAUGAUUCUUUUUUAGUUUAUUUACUGCAAAAAUUUAAUACAUACAUAUGGAUAUAGAAAAAGUUAUAAAGUGAUUCAAACAAAAAAAUUCUCUUUAUAUUGCAACUUAUGCACUUAAUAUUUUGAUAACACACACACACACACACACACACACAUAUAUAUAUAUAUAUAUAUAUAAGCAAGUUUAUAAUUUGCGUGUGGAUUGUGAUGGUCAAAGAUGCAUUGUGGAAUAGGUAUAUUGUGAUAAUGAUGCGUUCAAGACAUAUAUGCUUCCUUUGAUAUGGUACUUCUAUGCAACACCACCAAGCUUACAGCUUAUAAACCAAUGCUCUUUGUUUUAUUUAUUCAAGUAAUAAACAAAACAUAGUUUUGCCUAGACAGAAUGCUUGUGAAACUUGACAAACUAGCUUGCCCUUUUUACGACACUAAUUGCUGAAUAUCCAAAUUCCAAAAAGAAAACAAGAAAAAAGUGAGUGUGUUCCUACAAGGGUGCUUAUAAAUACCUAAAUUUUUUUAAAUUAUUGCAUCUAUUCUAAAUUUGUAAUGGUACUACAACUAAUUAUUAGUAGUUUCUACUAUUGCAUGUUUUUUCAAUCUUCUUAUUGUAUUGACAUCCUUUAAUGUUGUGGCUUUUGCAAAAAAUCGCAUUGACAAAGUCAAAUCAGCAUUUGUAGUUUAUUAAUUUGAUGAAUUGAUAAAUACUGUUUUUAUAAAAAGUAGUUCAAUAACAAUAAGUAAAUAAGAAUAGUUCAAAUAUUUAUAUAUGUGUGUACUUAAAAAAGUUAUACUUUAAAAAAAUAAUUUUGAUUAUGAUAAUGACUUCUUAUUUAUUAGAUGUAUGAUGUAGAAUAAAAACUUAUUUAUAUUUCUUCAAAUCAAUUAAUAUUAAAAUAUAAAAUAAUAAAUUUAAUAUAUAGAUUAUUCUUAAAAAAUUGAAAAUAUAGAUUCUUUGGCAUAAUUACAACCUGAAUGUUAUAUAAUCAAUCUAUUGCUUCUACUUCUAAUUUCAUUCAACUUUUAAAAAGAAGAUAUCAUAUUAUUAUAUAGUACAACUUUACGUAAGAAAUAUAUUCUUGUAAAUGUUUAAUUUACUAUUGAAAAUUUCGGAAUAAAGUAUAUUAUUCUUUGACAUCAGAAAAUAUAUUUUAAAAACAUUUUACUGUAAUUAUCACAUCAAAAAAUUAUUGUGUAGAAAAAUUUAUAUCCAGUCAUUUUUUAAUUCUCAAAUAUAUGAUAAUAUAUAUAGAUGUUAAUUGAAUAUUUUUAAUUUUAAAAAUUAUUAAAAAUUCAUGGUAUACUUUUAAUUACAUGAAUUUUAGCCAAUAAUUAAGUGUUAUUAAAGAGAUUCUCUUAAACAAUAAGGUUACAAUCUAUGGAGUGAUAGAGCAAUAGUGGAUGCAUGAUAAUGUGGAUAUGUUUUGUGCUUUAGUACUAUAGAUAGAAUAUUACAAGAUUAUUUGUCAAUUUAAUAUUACCCAUGUGAAUAUUGUAACAAAGAUUGAUUACGUGUUUAUGAUGUCAUGGAAAAAAUCUCAUUUCUACUGUUUUCCACUGAAACUUCCACGAGAUAAAUUUUAUCCAACUCUGAUAUAUAUAUAUAUAUAUAUAUAUAUAGAAUAAAAUAGAAAAUCUAUUCAUGUCUAAUAAAUACAUAUAUAAAAUAAAAUAAGAAAACAAUUAUCCAUCUCUAGUAUAUAUAUAUAUAUAUAAUUUAUAUAUAUAUAUAUAUAAAAAUUAUAUAAAAUUAAUUUUCAAAAUUACAAUAAUUUAUGAAGAAUCUCAAAUAAAUAUAAAUAUUUUUAUGGUGUAAAAAAUAUAAACUAAAUUUUAUUUAGAGAUAUAAUUAAUUAAAAGUAUACCAUGAAUUUAAUACACAAUCUAAGAAUCUCUCCACAAGAAACUCUUUUCAACUUGCUUCACCACACAGUCAAUUUAUUCACAUCCAUACUAUGCACACACUUCAAUGUUUAUUUAUUUUUAUUUUUAUUAUAAUUCUUACAUGCACUAUGAUUCAGAUCACCACUAAACUACUCUAUUUUUAUCUUUUCACUAAUUUCUUUGCCUUUGUAGCUGCAUCUGUCACUUUCUAAGUUUCUCUUCUUAAUUUUCUUUGCCACACAUGUUUGUGCUGAUUUUGUUCCUUGUUCCUUCAUAAUAUCACACAAUCACAGAUUUUUCUCACACUUACAAUUUUCUGAAACCACAAAUGACAUUGUACUCUUGAUUUUUAUAACAUGAACUUACAACACUUAGAGUAUCAUAUUUCAUCUCACAAAUCCAUCACCAGAUUGGAUUAAGAAUCAAUUAUUUGUACAAGAUGAGAAAAAAUAAUGUCAAUGGUUACAAGGAUGUUUAAAUUUAACAAAAAAUAACUAGUUUCUAUAGUUUAAUAUAUAUAUAUAUAUAUAUAUAUCUAUAUCUAUUGAUGAAAUAAUCAAAUAUUUUUUAAAAAAAUAAUAAGAUAUAUAAAUAAUUUAUAAACACUAAUAUAUCAAUUUAUAGUUGUUUCUUUUAUUUUUGCUACAAAACUUCUGAAAAAAUUAAUAAAUUAAUGUAAAUUUUAAAUUUUAAGUUACUCUUAAUUACUUCUUAUAAGCAGUAAUGAAUGUGAAGAUAUUGAUAAGAAUAAAAUGUUAAAAAUAAAUAUAUGCUUACAAACAAUCAAGCUUCUCACUAAAAGAUAUUCCAUCUUAAAAUCAUAAGUAUCAAUCAUAUUUAAGAUUAACUAAUGAAAUAUAAAAUUUCUUUCAUGUAUAAUCUUAGAAUUUAUUUAUUUAAAAAAUUACUAUAUAUAUAUAUAUAUACACACAUAUAUAUACGGAAUUGUUGAAUUGAUCCAAGGCAUUUACAAAAUCAACCCACCUAUCAUCAUUUUUUCAUUGGAUUUCAAUCAAUGUGGAUCCAACAAUGGAGAUUUUUUUUGAUGAUGAUUAGGAUGGGUAGGUCGAUUUAAUGAAUGCCUAGGUCAACUUAAAAAUUCCCUAUAUAAAUAUAUAUAAAUAUAUUAUAUAUAUUUAUAUUUUUUUUCUGGACCAAUGUACAUCAUAUGUUCUUAUUUUUUUCAUUAAAUAUAUAUAUUUUUUUCCUUCUUGAUACUUUUUUCAUAAUAGAUAUAUUUAUAUAUAUACAUAUAUAUAUUUUCUGUAAAUUGUGGGGCUGAUUCAAUAAAGUGCGCAAACUAAAUGGCUGAGGUUGAUGGGACUUGCACAAAUUCCGGGGGUUCGUAUUGCGAAUGAAAAACGAUGCGCUAAGUUCAUCCCUUCGAUGAAUUCCGGGUCGCUGAGUCCAAACCAGUCGCAGAGUAAACGCAUUUUGUUGUAUUUGUUUUUUUUUUAUUUGAUUUUUUUGUAUUUGGGGUUGGGCAGCAAACGUCGGUAGUAGAAGAAAUCGAUUGUGUCGAGAAAUCCUUUUUUCAAUCGCGAAUUGAAGAAUUGCCAGCCCUCAAUUUCUUCGUCUUCUCGGGAAUUCGGAUUGGAUUUUGUGCUUGUCAGUUUUGUAGUUUCCUCGAUUUCUUCAGUCGCCGGUAGUUUGUGCUCUGGAGCUACAAGAGUGUGUGUUAGGGUUUUUCGUCAUCAGGAAUCGAGGAUUCUUGCUGUGGAGCUGGAGGAUUCCUCGCUGCAGUAGCUUGAGUGAUGUAGGAUUGAUGUGUUCUCGACCUCAUCCGGUCUCUUUUACUGGUGAAGCUUUGUUAGGUUUUUUAGAAUAAGAGCACACUUGAAUCUGCGAUUUUUAAUAAUUUGAACGAUGAGGAGGAGGCCAGGGAUUUCAGGGCUGCAAGGGGCGGUUGCAGCGCGAGAUCAAUACCGAUCAUUGGGGGACAAUGUUGCAAAGGUGCGCCAAGACCUCAUGAAGGAGCAGUUAGAAACGUUCCGGCAUCAGCUUGAAGAGUUCGCGUCUAAGCACAAGAAUGACAUCACGAAAAAUCCUGCCUUCAGGGCGCAAUUCCAUACAAUGUGCGCCAAGUGUGGGGUGGAUCCUCUUGCGUCGAACAAAGGAUUUUGGGCUGAGCUUUUAGGAAUUGGUGAUUUUUACUACGAGUUAGGGGUGCAGAUUGUCGACAUCUGCCUCGCCACCAGGUAUCUGUCUCUCUUAGAUGUUGUUUACCUUCUUGAGAUAUCGAGUCGUGUGAUUCGGAUCACCAAUUUCAGAGUUACUCACGUUCUCUCAUUAAUGAAAGAAUGAUUGGAUAUGUUGAGUGGCUACUCUACAUGAAACUGUGGCUGUUCGAAAUCUUCAUUGUCUGCAGCUGGAAAACCAGGUGGAGUGCAUUUGCUAAUGCCGUUGAAUUUUAUAUCUAGCUGAUUUAGGUGACAACUUAUUCUACAGAUUAGGAUGAUGGUAAUCAUGGUCCUACAAUUGUUCGAAAAUGUUGUUCAGACCUCGAAAUGGUGGCCUCAUCGACAUUGAGGAGCUUCGUUCAUCGCUUUCAAAACGACGUCGCUCUGUGUUAAUUACUGAGGACGAUUGCCUACGUGCAAUUGGAAAGUUGAAGAAGUUGGGAGGAGGGUACGAGGUAUUCAGCGUUGGACGUCGCAAGCUCGUACGAUCGGUUCCCAUGGAACUGAACAGGGACCAUAACCUAAUUCUUCAGAUCGCACAACCUCGUGGGCAUGUGACAGUCGAAGAGGUAGAGAGAGAGCUUUCAUGGCGCAGUGGACGAGCAAUUGAUGCACUUGAGAACCUUCUGAAGGAAGGCUUGGCAAUGAUAGAUGACGGAGAUCCUGAUGGCAAGCGUCAUUACUGGUUCCCUUGUGUUGGUCCUUCUGAACUGGAGACAGAAUCUGGUGGCAACAUGUAGACAUUAAUAAAUGUAUUUCCACUCUUUAUAUGCUGAUUUUCAAUUUUCUUGGAUAAGUGAAUGUUCUAAAGCAUGUUUGCUUGAUGUUUUGCUGUUGCAAAGAACUAUGUGAUGUACAUCGCAUCGCACAUACAGAUAUGGUUGAGUAUUCAGUUGCUGAAACGGUUUGAAUUUCACGAGGUAUUCAAUGAAAACAUGAAAUGCGUGAGUACAUAAUUUAGCAUGUUAUAUUUUCAAAUGCUGUGCAAUUGAUAAAAGUCAAGGUGGUUGUAGCUUAAAAAUUGAAUGAAACUUUUGUUUACACGCAUGUUAUGUCAAUUAUGGACAAUGCAUGAACAGAAACUAGGUGAAGUUAAAUGAAUUAUCUUCACAUGCAUGGUGUACUUAAGCUUCCUAGCUAGGUUUAGAAGCAGUUUUAGCAUCAGUAAAUCUUCCAACUACUCCAUAUAAACACUACCAAACACUGUUCAACAACUAUAACCACCUGUGUUGCUAAGCUUCACCCAAAUCUACGUUUUAACUUUUGCAUGCAAUGAUACACAACCAAACAGUACAAGCCACAAAGAUUCCUAGCACUAUACCACAACCUAAGAUUCACAUGCCUGUUUUGUGUCUCUGCUUGUAAUGCAUCUGUGAGAUGACCUAAACACUACAAGCUUCGCAUCAUAUCGCCUUCCAGCUCGACCACCUUAACAACACUUUACACUAUUCUUUGUACAAUUCCAGUUACAUGCCUACAAUGUAAUACCUUUUCAACAAGAAAAGGAAUUUAGCUAUUGACCCCUGGAUAAACUGGUGCAGAAGAAACAGGCAUCUUCUGCUGUUCGUUGACACCGUCUGCAUUACAAAUCCAAUGAAACAAAUUAGCACAACUAUGAACUAAAAUUAACUUAGCUCUCUUUGUUAAGUCACCUUUGUUGUCUUCCAACAGCAUUUCUCCUGUCAAAGGAUUUGACAAAAACCUUACCUCCGUAAUUUUGAUAAACGCCAGCAGCUGGCUGCUCAUGAUCAGACCGAGGAGUGACAGCGUUCGGUCUCCCAAAAUCUGAAUGUGCCGGGAAUGUGUGUUGCAAAUGUUCUCCAGUUUCUUUGGGGGCGGCAGCGAAGAGGGAGCUCGCAGCACCCCUGACACGAUCAACAAUAGGGAUGCUCUGAUAAUUCCUAGGUGAAUUCGUCUUGUUACCUCCAUUCACGAGACCUAGGACUGGCAAGAUCUUCUCCUUAAAGGUGCCGGGCAAUGUGCUCAACGUCUGGGUCACCUGUUCAGACAGUUCCUUGUCAUGGUGCGUCGGAGUGGUAUGAGCUGCAAGUCGGUCUUUCGCGAAAGCUGCACGAUCUGCAGCAGUGGAGGAGUACUCCCGAGUUUUUUGACUCGCCGUAUUCAUGUAGAUUUUAGCCUUCUGUGUGAGGGGAGGAGCGUUCGGAUCCCUGGGCUUGUCAAGGCCCAGAGUUGCCUUGCUCUUAUUCAGAAGUGUCACUGCGUUAGGAUCUCUAGGUUUGUCAAAUCCGAGUGCCGACUUCGCUUUAGUCAGCACAGAGGGUGCGUUCGGGUCAGUGGGUUUGUCCAAUCCUAAAGCCAUCUUCGUCUUUUGCAUGAUUCCGGGCGCGUUAGGGUCCCUCGGUAUAAGAUCUUCUUCCCUGUAGUAUCCCAGUUUAUCUCCGACCACAGCAGCGGCGCCAGCGACACUUUCCGUCAUUUUCUCGAGUAUCCCCUUAUUUGCACGAUUUGGAAGGCUGGAGGAGUCCGCAGUGGCACUAGGGCGGGAGACAUCGUUGUACCCUUUUUGUGUGCUCUACACAGCAAAUAUUACAGAAAAAUCAAUUUCACAAUACGAAGCAUAUGGUAAUUGCAUCCCUCACUUCACUUCAUCGCAUGUCAGCUAGAAGAUAUGGUCUAUGUUGUGUAUACCUCGACCAUUGAGUCAGGAUAUGACAAUGGCGGGGAGUAUUUUGCUUGAGGUUGGGAACUGAGAUCACUUCGAUAAGAGAUAUCACGAGGAGACUUUUCGUUGACACCCAAAUUCUUCAAUUUAUCGACUGUGGUCGGGGCCAAGUUAGAUCUUGGCGAGUCAGUCGGUGGAGCCAAGUUCGAUCUUGGGAUAUCAGUUGAUAACGGAGCUGGUCGCGUGGGAGGUACCCCUGGAACAUAGUUUCGUGUUUCGGCGUUAUGCAAAGGAUUGUUAUGCAAAGGCUUCAAAUGUCCAGUUGAUGGAGUCAUAUUCGAACUUGGGGUAUCAGUUGAUACCGAAGCUGGUCGCGUAGUGGUGGCCAUCGGAACAUGAUUUCGACUUUUGGCAUCAUAUUCUGAAGGGUUGUUAUGUACAGGUAUCCCGUAUCCAGUAGAAUCAGGGUACGACGACCUUGUGUCAUGGUCCCGGUUUUGCGAUGCGUUGAUAUUUGGAUCUGAUGAUGCAGGAUUGGUUCUCAAUGUGCUGAAGGGUGUGGAUUCACCAACGUUGUACCUUGUCUCGGGACCGGGACCCUGCUACCAGCAAUGCAAACGCGACGUCAAGCACAACAAGUGAAUGUCACCACAGAACCUCAAGUCAACAUUGAGAGACAUCUAGUUUCGAAAGAUCACCAUGCGAUGCGAACAACCUCAAAUGCAAGAAUUCAACUACAAGCUUUGUAACAAAAUGCUUACCCUGGGAGAGUUGUGCGGAGAAUCAUCGUACUCGGAGCUAUUCUCCUCAUACCCAUGCUCAUCGCCGCCGUCUCGCUUCUUCAAUCCCGGCAAUCGAUUCUUAAUGCUCUUCACCUUACUCCCCAAAUGUUGAUUGGUAACUCUUGCCUUGAUUUUCGACGUCAAGGACCUUCCUCCUCCGCUCUCCCCCUGAGCGGGAUCUGCAGUGACAAUCCAUUCCGUGACAACAAGCACACCCACACACUCAGUCACACAAUCACCAUUGCCGCAAACAAACCAUGACAACCACUAACCCCACACUCUCAAUCCACUGCCACCUCAUUCAACUCCUACCCAACACUCUCAAACCCAAGGAUCAGCCUCAGAACGCAUCGCUCACAUUUGCAACAUCAACAAUCGAAAGCACACCAACACUGUCAGCGGGAAAGAAACAAAACAAACGACACAAUGGCGAAGCGUACCCAUCGUAUGGCAACUGUAGAGAAGAAUCCAAACACACUCUCUCACUUUGAAAGUCUCGGAUAACAGGAAUCUAAAAAGCUCUCUGUCGACGCAACAAAUGCUGGAUCUCACUCAAUUGCAAUAUAACCUCCCUGAGCGGGAUCGUGAACUUUAACACGGCAAACUGAAUAUUCAACAUCAAGAGCGAGAGAGUGCGUCUCCAUCCGCAACCGGUGGUAGAAGAAGGUGACGAAGCCUUUUGAGAAUGGCCAAGUGGCAGGCGCCCCGCUGACUUAGCUUGCCACAUGUCGAUCACUUUCUUCACCGUCCUCCUUAUUAUCAGUCCGACGUCCGUCUGUGCCCACCCAACUUCGUCCGCCGGCAACUUCGUCCCAUUGACGAUCGACCACGUUUCGCUCUAGUACGUUCGUCAUUGACUAAUUCGCAAGCUGAUGAUCUGAGGGUUUCGAUGCACACGUAUUAGCCUAUCAGUCUCUCCGAAAAUAUUUAAUGCAUGGUAGUGCUUUAGUAUGUGUGGAUUUUUGGGUAUCAUGCAUGCUUUGGAUUUGGUCUUGUAAAGUGGUUUGUUGUCAACAUGUGGGACUGUCUUAAGGAUUUGAAAACACAUAAAUUUCAUUUGAUUUUGUUUGCAUGUACCUUUUGUUGAUAGUGUAAAAUUUUCUACCUUGAAUGGAAAUAUAUGGUUUUGAUCAAAAUAAAUAACUCAUUGUUAUUUGUAUCUUUGCUAGAAACAUUAAAUACCUUCUUUUCUAGAGAUAUUUUUAGAAAUAUAUAAUUAAGAAUUUUAAAGCCUAAGAUUAUAUAUGUAUAUAUAUAUAUAUAUAUAUAUAUAUAUUCUUUUAUUAUUUCUUAAAUUCAAUCAAUUAUUUAUUUACUGUUUCAAGUAAAAAAAUAGUUAGUUUUUGUCUUUGUCUUUGUAAAUCAUAUUAACAUUCUAAAAAAAUGUAUUUAAUAAAUAUUCAAUUUCAGUAUUACAAGUAAAUUAGAAAACAUCUUAGAAUAGACCUACUUGAAUAAGAAUAAGAUGAUAGUAUAAGUUUGUAAAAUAAGCACAUGUAAAAAAAUGUGAGUUGGUGCAUGAAUGUGAGUUGUUUGUAUUUUAAGAAUUGUGCCUAUGAAAAAGUAAUGUGUUAAUAUUUAAAAAUUGACAAUUUUGAAAAAAAAUUAUAGAAUACAUUAUAAAAUCAUUUAUUAGAAUUGAAUAAUAAUAAUAAAAAUUAAAUAAAAAAGACAUAAAAACAUAAAAAUGGACUGAAGUGAUAUAAAAGAUAUGGAGAGAAUAGAUGGUACAAAGUGCAAGAAUGAAUAUUAAUUAUCAUUACUUUAAAAAUCAAAUAUAUAUAAUUUUUUGAAAAUAUAAUUAUGUACUAAUUGAUUCUAUGAAAAAAUGAUAAGAAAAUUUGAUUGGUUAAGUAUUCCAAAUUUUAAUAAUAAAUAAAUAAAUAAAUAAAUCAAUAAAUAAAAACUCUUAAACUUUUUAAGUAUGAAAUAUAAUAAAAAUAUUAACUAUUUCAAAUACAAAUCAUACAUAAAUUUAAAUAUUUUUUAAGUUAACUUAUUUAAGAAAUAUUCUGUUUUAAAAUAAAUAAUAUUCUAAAAUUAAAAUCCAUUCUUUAAAUCUAAUGUGAUAUCUUAGAGAAUUAAUAACUUAAAAUUUACAUAGAAUAAUAUAGAAAGGACAUUUUUCUUCUUUUCUAUCUUUAUGAUUAAGUGGCACCUUUAAAGGUAGCUUUCUAGCACUACCAAAGAUUAGUCACAUAUCUAAAAACAAAUUUUUUUCUUAUAGAAAUGGUAUUUUAUAAUCUUUUUGAAGGUUUCAACAACUUUAUUAAUUCUUAAAGACAAUAAAUCUUAAUAAUUGGAUCUUGUAAACUUGUAGUUUUUUUGGCUUUUCAACUCUUCUAUUAAAAAUCUUGCAAUUUAAUUUUAUUAAAGUAUUCUUAUAAGAAUACAUUAAAGAAUAAUUUGGAAUCAAAGUCUAUUUUGUGGUUCUAUGUAGGUCUUGUAAUAUCACUAAUAAUAAAUUAGUAUAUUUUAAUUUUUUUUUAUCUUUAAAAGUUUCAAAACAAAGUUGUAAUGAUGUCAAUUUUUUUAGUUGCUAUAAUUUAUAAAAUCUUAAUAGCAAAUAUAAUAUACAAAUUUCUUUCAACAUUGAUUUUAAAGAAUAUAAGCACUUGUAUCAAAUUUGAGGUGGUUAUAUCAAAUAUCCACCUCUUAUAUCAAAAGAUAUUUAUAAUUUGUUUUUGCAAUACAAGGAAUCAAGUAUGCGGCAAGUAUUUUAAUCCACAAUUUUUCUUUGUUGCUUUCAUUCUAUUCUUCAAUGGUAUAUACUAUACUAUAAUUGCCCAUUUUAUAUACCUUAAAAAUUUUAUCUCAUCUUUGGCAUAAUAAUUAGUCUUGAAUGCAUUUGUAGUCAGGUCUAAUAUGAUACAAAGCUCAAAGUUUUGCAUGCAAUAAACUUGGCUUUGUGAAGUACAUGGUGAUAGGUGACGGAGCUUUAGUAAUCUUCAGAAUCAUUGAAAUUUGAUGCUUUUAUGAGACUUGGAUCUUGAUUUUUUAUCAUGGACAUCCAUAUUUAUAUUAAUAAUUGUCUAAAUAAUAUAAAUAGGUAGAAGUGGAUUAAAAUAAGUAAAUUUAAUAAUAUCUUAUAAAAAAACUUCAUAGAAGCUUCAUAAACAUGGCUUUGACUUUAUACAUAUUUGUAGUUGAUUGAUAGUUUAGAAACUUAACCAAUAAGUUAGCAACAUAUUAUACAUGUUAGUAGCUUAUGGUAUAAGCUACUAUGUGGUGCACAUAUAGAAAAUUUGCCUUGCAAGUUGAGAUAUGUAUCUUAUAAGUUAGAUACAUGUUGAAGGUCCUAUAGAACCUUGCUUUGUAAUGCCUAGUUAGAUAGUAAAUAUGGAGGCAAGAAUGAAGCCUUUUUCAUUCUUAUGAAUGCCUUUCUAUUCUUUAGACUUGUUUCAAGAUUUUUUUUUUUUUUUUUUUUUUUUUUUUUAAACCUUUUUGUCUUUAUUAAUAGCUAUUUUAAAUUAAUAUUAUAUUAUUUUAAAGUAAUUUUUUAAUCUUGUCAAAUAACAUAAGGCUGUAUUGAUCUUUUAGUCCUCUGAGAUUUAUAUUCUUGAUAUUUUGAUAAGAAUACUAACUCAUUGUUUUUGAUUUGUUUUUAUAAAUGAGUGGAUUACCUCACUUCUAUUGUUUUAUUUUGAAGAUUGUAGAUUAUCUAUCUUUAAACUAAUAUCUUAGUUUUUUAAUACUAUUUUUUUUUUUUUUUAAAGAGAGUGGACUAUCUCUCUUUGUGGAAAUUUUCUUUAGAUAUUAGAAGUUAUAGAUUAUUCUCCUCUGAUUUGACUUGUGAAUUUAUUUGAAUUGCCUAUAGAAAGAAAAAUUAUAGAUGCUACUCUUAUUAGAAGUAAGAAUGGAUUUGCAACUAUUGCAUAUCUUUACAAAUUUGUUAACAUUCUUAGAGUCAAAAUUUUACAUAUUUCUAAUAUAAACCAUAGAAUUAUUAUUUUUAUGCCUAUAGAGAAAGUCAAUAAUGAUAUUUAGAUUCUAUGCCAAAAAGUUAUGCAAUUAAGAAUAGCGAGUAUAUCAAGUUUACAAUUGAAUGCAAAAAGUCUUGGUUCUACAAUUAUGAGGGAUGUAAGAUAAAGUAUGUCAAAGAAUUUUAAUGGAAUAAGAUCAAAGUUUUAAGGAUUUCUUAUCAAAGAUAUUAAUCUUGAAGAAUUUAUGAUAUAAUAUUAAAUUAGAAUGGCUAAACUUGAAGAAUAAAGAUGAUAUAAUAUUAAACUGAAAUGGGUAUUGCGAAAGACAAGAAGAUUAGAAAGAAUUAAAACAAGAUUAAAGAUUAAAAAGGUAUUGACAAGAAUGAAGAAGGCUUCAUUCUUGCCUCCAUAUAUAUUCUUUAACUAAAAGCUACAUAGUAAUAUUCUAUAGGACCUCCAAGAAGUAUCUCACUUAUAGGAUAUAUGAUUUAACUUACAAGGUAAGUUAUCUACAUAUGUGCGACAUAGUUAUCUUUUUCUACAAGCUUUUAAUAUGUAUGCCAUGUGAUUAACUUGUUGACUAAGUUUCUAGCCUAUUAAUUAAUUAUAAAUAUAUAUAAAAUCAAAGUAGUGCCUAUGAAGCUUUUAAGAAGAUUCUUUAAAAAAUAUUAUAAAAUAAAUCUAUUUUUAUCUACUUCUAUUUAAUCAUAUAAAUAAUUAUUAAAAUAAAUAUGUAUGCCAGUGCCAUUAUCUCUCUUUUGAAAAACGAAUUCCACAAAGAGCAGUCAUUAUAUAUUAAAAAUAUCUAAAAUGUGACAAAUUGUAUUUGCAACAUACCUUAAUCAUUGUUUUUUUUAAAGAUGGUUGAUAGGUUUUUUUAGCCAUUGAUAGUGUCUCAUAUCAAGGCGGAAAGACCAUCCUAUUAUUUGAUUUUUGUUUAGGCCUUCAUAACUCCUUUCAAAUAAAACAUUUAAAACAUUGUCAAGAGUCCAUUCUACCACUAAUAAAAUCACCAAAUAUCAAAAAUCUCUUCCAAAGUUGUGAUAUCAAACAUAUUGUAUCUUAUCAUCUAUUCAAGAAAAGAUAUGUUGUUCUUGAGGAUCUUCAUCUUAAUUAUGUUAUCUAAAAGAUUGUGACAGUUGCAAUAUUUCAUCCAAUAACUCAAUAAAUGAUAAUUCUUGAGUUGAAUUUGUUGGUUGUUGAUUUUCUAUCUCUUUAAUAAUUCAAAUACACAAAAGGAACAAAGAAGAUAGAAUGCUUUUCUUGUAUCUUAUUUCUUUUAUAGAAAAGAUUUUCAAUUCUUCAUCUUGAUUUUGAUAGAUGUUGUUGAUGAAAAACUAAAUCUUCUUUGCUGCAUUUGCAAGAUUCUUUAUUAGCUUCCAUGUGCAUUCACUAAUAUCAUAUUCAUGUCAAUGAAUAAGAUAUUCCAAUCUAUUUUUUCAUCUUUGGCAUACAAUCUCGUAUCUCUAAAUUUUUGUAAUACACGACAAACAUGAAAUUCAUGUUUUUUGGUGUUUUUAGAAUAGAUUAGAAUGUGGUCUAAAUAAUAGACAAUAAAAUCAUCAAGAUAUUUACAAAUUUUUUUAUUUAUAAGAUUUUGAAAAGUAGCUAGUACGUUUAAGCGUCCAAAAGGCAUGACAUUAUAUUUGAAACGUCUAUACGUAGUUUGAAAAACAAUCUUCUAUUUAUCUUUUUUUUUAAUGCAGACCAAGUUGUAUGCUUAUUGUAGAUCCAUUUUUGUGUAGAUCUUUGCUUGAUUGAAUUAUUCAAGAAGUACUAAAAUCAAAAGUUAGAAGAUACCUAUUCUUGACGGUGAUUUUGUUAAGUCCUUGAUAAUCUAUGCACAUCUACAAAGUUCUAUUUUUUUCUUUAUAAAUAAGAUAGGAGCUCCAACUAGAGAUUUCAAAUGGCAUAUGAAGUUCUUAGCUAAAUUUUUGUCAAUAUAUUUUUUCAUAUAGCUAAUUCAUUUUGCAAUAAGUUGUGGAUUAAUUUGAAUGGUGGUUGAGCUCCUUCUUGUAAAUUAAUUGUACAAUCAUAGAGUUGGUACUUUGAAAGAAUAUCUAUAUUUUUCUUUUCAAAAAUAUCUUAAAAAUCUUAAUACUGGCUAAAAAUACUACUUGAUAUCUUUCCACCAUCAAAAAUAGGUUUGGCAUAUAUAGCAAAAGAUGAUCCUUCUUUUGCGGCAUGCAAGAAAGCUCUCAUUGAUACUAAUAAAGAUUUGGAUUUGUAAGCAUUAUAUAUUUUUACUUGACUAAAAAGAUUUUGGAUUAAACUACCAAAAAAGUUAAGAUUACAAGAAAUCUAAUCUAUUUGAAGAUUAUAUUUUUCUAACCAUGAUAAUCCUAAAGUAAUCGGAUUAAAAAAAGAUCUUAUUAUGUUUAAUAUUACUAUGCUAUUAUGAUCUUUAAUUUCUACAUCUAAAGGAAUAAUUUCAUAGGUAAUAUUUCCAAUAGACAAAAAAUAACCAUCUAUGUCUUCUAUAUCUACAGAUUUAAGUUUUUUGAUUAAAAAUAUUUCUUGUUUUUUGACAAAAUUGUUAUCUAUGAAAGAAGUUGAGGCUUUUGAAUCUAAUAAUAUAAUAACUUUGUAAUUUUUAGAUCUUAAACAUAUAUCUAUUGUAAAACAAGGUGAGAGAUUUGAAGAGAAAAUAGGACCUUUAUUAGGUGUUAUAUAUGAUUUGAACCACAAGAUCCUUAAUGUAGCAUAAAAAACUCAUUUUUUGACACAUUGUUUUUUUUGGCAAUCAUGCUCUUUAUUUUGUGAUUGCAUUGCUUCUUUGGACAAUAUUGAGCAAUGUACUUAGCUUCUCUAUAAUAUAAGCACAAACCCUCUUGACAACUUUGAGUCUUUUCUUCUGCAUGAGAGGAUUAAAAUGUACCAUAAUAAUUUAUAUUGAUUCUGGCUUUGAUAAAUAAGUUUUUAAAAACUUAAGAUCUGUAAUUUUUAUGUAGUAAUACAAAUGUAUAGUUAAAAAUAAAAAUAUGGAUGCUAUUAUAGAAGAGCCCAGUAGAAAGUUGUAGUAGAAAAAUAAGGAUAAAAGAUAGAAAAGUAAUAAAAGAUUGUCUUAAUAUUUCUUUUUUAUAGAAGAGACAUCUAUUUACUUUAUAGAAGCAUAAAUGAGCCAAAUCAAAGUAAAUGAGGUAAGAAAUUGAUAUAGACAUAUAUAAGAGAGAGUUAACAAUAAGAUAAAAUAAAAAUUACCUCAAAUUACUAAAAAUUAAUACUUAGAGAGGAUCAGUUGUCAACUUGGAUCAAAAUCAUACCUUGAGGCAUAAAACUACAGUCAUACGGCUACUUUAGAGUUCUUUAGUAGAUUAGAGAGUGAAAUUUUAGAAAAAACUUAAAGAAAGUUUUUUGGACAUUGAUAUAAUUUCAAUUCAAUCAAUGUUGAAUUUUUGAGGAAUUUUUAAAGUUGAAGAAGUUCUUCGUUGGUUUAGAUUUUGAAAAAUAAAUAUAUGUUUAUAAAUUUGAGGAUUUCUUGAGUUUAGUAGUGUGUAUAUAGAUAAUUUUUGGGCAGUAUGUUGGUGAUCUAGUUAUGAAUGUUUUUGCAAAUUUUGAAGUCAAUCAAAUGAUUAAAUCGAAGUUUGAAGAUUUUUGUACAUUGAAAUUUCAGAAAUUGGAGUUUGAAGAUUAAUGAAUAUUUCUAAGAUGUUUAGCAAUCUAUUAAUUGGAUUUAAGUAUUUUUUUUUAUUUAUAGAUAUUAGACUUAAAUUGCAAUAUUUCAGGUAAAAUUUGGAAGCAUUCAAUAGUUCAAUAAGGAGAUAUUAGCAUUGGAAGUUCAGCAUUCAAGUUAGAAUAAGAGGCUCCCAACACUUGAUUGAAUUAUCUUGUAUUUCUUUCAAUUGGUAAGUAUAAUUGAUUUCAUCUUUCUUGUGCUUGUUCCUAAUUAUAUUAUUAAGAGUAUAUAAUUUUGAGUUGAUAUCAACAACUUGAUCAUUAGUUGUUGAGGUUCUAUUUUUUUGUAGGAAUUGAUUUAGAGUUUGUAUAUGGUUCAGACAAGGCUUAGAAAUUGGUCUAAGAUUUGAUUAGGAUUAGGAUUUUCUUGAGAUUUGAUUAGAAUUAGGAUUUUUUUGAGAUUUGGUUUAAAACUUGAUUAAAAAUUAAUUAGGAUUUAUACAAAAUUUAUCUAGAAUUUAAGAUAUUAUUAGGAUUUUUUUAGGAUUUGACCAAAGAUUUGAUUAAGUUUCAAUUAGGAUUUUAAUUAAGGUUUGAUUUAGAAAUUGAUUAAGAUUCAAUUAUGAUUUUUAUUUAUAGUAUUUAUUUAUGGUUUUUAUUAUUUCUUUAAAAUUUUCUAUUUUUAAUAUUUUAAAAAGAUUAUUAUUAUUACUUUAAAGGUUUAUUAUUAUAUUUCUUUAAAAUUUUUUAUUAUUUUUUUGAAAUUAGUUUAGGAUUUUUUGUAUUUCUUUUAUAUCUUCUUUUAAAUUUAUUUUUAGUUGGUCAAAAUUAAAUUAGAUUUAUUAAGGUUUACUUAAAUUUUAUUCAAGUUUUUAUUAGAUUUAAUAGGAGUGUUAUUACAUUUCUACUUACCUUCUACACUUAGGUGCCCAAUGCAUUCUCAAGCAAGAAUAGACGUAAUAUGAUACUAUUGUUGUAUUAUAAUUGUUUGUAGUAUAUAAAAAUUAAUUAAAACAUAUAAUAUAUUUAUAAAUUUUGAUGUAUAUUAGAGUGGUUAGAAGGUUAAUUUAAAAAGAAUUGAUAUAAGAAAAUUUAUUUUAAAUUUUACAUAUUUUGAUUAUAAUAUUUAAAUUAUAUAGGAUUUAAAUAUUUAAUAUAAAAUUUGAAGAGAAGAUUGAAGCUCAAAGAUGAAGAUCCAAACCUCUAAAGAACUUAUUUAGAUGGAUGAAAGCAAGAUAUGGAUGGAUGAAGGUAAGUGAUGAAGUUCUUCAUCUCUAUUAGUCGAAAGCCAUGCCUAAUAGGCUCUUAGGAGGUUGUCUACAACCAUAAUAAGGAUUUUGGUGACUUCAAAAGAAACUUUUGAAAAUUAAAAUCAAGGAUUGUAAAUUUUUGGAUUUGAACUAUAAUUUGUGUACAAAGUUUAAAGGAUUUGGAGUUAGAGUGAUAAAAUUAUAGCCGUUUGAAGUUAACUAACUUUUUAAGAUAUACUAUUAAUCUUUUGAAAAUACAAGGAGUUAUAAAAUACCUUUUAGAAAUCAAAUAGUGCAAUUAAAAUCAUGAUUUGAAGAAUUAUGUCUUUUGUGAAAGAAUUUUUGCAUUUGAAAUUUUUAUAAAGGAGUUAUAGAACAUUGAAGAUAAUAUAUAUAAUUCAAAGGUAGUAAGUGAGCCAUUUAAUUGAUAGUAAUGGUUCGAAUCAUAUCUUGAGUUUUUACACAAAUUUUUGACUCAAAAUUUUAAAAAAAAUAUGAUAUUAUGUUAAAAAUCUAUAUAUCAUAAUUUUAUGGUAUUUAACUACUUAAUUUGUGAGAUAUUAAGAAAAUUACAAAUAUGUGUAUAUAAACAAGGAUUUGAAGGUAUUGUUAGGAUUUUGGAAAUAUUUCAAAAUUUGUAAUGAAUUUAUAGAUGAAAUUUGUUAUGAUAGUUGUUGAAAGUAUAUUAGUAUUGCAUAUAAAAUUUUGGUUUAUUUAGACAAUCUAAUUAUGAGAUAUGAGCUAUUGAAGUUUACAAAGAUUUCAUAUUAUGGAUAUAUAUAAGGUUUUAGAAUGUUUUUAUUAUAUUUUAGGUGAUCUUUGGUACUUAGGACUUAUGUAUUGAUGUAAUUGCUGCUAUAGAAAUAAUUUUACAUAUAAACUUGGUAUUUGUUUUUUUAAUCUUAUGACUUGGUUAUAUAAUUAGUGUCAGUCAUAAGCCCAAUGCUUUCUUAAGGAAAAUUCUCUCUAUCCCAACACCCUCAUUACUUAACUUGUUUGUCUUUAGUUGAAUCUUUGUUCUUGAUGACUUUCAAAUAAAUGAUUGUCAUGUACAAUGGCUUGAAAAAUAAAUAUUUUAAAAUUUUUGCUUCCGGCACUAUCAAUAAUAAAUCUUUGAUAUUAUCCUUCAAUCCAAAUCAAAAUUAAUUGAUAAAGGCUUUAUCAUUCUAAUUUAAAUUUCAAGCAAGGUUUUAUAAUUCAACAACAUAUAUAGUAGUUAAUUAUAAUUCUUAUUAUAAAGAUAAGAUUUUGAUCUUUAUUACUCUUUUUUUAUCACUUUCUCCAAAUGUGGCUAUAAAUACUUAUAGAAAUGAAUUCAAAUCACAAAGAAGUUGUGAAUUUUUUUCCAUCAAAGAUACAAAGUAAGAAAGAACACUUAAAGAUAGAAGUGUGCUUAUGAAUCCAACUUGAGUAAAUCCAUCAAGGCAUUAUAAGGAAUGCAAUCUUAGAUAUGACUUGGCUUAUUGUAAAAAUCUUUGAAAUUUUGAUCUUAUUCUAUUAAACUUCUUAGGCAUACUAAACUUUAUUUCCAUCAUAUUUGUAGAAGCAAAACUUCUUAAAUCUGAUUGUAAGGUCGAUCUACUUGUUUAUUUUAAAUACACAACUUCUUGAUGUAGACUUUGAAGUUCAUCUACAGGCAUAGGAUUAAUAUUUUUGUGGUUGGUAUUGGAGAUGCAUGAAAUUUCUACCCUAAAAGUGUUGAUAAGUUUGUAAAGAUUUGUAAUAGUUACAAAUCUAUUUUCACUUCUACCAAGUGUAGCAUCCAUGAUUUUUUUUUAUUUAUUUAUUUCAAACAACUUGAUAAAUCCAUAAGUUAAAUUAAAAGACGAUAAUUUGUAAUCUCUAAUAUCAAAUGAAAAUUUCCACAAAAAAAGAUAAUCUACUCUCUUUAAGGAAAAAAUUAGUGUUAGAAAACUAAAUAGUUUGAUUAAAGGUGGAUAAUUUGCAACCUUCAAAUUACAAUAAUAGAAGUGAAAUAGUCCAUUAACUUUUAAAAUAAGACAAGAAUAAUAAAUUAGCAUUCUUAUCAAACUACCAACGACAUAAAUCUUAAAGAAUUGAAAGAUCAAAGUACUUUUGUAUUAUUCAAAAAGACUAGAUAAUUACUUAAAGAUAAUAUAAUAUUAAACUAGAAUAGCUAUUGCCAAAGACAAAAAGAUUUGAAAGUCUUAAAACAAGACUAAAGUUUAGAAAGGUAUUGAUAAAUAUGAAGAAGGCUUUACUCUCACCUCCAUACAAGCUCUAAUUAGGAGCUAUAUAGUGAUAUUCUAUAGGACCUCCAAUACAUGUUAACUUUGAUAAAUACAUGACUUAACUUACAAGGCAAGUUAUCUAUAUGUGUACCAUAUAAUUAACUGAUUCCAUAAGCUAUUAAUACAUGUAUCACAUGAAUAACUUAUUAAUAAAGUUUUUAGUCUAUCAAUUAACUAAAAAUACGUGAAAAGUCAAAAUAGCAUUUAUGAAGCUUCUAAAAAGGUUUUCUAAAAGAUAUAAUAAAAUAAAUUUAUUUUUACCUACUUCUACUUAAUCAUAUAGAUAAUUAUUGGAAUAAAUAUAUAUGUUUGUGACGUUUCUACAAUAAGUGAAGUUCUACAUAAGAUUGCAUCCUUUCUAAUAUUUUGAUAAAUUUAUUCAAGUUGGAUUCAUAGGUAUAUUUCUAUCUAGGAGUAUUCUUCUUUAGUUUGCACUUAAUGGAAAAUAAUUUAUAAUCCUUUUAUGAUCUGAAUUCAUUCUUAAAAGUCUUUACGACCACAUUUGGAAAAAGUAAUUGAAAAAAAAUAGUAGAUACCAAAUUGUUAUCUUUACAAUAAGUAUUAUAUCCAACUACUAUAUAUGUUGCAAAAUUCCAAAAUCUUUCUUGUAAUAUAGAUUAGAAUAACAAAGGCUUUAUCAAUAAAUUUUAAUAAGAAUUGAAAGAUAAUGUCAAAUUUAUUAUUGACAAUGUUGAGAGCAAAUUCAUUGAAAAAAUUUAGUACUUAAGCUAUUAUAUGCAACAAACUCUUUAAAAGACACUAAAAGUAAAGAUUUGAUUGAAGAUGUAUAAGUUAAGUCAAAGUAAUAACUUUUAAGUUUUUAAAACCUUUGUAAAUUAAUAUGGUUGAAACCUAUGUAAAUUAAUAUGGUACAUUUUAAGAUUCUUAUAGGAUUUAAAAAAAAAAUCAAAAUCAUCAAAAAGGAUUAUACUUAUAAUGUAAAGAAACUAAGCAUACUACUUUACACUAUCCAAAAAAAGCAACAUAAUUAUAAAUUAAAGGAUAAAAUUACUAAAAAAGAUAAUGUAUUAAAAAAUAAGUUUCUUUAGUUACAAUAUGAAUCAUGUGGUUGAAAUCUUGCAUAACAGCUAAUAAAGGUCAUAUUCUCUUCUUAGAUUUUUUUACCUUCUUUUAUAAUAGAAGUUUAUUUAGGACCAAAAAAUCACAAAAUCUUUUUUUUGUUAGAUUUGGAAGCUUCAAUUUAUUUUAUAGACAAAGCCUUUGUUAAAAAAUAAGAAAUAUCUUUAAUUAAGAUUAAUAAAUCCAUGCAUGUAAAAAUCAAAGAUGGUAAUUUUUUAUCCUUUGAAGAUAUUAUCUAUAAAAUUAUUUUUUAAAAUAUAUCAAUUAAAGAUUAUAAUAGCUUAAUAAUAUUUAAUAUGAUUAAUUUUUUUCUAAUUCAAUUAUUUUAGGAUUAUUGUGGCUAUAGAAGUAUAAUCCUCAAAUAGACUAAAUUUUUUUUUAACCUUGAUUUUUUUCAUAGUUUAGUCCAAUUUUUUUUUAUUCAAGUAGAAAUUCAUAAAUUUAAUACAUCCAAAUAUUUAUUGGUAAGUGAAAGAGCUUUCAUAUGUGCUACAAAAAAAAGGUCGAAUUUUUCUAUAUACACUACACUUAUUUUUGAUAGAAAAAAGAUUUCAAGUGGCAUUCCAAAUUGACUUCUUAAGAUAAAUUAUUUCAAAUGAUGGCUUUAUGAUAGAUCCUAAGAAAGUUUAGACUAUUAUGGAUUAAAAGAUUUCAAUAAUAGUCAAAGAUGUGCAAUAUUUUCUGAAAUUUGUUAAUUAUCACUAAAUCUUUAUCAAGAAAUUUUUUCUAAUUGUAACUCCUCUUAUACAUUUGACCUAUAAAGACAAACUUAGAUAGAGUAAAGAAGUUGAAGCAUCUUAUAAAUCCUUGAAUAUAACAUUUAUUUUUGCACCAAUCUUUUAUUAUGUUGAAUUUUUUAAGGUAUUUUUUUUUUAUAUAAAAAUAGAUGCAUUAGACUUUACUUAAGAUGAUAUAUUGUUACAAAUGAGAGCAGAUGACAAACUCCACCGAGUAGCUUUCUAUUCCAAAUUUUUUUAGUAGCCUAGAUCAACUAUCAGAUUCACAAUAAAGAAAUUUUUGUAAUUGUAGAUUAAUUUCAAAAAUAGCAUCAUUAAUUAGAAGAUGCUUCUAGUUUAAUUAUUAUCACAUGUAAAGAAACAAUCAAGCUUUUUUUAGACAAUAUCUAUUGCUAUUAUGGAUUGUUAAAUGAUAUUAUAUUAGAUAAAGGGAUUCAAUUUGUAUUAAGAUUUUAAAGAAUCUUUUUAAAGAUUCUAAAAGUAGAUAUAAAGCUAUCUUUGGCUUUUAAACUUUAAAUUGCUAUAUAAAUAAAGUACAUAAACUAAGUCUUGAAGUAAUAUUUGAGGUGUACCAUCAAGAUAAUUAGGCAAAAAUUUUAUUAUUAUCAAAUUUUACUUAUAAUAAUACAAUAUAUUUUUUUAUAUAAUAUUUUUUUUUUCUAUUUAUGAUUAUCAUCCAUAACUCGAUAUUUUUGAUUUUUUAAAAAUUGAUAAUCCUAUAAUAGAAGUUUUGAAAAAUUAUUUAUUUGAGCUAUGUAUAAGAAUGAAGAUAUAAUUAAAAGAAGCUCAAGAAUAACAAAAGACCAAUGCAAAUACAAAGAACAACCUCAAUUCUACAUUAGCAAGAAGGUAUGGUUAUUUCAAUAUAAUAUCAAAAUUUCUAAGAUUUCUUGCACUCUAUUAGUUGAAUUAGAAUAAAAGUUAUGUAUGUAGGUAGUAGACUUAUUUUUCUAUGUACAUGAGAAAUUUGAGACCAACUUAAUAAUACAAAGGAGAGAUAUUAGCACUAGAAGAUCAACAUUAAGGUUGGAAAAGGAAGCCAGCCAACAUCGAAGCAGAUUUUAGGAUUUUUCUUUUAUUUGGUAAAUGAAAUUGUUCUCAAAUUUUUUGUAUUUGUUUAUUACUAAGAGAUUGAGAGGUGUGUAAAAUUUUAAAUAAGAUCAAAAGUUUAAUCUAAAGAUAUUGAGGUUCUAAACUACCUUAGGAUUUGACUUAGGGUUUAGGAUUUGGUUUAUGAUUUAGAAUAUUGAUAAGAUUUGUUUAGGAUUUAGAUUAAGAUUUAAGAUUUGAUUAGGAUUUGAUUUAGGAUUUAGGAUUUAGGAUUCGAUUAGAGUUUGAUUUAGGAUUUAGGAUUUGGUUAGAAUUUGGUUAGGAUUUAAUUUAGAAUUUGGGAUUUGGUUAGGGUUUGAUUUAAGAUUUAGGAUUUAGUUAGGAUUUGCUUUAGAAUUCAGGGUUUGGUAAGGAUUUGGUUUAGGAUUUAAAAUUUGGUUAAGAUUUGGUUAAUAUUUGAUUUAGAAUUUAAGAUUUGACUAGGAUUUGGUUUAGGAUUUAAGAUUUGGAUAGGAUUUGAUUUAGGAUUAAGAAUUUAAUUAAGGUUUGGUUCAAGGUUUAAGAUUUGUCUAAGAUUUUGUUUAGGGUUUAAAAUUUUUUUAAGAUUUGAUUGAAGUCUAUUAGGGUUUCAACUAAGAUUAAAUGAAAACUUGGUUGAAAUUUAUUUAAGAUAUAUUAUGAUUAUUUUAAUAUUUUUUUAAGACUUCUUAAGGAUUCUUUUAAGUUUCAUUGUAGAUUAUCUUUCAAUUUCUUUAAGAUUUCAUAUUGUUUCUUUUGUAAUUUUUUUAAGAUUACUUUUUGAAUUUGAUUAAAGCUUGUUUGGUAAUGUUAAGAUUUAAUUAAAGUUUAAUUAGUAUUAUAUUAGAACUAAGAUAUUGUUAUUGUAAUUUCUAUUCUACCUUCUACAGAUAGGUGCUUGGUGCACUCUCAAGAAACACUUUAUGUAUUAUGACAUAUUUAAUAAACUUGACAUAAAAAGCUUAAAAUAGAAGAUAUUUGGAAAAUAUCUUAGGUUAUUUGAAUUAAGAAGAAGGAAGGUAAGAGAGUUGAAGGAGGGGCUAUAGGUAGUGCUUCAAUUGGAGCUUUAAAUGGAGGUACUAAUAGAGGAUAAGGUAUGUAUUUUGAUCAUAAUUUUGUAAGCAUGUUUGAAGCUUUUGUCUUAUUCAUGAAAUAGCAAUAGAUUAAAGAGUACAAAUAGGGUUUGGCAAACAAAGAAUUACAAGCAAUUGUGGAUAAGAUUGAUCAAUUUGAAGAGAAGAAUAUUAUAAAGUAUUUAAGGUAUUAUGUAAAAAAA
This 103009-nucleotide long non-coding RNA is filed under the name Physcomitrium patens. Its description in RNAcentral is "long non-coding RNA (PPAT_LNC006466)". Lineage: Eukaryota; Viridiplantae; Streptophyta; Bryopsida; Funariales; Funariaceae. The record is from RNAcentral.